Molecule: long non-coding RNA, 93128 nt
Filed under: Triticum aestivum (bread wheat)
Lineage: Eukaryota; Viridiplantae; Streptophyta; Magnoliopsida; Poales; Poaceae
Description: long non-coding RNA (TAES_LNC020179)
Rfam family: tRNA (bases 41914-41987)
Source: RNAcentral
AAAAAGGAGAAAGUCUCACAUCAACGAGGCUAAUCAAUGAGCUAUGGAGAUGCCCAUCGAUUGAUGUUAAUGUAAGGAGUAGGGAUUGCCAUGCAACGGAUGCACUAGAGCUAUAAAUAUAUGAAAGCUCAACAAAAGAAACUAGUGGGUGUGCAUCCAACUUGCUUGCUCACAAAGACCUAGGGCACUUGAGGAGGCCCAUUGUUGGAAUAUACAAGCCAAGUUCUAUAAUGAAAAAUUCCCACUAGUAUAUGAAAGUGACAAAACAAGAGACUCUCUAUCAUGAAGAUCAUGGUGCUACUUUGAAGCACAAGUGUGGAAAAAAGGAUAGUGGCAUUGUCCCUUUUCAUUUUUCUUUUUUUGGGCCUUCCCUUUUUUUAUUUGGCCUUUCUCUUUUUUUGGGACAAUGCUCUAUUAAAUGAUGAUCAUCACACUUCUAUUUAUUUACAACUCAAUGAUUACAACUCGAUACUAGAACAAGAUAUGCCUCUAUAUGAAUGCCUCCGGCAGUGUACCGGGAUAUGCAAUGAACAAAGAGUGACAUGUAUGACAGAAUUAUGAACGGUGGCUUUGCCACAAAUGCUAUGUCAACUACAUGAUCAUACUAAACAAUAUGACAAUGAUGAAUGUGUCAUGAUAAACGGAAUGGUGGAAAGUUGCAUGGCAAUAUAUCUCGGAAUGGCUAUGGAAAUGCCAUAAUAGGUAGGUAUGGUGGCUGUUUUGAGGAAGAUAUAAGGAGGUUUAUGUGUGAAAGAGUGUAUCAUAUCAUGGGGUUUGGAUGCACCGGCGAAGUUUGCACCAACUCUCAAUGUGAGAAAGGGCAAUACACGGUACCGAAGAGGCUAGCAAUGAUGGAAAUGUGAGAGUGCGUAAAAUCCAUGGACUCAACAUUGGUCAUAAAGAACUCACAUACUUAUUGCAAAAAUCUACAAGUCAUCAAAAACCAAGCACUAUGCGCAUGCUCCUAGGGGGAUAUAUUGGUAGGAAAAGACCACCGCUCUUCCCCGACCACCACUCAUAAGGAGGACAAUCAAAGAACACCUCAUAUUUCAAAUUUGUUACAUAACGUUUACCAUACAUGCAUGCUACGGGACUUGCAAACUUCAACACAAGUAUUUCUCAAAUUCACAACUACUCAACUAGCACAACUUUAAUAUCACUACCUCCAUAUCUCAAAACAAUCAUCAAGCAUCAAACUUCUCUUAGUAUUCAAAACACUCAUAAGAAAGUUUUUACUAAUCUUGAAUACCUAGAAUAUUGGGAUUAUUUAAGCAAAUUACCAUGCUAUUUAAGACUCUCAAAGCAUGAGAGACCAAUAGUUUCUAUAAAACAAAUCCACCACCGUGCUCUAAAAGAUAUAAGUGAAGUACUAGAGCAAAACUAUAUAACUCAAAAGAUAUAAGUGAAGCACAUAGAGUAUUCUAAUAAUUUCUGAAUCAUGUGUCUCUCUCAAAAGGUGUGUAUAGCAAAGAUGAUUGUGGUAAACUAAAAAGCAAAGACUCAAAUCAUACAAGACGCUCCAAGCAAAACACAUAUCAUGUGGUGAAUAAAAAUAUAGCUCCAAGUAAAGUUACCGAUGGAAGUAGACGAAAGAGGGGAUGCCUUCCGGGGCAUCCCAAGCUUUGGAUUUUUGGUGUCCUUAGAUUAUCUUGGGGGUGCCAUGGGCAUCCCCAAGCUUAGGAUCUUGCCACUCCUUGUUCCAUAAUCCAUCAAAUCCUUACCCAAAACUUGAAAACUUCACAACACAAAACUUAUUUAUAUUGGUGUUAAACCUACUGUAUUCCAACUUCUCUAUGGUUUAUAAACUAUUUUACUAGCCAUAGAUUCAUCAAAAUAAGCAAACAACACACGAAAAACAGAAUCUCUAAAAAACAGAACAGUCUGUAGUAAUCUGUAGCUAGCGCAAGAUCUGGAACCCCGAAAAUUCUAAAAUAAAUUGCUGGACGCGAGGAAUUUAUAUAUUAAUCAUCUGCAAAAAUAAUUAACUAAAUAGCACUUUCCAAAUAAAAAUGGCAGCAGUUCUCGUGAGCGCUAAAGUUUCUGUUUUUUACAGCAAGAUUAACAAGACUUUCCCCAAGUCUUCCCAACGGUUCUACUUGGCACAAACACUGCUUAAACACAAAAAACACAACCAAAACAGAGGCUAGAUAAAUUAUUUAUUACUAAACAAGAGCAAAAAGCAAGGAAUAAAAAUAAAAUUGGGUUGCCUCCCAACAAGCGCUAUCGUUUAACCCCCCUAGCUAGGCAUAAAAAGCAAGGAUAGAUCUAGGUAUUGCCAUCUUUGGUAGGCAAUUCAUAAGUGGCUCUCAUAAUAGAUUCAUAAGGUAAUUUAAUUUUCUUUCUAGGAAAGUGUUCCAUGCCUUUCCUUAACGGAAAUUGGAAUCUAAUAUUUCCUUCCUUCAUAUCAAUAAUUGCACCAAUCGUUCUAAGGAAAGGUUUACCAAGAAUAAUAGGACAUGAAGGAUUGCAAUCUAUGUCAAGAACAAUAAAAUCUACGGGCACAUAGUUCCUAUUUGAAACAAUAAGAACAUCAUUAAUUCUUCCCAUAGGUUUCUUAAUAGUGGAAUCCGCAAGGUGCAAGUUUAAAGAGCAAUCAUCAAAAUCACGGAAACCGAACAAAUCACACAAAGUCUUUGGAAUCGUGAAAAUACUAGCACCCAAAUCACACAAAGCAUAGAAUUCAUGAUCUUUAAUUUUAAUUUUAAUAGUUGGUUCCCACUCAUCAUAAAGUUUUCUAGGGAUAGAAACUUCCAACUCAAGUUUUUCUUCAUAAGAUUGCAUCAAAGCAUCAACGAUAUGUUUGGUAAAAGCUUUAUUUUGACUAUAAGCAUGGGGAGAAUUUAGCACGGAUUGCAACAAGGAAAUACAAUCUAUCAAAGAGCAUCUAUCAUAAUUAAAUUCCUUGAAAUCCAAAAUAAUAGGUUCAUUAACAUCUAGAGUUUUGAUCUCUUCAAUCCCACUUUUAUCAAAUUUAGCAUCAAGAUCUAAAAACUCCAAAUUUUUGGAACACCUUCUAGGUAAAGGUGGAUCAUAUUCAGUCCCAUCAUUAUCAAGAUUCAUAUUGCAAAACAAAAAUUUAAUAGGAGACACAUCAAUAACUUUUAGAUCUUCAUCUUUAUUAUCAUGGAAACUAGAAGAACACGCUCUUAUAAUCUUUCUUAGCACGCAUCCUAGCGGUUCUUUCUUUGCACUCAUCAAUGGAAAUUCUCAUGGCUUUGAGAGACUCAUUGAUAUCAUGCUUAGGAGGAAUAUAUCUAAGUUUUAAAGAAUCAACAUCAAGAGAAAUUCUAUCAACGUUCCUAGCCAAAUCAUCAACUUUAAGCAAUUUCUCUGCAAGCAAAACAUUGAAAUUCUUUUGUGAAUUCAUAAAUUCCUUAACACUAGUCUCAAAUUCAGAGGGCAUCUUAUUAAAAUUUCCAUAAGAAUUGUUGUAGGAAUUACCAUAAUUAUUAGAGGAAUUACUAGGAUAAGGCCUAGGAUUAAAGUUUCCUCUAUACGUGUUGUUACCAAAAUUAUUCCUACCAACAAAAUUCACAUCCAUAGAUUCAUUAUUAUUCUCAAUCAAAGUAGACAAAGACAUAUCAUUAGGAUCAGAAGAAACACUCUUAGUAGCAAAUAAUUUCAUAAGUUCAUCCAACUUUCCACUCAAAACAUUAAUUUCUUUUACCGCAUGCACUUUUUUAUUAGUAGAUCUUUCAGUGUGCCAUUGAGAAUAAUUAACCACAAUAUUAUCUAGGAGUUUAGUAGCUUCGCCUAAAGUGAUUUCCAUAAAAGUGCCUCCCGCGGCCGAAUCUAAAAGAUUUCUAGAAGCAAAAUUCAAUCCGGCAUAAAUUUUUUGUAUAAUCAUCCACAAAUUCAAACCAUGUGUUGGGCAAUUACGUAUCAUUAAUUUCAUCCUCUCCCAAGCUUGUGCAACAUGUUCAUGAUCAAGUUGCUUAAAAUUCAUAAUAUCGUUUCUAAGAGAGAUGAUCUUAGCGGGAGGAAAAUACUUAGAGAUAAAAGCAUCUUUGCACUUAUUCCAAUAAUCAAUACUAUUUUUAGGCAAAGACGAAAACCAAGCUUUAGCACGAUCUCUAAGCGAAAAAGGAAAUAGCUUCAAUUUAACAAUAUCAUUGUCCACAUCUUUCUUCUUUUGCAUAUCACACAAAUCAACGAAGCUAUUUAGAUGGGUAGAGACAUCUUCACUAGGAAGGCCGGAAAACGGAUCUUUCAUGACAAGAUUCAGCAAGGCAACAUUAAUUUCAUAAGAUUCAGCAUCGGUAAGAGGAGCAAUCGGAGUGCUAAUAAAAUCAUUGUUGUUGGUUUUGGUAAAGUCAAACAAUUUAGUGUUAUCUUGAGCCAUCGUGACAAGCAAGCAAUCCAACACACAAGCAAACGAGGAACGGGCAAAAAGAGGCAAAUAGAGAAAGAGAGGGAGGAUAGAAAGAGAGAGGGCGAAUAAAACGGCAAGGGUAAAGUGGGGGAGAGGAAAACAAGAGGCAAAUGGCAAAUAAUGUAAUGUGGGAGAUAAGGGUUUGUGAUGGGUACUUGGUAUGUUGACUUUUGCGUAGACCUCCCCGGCAACGGCGCCAGAAAUCCUUCUUGCUACCUCUUGAGCACUGCGUUGGUUUUCCCUUGAAGAGGAAAGGGUGAUGCAGCAAAGUAGCGUAAGUAUUUCCGUCGGUUUUUGAGAACCAAGGUAUCAAUCCAGUAGGAGGCUACGCGCGAGUCCCUCGCACCUACACAAAACAAAUAAAUCCUCACAACCAACGCGAUAAGGGGUUGUCAAUCCCUACAUGGCCACUUACGAGAGUGAGAUUUGAUAGAUAUGAUAAGAUAAUAUUUUUGGUAUUUUUAUGAUAAAGAUGCAAAGUAAAAUAAAAGGCAAUGAAAAUAACUAAGUGUUGGAAGAUUAAUAUGAUGGAAGAUAGACCCGGGGGCCAUAGGUUUCACUAGUGGCUUCUCUCGAGAGCAUAAGUAUUCACGGCGGGUAAACAAAUUACUAUUGAGCAAUUGACAGAAUUGAGCAUAGUUAUGAGAAUAUCUAGGUAUGAUCAUGUAUAUAGGCAUCACGUUCGAGACAAGUAGACCGACUCCUGCCUGCAUCUACUAGUAUUCCUCCACACAUCGACCGCUAUCUAGCAUGCAUCUAGAGUAUUAAGUUCAUAAGAACAGAGUAAUGCUUUAAGAAAGAUGACAUGAUGUAGAGGAAUAAAUUCAUGCAAUAUGAUAAAAAAACAUCUUGUUAUCCUUGAUGGCAACAAUACAAUACGUGCCUUGAUGCCCCUAAUGUCACUGGGAAAGGACACCGCAAGAUUGAACCCAAAGCUAAGCACUUCUCCCAUUGCAAGAAAGAUCAAUCUAGUAGGCCAAACCAAACUGAUAAUUCGAAAAGACUUGCAAAGAUAACCAAUCAUACAAAAAAGAAUUCAGAGAAGAUUCAAAUAUUGUUCAUAAAUAAACUUGAUCAUAAAACCACAAUUCAUCGGUCUCAACAAACACACCGCAAAAGAAGAUUACAUCGAAUAGAUCUCCACAAGAGAGGAGGAGAACUUUGUAUUGAGAUCCAAAAAGAGAGAAGAAGCCAUCUAGCUAAUAACUAUGGACCCGAAGGUCUGAGGUAAACUACUCACACUUCAUCGGAGAGGCUAUGGUGUUGAUGUAGAAGCCCUCCGUGAUCGAUGCCCCCUCCGGCGGAGCUCCGGAACAGACCCCAAGAUGGGAUCUUGUGGAUACAGAAGGUUACGGCGGUGGAAUUAGGGUUUUGGCUCCUUCUUUGAUCGUUUGGGGGUACGUAGGUAUAUAUAGGAGGAAGGAGUACGUCGGUGGAGCAACAGGGAGCCCACGAGGGUGGAGGGCGUGCCUGGGGGGGGGGGGUGUAGGCGCGCCCCCUACCUCAUGGCUUCCCUGUUGGUUGCUGGACGUAGGGUCUAAGUCUCCUGGAUCAUGUUCGAUCCGAAAAUCACGUUCCCGAAGGUUUCAUUCCGUUUGGACUCCGUUUGAUAUUCUUUUUCUGCGAAACUCUGAAAUAGGCAAAAAACAACAAUUCUGAGCUGAGCCUCCGGUUAAUAGGUUAGUCCCAAAAAUGAUGUAAAAGUGAAUAAUAAAGCCCAAUAAUGUCCAAAACAGAAGAUAAUAUAGCAUAGAGCAAUAAAAAAUUAUAAAUAUGUUGGAGACGUAUCAGCGCACUCCGCCCAACCAUGUUGUCGUCUGAAUAGCCGCAGCUAGCACAUGCACUAUACUACGUCGUGCAUAGACAAGGCUCCUCCCUUGUGCUCCACCGCCAUAGAGACGUGCUCGUCCUCCCCAGGGCCUCUUUGUCUAGUUCGUGCGCCCCGCCCGACCAUGACAUAGUCCGGACAGGCGCUGCCAGCAUAUUCGUGCCGCCACUUUGUGCACAAUCAAGGCCGCCACCUCAUGCUUAAUGACCACUGCAACGUGCUCGUCCUCACUGAUUACGACGUCGAGAUCAUUUGGAACUCUACUGCCAACGACAGUGACACGCGGGCACGGCUUUGCGACACUAAGAACCUCGCCAUCGAGAACGCUCGGAGUGAUCGUCCUAUGGCAGAAUUUUGACCACCCCAACAACACCUAGCUCCCUGCUCAAUGCGUCGGUGGAGUUCAUGCCGCCGGUACGGGAUGGCAAGAGGAGGAAAUGUGGUCCUAAAUGUGGGCCCAAUCAAUCAGAUUGUCUAUUAAAAGAAGUUGACUGAUAAAUUUGGGCUCAGUGUUGAUAAUUAGUUCAGAAGUUGUGGUUAUGUGUUAAAGAAACUCAAAAAUUAUGGUAAAGUGUUAUAAGUUGACCUGAAGUUGUGGUUUUUUGUUAAAAAACUCAAAAGUUGUGGUAAAGUGUUAUAAGUUACUCUGAAGUUGUGGUUUUGUGUAAUUAACUCUUUUUCUCUCUUCUCAUCUUCUUGCUGGAACCUACGAAAGAACUUAAUGUCGAGAACAGUUUGUCUCACCUCCCAUGGUGGCCACUAGCCAAAGUAGCAGGGGAGGUACCUAGGUUCACAAAAUUUACCCGGGGCGGCUGCCCCUACAUGACCCCACGCUGGCGCCGCCCCUGCCCUAUAUUUAGGAACGAAGGGAGUAUGUUGUUAGCACCUAGUUACAUAUCUGGAGAAUCUACUUAUUUGUAUUAUCCUAAAAUUGGUAAUUAAGUUAAAAUUUGUAGUCACCUAUUCACCCCCUCCUCCUCUAGUCGAUCGAUUUAGUCCUGUCAACUAAAAAGAUUGACACGUCGAUGUUUUGAAUAAGUUCAAUCAGCUCGAUGGAGCGCAGUCUAGUCCUAUGUUAGGAAACAUUGAGGGAGGUUAGUCGUGGAUCCUAGUCGGAUGGGGAUAUUCAGAUUUCACUCCAAAUGCCCUUUCUCAGCAUCGGUAUGAGGGGAACGUGGCUCCUCGGAUCCGACCCUAGAGCUUCUCGAGUGGGGCUUGAAGCUCUAUUGCCCACCCAUUAAUUCUUAUUCAAGUAAGAGUGAAUGAUUACAUGCCCGUGGGGACUUUGUAUAUGAUUGGAGGCUUUGACAAAUGAUUAUGGUUACCCUUAAAGCAAGGAAAAUGGUAAUCUUCAGAUAUUGCUUCAUCAACUUGUAAUAUUUCAGUUCAUAUACUUUAUGUAACUUCUAUGCACCGAUGUUAGCGGGAGAGAUAAUAUUGGUGAGCCUAUGAAUUCCGGUCCAAUUUUCCUCAUAACCGUCAAUUUACUUUUGUAUGCACUUUUAUUUUCAGCCUUUAUUUAUUUCUAAAAUACAAAAAAUAAUUCCAAUCACAAUAUACAUAAUUGUUACAACUAGGAAAGCUAUUGCGAACCAACCUGUGGUUGAGAUGGUUAGGUGGACAGUGGUAUCCCCAACCCACCAGGGUUCAAAUCCUGGUGCUCGCAUUAUUCCUGGAUUUAUUUCAGGAUUUCCGGCGAUGCGCUUUCAAUGGAAGGAGACGUUCCCUUCGACGACGAGGCGCCUACGGUGACUUCGUAAAUCUCAAGAUGAUAUGUCGGCUCAGUCUCUCGGAGGUGCUCAUAGGGAUAGGGUGUGCGUGUGUGCAUUCAUAGGAUGAGUGUAUGCGCGUAUAUAUGAGCGCUUGUGUCUGUACUGAUGCUAAAAAAAAAACUAGGAAAGCUAUUGAGGUUACCCUUAUUCGAGUUGUUGUUCGCACAAGUGAAAUUUUAUGGGUGUGUCUAGGGCACAUCUAGAUGUGCUCUAGUUAUUGCACAUUUAAGUGUGUGAAUCAAUCAUAAAGAGUAAAAGAAAAAAGAAAAAGAAAAUAUCCACACGAAUCUCAACGUAAGAUCAAUGACAUAGGACUUAGAUGUGCAAUACUUAUAGCACAUCUAGAUGUGCUUUAGCAAAACUGAAAUUUUAUUUGUGUUGCAGAGUUGAUGAUUGAUUUAGGAAUCAAUGCUUCCACAUAUUGAUACAUUAGUAUCUCACUAAGGAAAAACUUGGUGCUACCUACAUACCUUGAACUUGGGGCCCAACAACUGCAACAAGGCAAAUUAGCCGGAGCAAUAAGCACCCAUUGGGUAGGAGGGGUUGGCACCAAAGCCCACACGUACUCCUUAGGGCUUCUCUUGGUCCUCCUUCCGUGCUCGAGCCACCGAGAAUGACAUUCACGACGCAGGUCUCUUGAAGCCUGCAACCAUUAGAGUUUUUUCAUUCACCAUCAUCAUGACAUUGACGUUUGGAUCAUGCAGGUUCUGCUCUUGCUUCAGGUGCUCAGGUGGAACGAGGAGGACACCCCUUUAGGGCAGGCUUUGGCGCCCCGAACUCCCUCUGGUUUUUUUAACGAAAAUGCUGAUGAAGCAGCUUUUCAUUGAUAUGGAGGGUUUGAAGAGAGUUAAUUUACAACAAUGUUACAUGAGCAGGCCUGCACUAGGUGUACAUGCCAUCUCCGUUUCCUGUACUAAGCUUUUCUAGUCUGGUUCUCUUGGUCUGUUGAGGAGGGAGAUGGCCUUGCCCCGUCCCGCCCUUUGCCAGACUGCUGCCUCUUCAAUCAAUCGUUCAACUACAGUCCUUGGCGGUGAUGGCUGGUUUUUGAAUAUCCUAGCGUUGUGUUCCGAACUCCCUCUGGUCACUCAUCCCUUCUGCUAAAUUAAUGAAAAGCCACUUUAAAAAAAAAGUGGGGGGCUCUACUGAGAGCGGCAAGCCAAUGUUGCGACUGUGGAUGGUGCUGCUGUGCGACGGCAAAUCACGGGCUACAUAACAGUUGGUGGAGGAUUUUUCUUUUCGCGGCAUCGUGUGGCGAGAGACUAGCUGGACCUGCGAUCCUGAGCAUAACGCAGCUGCAAUUGACGGCUGGGGAGACCGAUCGAAGCCUCUGAUCGAUCAACCGACUCCUUUUGCUUGAGGCACCAGGGCUACUCUUUCUUCAUCAUGCAAAAGCACGCUGCGAAAAAUAGUCAACUACUCCUUCUGUCUCAUAAUAUAACAACCUCCGUGCCGCUUCCGCGAGCGGCCCGGGCGGAACCCUAGAUCGCCGCCGCCGCUCCCUUCCUUCGCCUUCCUUCUCCCUCGCCGCCGCCAGGGGACGCUGCCGGGCAAAGCCUGCGCGUGCGUCGGCGGCGGCGGGGCUCCCUCCCUCCUCGCGAGGCUCCUGGGCGGCGCUGGACGGCCGGCCCUCGCGGCGGCGCUCGGCUCGGCGGCAGGUCGGGUCGCCGGCGGAUCUGCGGGGCUCCCCUUUGGUGGCGCUGCGGUGAUGGCGGCGGCGUGGUCUACGUGGGGCGGCGAGGCGCGGGCUCCUCCUCCUCCCGAUCUGAUGGCGCUGCGGUGGCGCCGGUGCUCGGGCGUGCGGCGGGGUCCGCGAGGGUGGUCGGUGCGCGAUGUCUCCCUCCCCGAUCUGAUGGCUCCACGGUGGCGCCAGUGCUCGGGCGGCGGUUGGCGUCGACAAGCGGUGGCGGGCGCUGGGAUCUUGGCGGCGCUCCUGCGUGUGCAGGCGGCGGCGGUCCCUGUGCGCGGUCGGCAGCUUCGUCUCCGACCCGGACGGCGCGGGGGAUGGCGGCGGCCCGGCAUGGCCGGCGAUCUGGACAUGACCCGGACGGCGCGGGGGAUGGCGGUGGUGCCGGUGGCUCGCUGAUCUGCCGGUACUCCAGGGUCGGCCUGGUGGUGCUGGUGGUGACGGCGGCCCGUGCACGAGAGUUGGAUUCCUUCGAACUGAUCUGGGUGAAAACUUGCCUUCGGCUUCUGCUAAGGCCGGCGGUGGCGGCGCUAUCUGCGUCGUUCCCUUCUUGAAGGCAUCGCCGUGGAGAAGUUCAAGGCCACUCUCUGCUACCUCCGGGGGAAACCCUAGAUUGGAUGAUCGGAUGACGGCGGCGCUCUGGUGUCGUUCCUCCCUUGGGGGAGUCAUUUUUGGAGGUACACACGUGAUCGAGGGACCAGAGGACGGAUUCUUUGGUGGAGUGGUGCUUCAUCCUACACACUGAUGGCGACGGAUCUUGACGGCGUGGCGCAGUGCAGAUUCAGAGUUCGCUGUGGGAGGAUGGCCUCGCGCAGGAGGACGGCGCUGUCGGGCGUCGUGGUGGCGUCGAUGGCAGAGAGAGCUGGCACGGUACAUGCAACAGUACAGCUCUGAAGAUGGAUUUGUGGCAGGUGGCUGCGGCGGCCUCAUACCCGGCAGGUGUCCUGGUUGAGGAGUGCGCCGGACUGGUAGGUGCCCCAUACCCGGCAGGCGUCCUGGUUGGAAUCUCAGGUCUUAGAUGUUUAGGUUUGGCUGCGAUGUCUGUUUGGUAUUAGGCCCAAACUAUCUGCGCCCCUUCAUCAAUUGGAUAGGUGUAGCGACAGUUGUUGCUUAGACGGUGGCUUUAGUUUUGCUAUUGUAUAGUUUUGUAAGAUUUUAUGAUAAUAAUUAAUAAAGUGGCCGUAUGCAUCGUCCAGAUGCAGAGGCCGGGGGUCAUCUUCCUUUUCUAAAAAAAAACGUGAAACGUUCUUAUAUUAUGAGAUGGAGGGAGUAGUCAUUUUGCCCACUACAGAAUAUUCAGUUUUCUACAGGGAUUAGAGCCAUCGCAAGGGAUAGGUUCGGAGCAGCUACUGCAACUAUUUAGUUCAACGCGGUAGAUAUCCAGCAACACACUCUGGGUGGAGUAUCAAACUGACAAGUUAGUAAGAACUAAGAACCAGUCUCAUCAUCUCGGGUAGGAGACGGCCGGUGAGUCAGGUAUCCGCCCAAACUCAGUGAGACGGUAUAGAUGCGUUAGGCCAUUCCCAGAGAACUUCAUCCUCGUUCGGGGAAGAUUCACCUUGAUCUCUCGCCAUUCUUCUGAAAACAGCAAUCUGGGAAGCAUAGCCAGGUUCGUCGCUCGAGCCGCCAACGCCACUGAACUCCACAGUGUAGUUGUGGCUUGCAGCGAGGCCAAUAGCCCAGCGCUGGAACUGGGACCUCGUCCACUCGAACUUGUGGUCAUGGUUGCGGAACUUGCAAGGUCCAGCGUUUUUCUCCUGCUCCUCUUCCUUGUUUGGCAAAGCUGACCUCUGGAGGAUAGGGUUGUAUUCGUAGUUGGGUGUUGAGACAAUGAGCACCGCCGGACAGAAUGAGCUCAAUACAACGUUGCCGAAUAAACUUGCUUGGUCCUCCUCCACAUGCUCAAUCACCUGCAGUUUACUUCGGUUAGUCAAAAAAAGUCCCUAAACAAAACCAACAUACAAGAAAUGUACAAGCAUUUCCGGGUACAUUUUAUGUAGCAUAGGUUACUGAUUGCAAACGUCCUUCAGGUAUGUUGUCUUUCACAUAAAGGAACUAACUCCCGCGUUCACUCCUACAGUAAUUCUACAUCAAAUCCACACCAGGAACUAACAGCCCAUAUGCCCAGAUCAAUUCUAGAACAAAACCAAGCCUAACGUUUUACAUACAUAUAACAAAACCAAACAAGAAGAUACAAACAGUUCAAAAGGAGUACUCGGCUACCUCAAGACAGCUGCCAAUAUCAAACCCAUAUAAGCGAGAAUCAAAAUCUGUUACUGAUCCAUGAUAGAGCACAGCUGUUGGAACACUAGUUUGUAACAAGAGUUUCUUGCUAAGCUUCUGAUGAAGGCUCUGCAAUGUCAGAUAGAGGUGAAACAAAUCCAAAUAUAAAUCAUUACAAACAACAACAACAAAGCCUUUAGUCCCAAACAAGUUGGGGUAGGCUAGAGGUGAAACCCAUAAGAUCUCGCAACCAAAUAUAAAUCAUUGAAAAGGAAAAAAAUGGUUCAAAGAGUAAACAACUAUUUGAGCAUGACUUUGAACCUUUCCCGCUCUCGUAAGACCCUUUCGAGAAAUAUCAACACCAACAAUUUUUUCAAGGGUUGUUGGAUGCUCUAACAGUGAAUCGAGAAGACUACCAGAUCCACAACCAAAAUCAACCUGAAAAAUUCAGCUUUAAUAGUGACAAGCCAAUACUUGUAAAUAAGGAACUAGGAUGAAAGUAAUAUUCACCAAUGUUGUAGCAUGCAGCUGGUUGAUGUGCCGAACAGCAAAUUCAACUCUCUGUUUAGAUAAAGCAGGAUUGAACAAGGCCUUCUCCAUUCUAUCUUCUAAAGGUUCAGUUACUUGCAACACCUUUACGGAGAACUCCAAGACGCAGCUGUCUGCAAAGAUGUUCAAAUGUAGGAAGGAUGUUGAAUCCCAAUUCCAACAAUCAUAGAUAACUGUCAGAUUGAGCUAUUGAUAUAGGUAGCUCACCUCUAGAUAUCUUGGAAAGGUCCAGUGACAACUCACUAGCUGCAGCGAGGCUCAAAUCCCUAUCAGACAGUUGAUCUACAAAGCAUGCACUUUGAUUAACUGAGAGUUGAGUUGCACAUGAUUCAAGCUGAUUCCUAACAGCUCCAGCCCCUAUCUCAAACUCAAACUCAUUAUUGACUUCUAGGAGAUAUCUCGUUCUGCUGUCCUUCAUAAACAGGUGAACACUGUAGCUUAUGCAAGCCAACGAUCUAUGGGACGGAAAAACACCAGAAUCUUGACCAUCAACGUCUGUUAAAAAAUGCACUGCUUUCAAGCUGCUGAUAUGAUGUAUCCAUAGAAAAGUAUCCAACUGCGCUGCAUGUUCUUGAAUGACCACCACUUGUCUUGCCAUAGACAGAUAAGCACAUUGCAAAUUCUUGUAAAAAUAUAUUUGGAUAUAUCGUGAGGCCAUCAGUGCUCUUAGGAAGAUAGAGCUUCUCCACAGGCGUGUUCAGCUGCUUAAAAUAACGAUUGAACCAAAUCAAGACCUUCAACGCAGAAUUCUGAAUAGGACCAGUUUCCUUGCUCCAGCUAUAAUCUGUGGAAUACUCUAGUAAAAGCUCCCUCUUCUUUGAAUAUAUUUUGACAGAGCACUUGAACAUGUCUGGGUUUUCCUUGGCAAUCCUUCCAUCAUUUGCGCACUGAUCUCCAGCGGUUGCUUUUGGUGACCCCAUCUCUUCAGAGCCCACAGCUGUUCCUAAGACAUUACAGGAUGCACUUACCCCAUUGGCAGCGAAAUGGGGUUCUGAUAGCCUCUGGAGGCGACAGAAAGAACAAAGGAGAUCUCGUGGAGAGGGGCCUUUCCAACUGGUACGAGUAUAAACACACGGAAGCUCUGCCACAAGAAUCGAGUCCUUGGAGAUCUUGUAAAUUCCAUCAGGUAAUUUUCGCAGAAGAAUCCUGAGGAUCCAAAAGCAUGUUACAUAAACAAAAUAUAAAAUAUGGCGAGAAAGAGUAGUUCCUACAAGACAGAGAAAAACAGUCUCAAAAUCGAAGAUAACUAGAACACAAUGGAGAGAAAUUGAUGAAUGACCGGCAUCUACAGCUAGAUUACGAUUCCCUAUAGAUCGUUAGCUGGUGUAUCACUUAUUCAUAGAAGAUUGCAGUUUUGCUGCAAACACAUAGCAUACAAGUGAAAUCGUCAACAAGCUUGUACCUGUAAUAGGUACAUAGAUUGACAUGAUCAGUUUGAAGUUCUGUAUCUCUCCUUGUGUAUCCAACAUUUGCCAAAACUGCAUCUCCAUAAAUUGUUUGGCCAGAAAUGUAGGAAGCUCGCUUAUUUAUUACGCAGUUCAUAUUGCGAUCUCCACGAUCAUCCACCAAUUGUUUUGAUAAAUCAGAAACAAAUUGUACAUCCGGAGCUGGGAAAAAAAACCUCAUCUCAGAAGAUGCUUUGUCAACUGUUCUGCAGUAAGAAAAAUGCUUUAAACUGUCAGCACAACCAAUUUGCUGUAAAGGUUCAGAAAUCAAGACUUCACCAAUCACAGACUCUGUACUGACCUUGAGACAAGGACAUGAGAUGAAUCAGUUGCAGAGAGCUUCGAUGCUAUAUCACCCAUGUAAUGUUCAUUCUCUCAUAUAUUAAGGCUUACCAUCUUAGGUUCAUCAUCCAACACACAUGGAAUAAGAACUGCUUCUACUCUUAUGGGAUCUGAAAUACCAGACCAGCGCUGAAGUGCCAAAUCAACAGCCUCAGGGGAAUAAGGCCUUUGAAUCUGAAUCCAAAAGUUUCUGUUACUAACAGAUACACCAAGAGAUUGUUUGGCAGCAUUAUAGAUCAUUGAAAGAACCAAGAGAGGAUCAAAUUCUGCCUUAGGGUCAAUAACUUUACACAAUGUAUGGACCUUAACAUCACAAGCAACAAUGGCUGAAAUAGGUAGCUUUCCAAGGAGGCCCCCAGUCUUCUGAGUGUCACACUCAAGUGCCCAACAAGAGGAUGAGAUGAUGCGGGGAAGUUCUGAAAUGAAGCAUAGAAGCCAUGUUAGAAUAGGUAUUGUUGGAAAUAUUAGCACUUUCUCGAUUAAUCUAAUUGACGAGUAGACAGUAAACAUGGCAAAUACGGUAUGCAUCUCAUACCGAUAUUUAAGCAUGUGAGCACAUACAGUACAUAGAAUCGAACCAUCUAUGAACAUCAUAUAUACGGCUAGCACACGAACGAGCAAAUAGGGGAUGAACGACUCAUACCCUCCGGUUGGCCAGGCCAACAUGGCGGCGGCGGCAGCAGCCUCGGCAUCAGCCAAUGCCUUCUUCUUGGCGAUUUCGUCGUCAGCCAUGGAGUCGAUGUAGAGGAAGUAGUGAAAGCAAAGGCGGACGAAGACGGGGACGGAUCGGGAGCAGCCGCGUCGAGACGCUCCCCAAAAACCUUAUUGCCGUUCUCCCGGGCAGGAUCUUGAACGACAGGGUUCCGGAGGCACCUGCUCUCCCGACCAACCGUGCACGCGGUCGUCGGGAUGGGAUCGCUGGAGACAGCUCAGUGAGAGGAACAGUAGAUGACGGCUAGGGUUGUACGAUAGGGAGUGAGUGAACUGAGUUAGGGUUCACUCCACUAGCCAACGCCUUCUUAUAUAGGCCUUUGAGUAGAUGGGCCUGGGCUCAGGCCCAUGACCGAGUCUGCGAACAGCCCACGGUCCAACGUCUCGGACAGUGGCACUUUCGUAAGCGACUCGUUAAUUAAUACAAGAUCAAUUAACCAUUCUUGACCGGAAAAAAUAAGCUUCGGCUCGGCUCAUUCCCGCAACCCGUGGCGCGCGCGCGCUUCGUGACGAGGCGAGCGGCGGAAAAGGAGGAGCGCGCGUGUGCCGCUCCUACUCCCAAGCUCCCAAUAGCAAGUGAUGGAGCAACCCUUAUAAAGAGGUCUCACUCUUCUUACUGUAGCAGUAUGGUACUAAACUUCCCACACUUCCCACCACUUGUCGUACACAUGCAUGGGCCUUAGAGAUUAACCAGGGAUUAUUGUCUUAUAUGAGCCUAAGCCCAUCCAUAAUCCAACAACCCCCACCAGAUCUCGAGGCACAUAAGUUUGUCAACUGUUCCAAACAAUGUUUGAUAUACCAGAAUUUUUAGUGGAGACUGUUAAAUUGAACUUCCACCUAAAGCAAUGGGAUUAGACUUCUUCACAAACUGAACAAUGGACUAUGCCUUGAAUUGUCAGUUUGGCGUGUAGAAGUUUCGCCCAUUGUCAGCUGAUAUGUGGCUGCCGAAGGCUAAACCCCACGGGUGGAGCUUCUUAGUCAUACUCCGUACCUUCUCAUGAGCUUCCUAGAUAUCACCCAAUCUCAUAGACUGUGACCAGCAGUCGGGCUCACAUAGGUGUGUGUUCCUUCAAAGAAUGCUCUGUAGGUUAGCAUCUUGCUUACAUAAGCUUUGGAACACAUUAAGACAAAAGUCAGCCAGCCUUAUAGAAUUGAGAGUAUUAUUGCAUCUCCAACGGAGUGGAUUAAUUAAGGAUACUCUCCUCAGUUGACCGCUGGAUUGUUGUCCUGGGUCCUAAUUCACGGGAUCUCCGAUCACAUAGGUUGGGUUACCCACAUGGCAACUUACGUGGGUCUCAUACCCAUCUCCCUCGAUGCAUUUUCUAUCACAAUCCGUGAUACCCUUUUGUAAAAGGGUCUGCCAGAUUCUUAGCCGUCUGGAUAUAAUCCAACCCUAUUACUCCGGAGUUUCUUGAUUUUCUGACAGAUUUUAAUCUUCUUCUUAUGUGCUUUGUGGAUUUCAAGUUGUCCUUUGAACUCUUAGCCUUGGCAAUCACUGUUUGAUUGUCACAGUUCAUAAGGACAGCGGGGACUGGUUUAUCAACCACCGACAAAUCCAUCAAAAGCUCUCGAAGCAUUCUGCUUCGACACAUGAUGUGUCCAAUGCUUUGAGUUCCGCUUCCAUAGUCGAUCUUGUUAAGAUCGUCUGCUUGCAAGACAUCCAGGAAACAGCACCGCCACCAAGUGUGAAGACAUAUCCACUUGUGGCUUUCAUCUCAUCAGCAUCAGAUAUCCAAUGUUAGGACCCCGAUUCCAAGUCACAUCGAUCUAGCCGGUAACACCUCAUAACACUUUGCGGCCUCACGCACGGUAUUCCCACGGGUGACGCCUUAUCAUGGCCUGGGACCGUUUGCGCCUUUUGGCUCACAUAUAUGAUAGUGUCGCUAGCAUCCAUAUGACAGAGAACCCGGGCCGACAUGGCUAGUCGUGAACCCAAAGCGGCACUAACCUAUGGGAACAGGCAUACAUGAAUCACAUCGAGCAUGUCGGUCAGCAGCGUGUGAAUCCGGGCUGUAGCACUGGCUAACAGGACUCCGGGAACCCGGGCUGUAGCAGGCUAGGCAGGACUUCGGAUGUCACCGCGUGACAUUUCCCCGAAGGGACAGACACAGGAACGAAGUGAAACACAUGUCGGCCAGUCAAGUGUUCUGAGCAGUAGUGCUGGGCUAGCAGGACUCCGGUGAACCGGGCUGUAGCGGACUACUAUGGCUCAUGGAAGCACUAGACUACAUUUCCCCAUAAGAGAGCUGCCAAGGAUAAACAACUAGAUUGUCGGAUCCCACACAUACCAAGCAUUUCAAUCAUACACACAAUAUGCUCGAUAUGUGUAAAUACAACAUAGCAUCACAACAUAACUCUACGACUCAAACAUUUAUUCAUUAGGCUCCGAGGAGCGAGAUAUUACAAACAUGGGUCUCAUGACCCAACAAUCAUAGCAUACAAAUCAAAGCACACGCGGAAGCUUAACAUGUCUGAGUACAGACAUCUACAAAUGAAAAAGGCUAAGAAGCCUGACUAUCUACCAGAUCCUGCCGAGGACACAAGAUCGUAGCUGAGGUAUCAAGCUAAACGUCGAAGCCCACGCGGAACUACUAGCGAGACUGAAGUCUCUCUGCAAAACAUAAAUUAAGCAAACGUGAGUACAAAAGUACUCAGCAAGACUUACAUCAGAACUAGCUACAUAUGCAUCGGCAUCAACAAAGGGAUGGUGGGGUUUAACUGCAGCAAGCCAGCUUUGACUCAGUAGCUAACCUAAACUACGACUGCAAGCAACUCUUUUGAGGUGGCGCACACGAGUCCACAUAUUCACCAUAUCAAUACACCACUACGGAUCCGCUCCCGUCUCCCUACGAGAAGGCCAUCCAUAGCACUCACGCUUAUCUUGCGAGUUUUAGAGUAUCCACUUUCACUUGUCUAUGAACUAUGCAAGGGGUCCAAGUUUCCAUAUCCGAGGAAUCCGGCUAUUCGAAUAGAUAAUGAUAACCCUACAUGGGUGUACUUCUUCACACACGCUCCCACCACUUAUCACCAUAUACACGUCAUGUAUCUCGGCAACCUUCAAGCGGAAGCCUGGCGAGGGUGUCGGCCACGGCCUACCUAAACACUCAAGUCUCUAGUCCAGGUUUAUUGCCUAUCCAGGUUCCAUCCGCAGGGAGUCCGGCCGAGGUUUCCACAUACGGCCCUGAACGAUGUGAACAGGGUUCCCGAGACACCAAACGGGCGCCCGGUACACCGUGCCAUGGUGUAUCUACCGCAUCAUAGCCCACCCCUAGGGUCAGCACUACGCACAGCCGCCAACACAUAACCUACAAACACCAGAAACUAGUUGCAACUCCUGGACAGAGUACUAGGGUGAUUAAGAAGCCGAGAGGGUCAAUUAAGGAUCCCAAUGAGUGGUAGUAGAUGUUCAUGGAUCACAGACACAAAACUCAGUUCUUGAGGAUGGUUUCAAUGAGACAACCCACCAUGUACUCCUACAUGGCCUCUCACUGCUACCUUUACCAAAUCGUGUUCACACACUUAGCUCACACACAGUAGGACAUGUUCACACACCUCCGAUUCAUCCCCGAUGAAUCAGACCUGACACAACUCUAUGCAAUAGCAGGCAUGACAAACAAGCAUGAAUGAGUAGGCACAUCAGGGCUCAAACAACAACUACUCAUGCUAGUGGGUUUCAUCUAUUUACUGUGGCAAUGACAGGUCAUGCAGAGGAAAAGGGUUCAACUACCGCAGCAUGUAACAGUUGAAUCGUUGUUGUCCUAAUGCGGUAAAAGAGAGCAGGAGCGAGAGAGUAGGAUUGUAUCGGAAUGAACAAGGGGGUUUUGCUUGCCUGACACUUCUGAAGAUAAUAUAGUUCUUCAUCGGUGUCAUCGAUCACGUCGUCGGAAACAUCGUCGUCUGAGAGGGGAUGGUUAGCGGCAAACAGAGAAGGACACAAUAAAUGCAAUGCAACAAUAUGAUGCAUGAAUGUGACAUGGCAAUAUGCUGUUGAUUGGCCUAAUGCAACUAGCAAUCAUAUUAAAUGAAGUUGGUUUGAACCAAGGGUUCAAAUUCAAACUCCAUAUGUGCUUAUUUAAAUGUCAAUUAUGCAAAUUGCCCUGUACAGCAACCCUAGGUUGUUCAAACAUGCAUGAAAAUGCCAUAAACGGAUUCCUUGAAUUUUUCUGAUAAUUUUUCAUAUAUAAUUUAUUUCAUUCUGAGUUAUAGAUAAUUUUCUAUGAAUUUUAGAAGUUUUGGCUAUUUUCUGGAAUUAAAUAAAUCAUUUAGAUUUAUUUAAAAAUACAGAAAAGCAUUUACUGCAUCAGCCUUGCAUCAUGCUGACGUCAUUUGGUCAACAGACGCAGUCCAGGUCAAACCUGACCAGUGGGACCCACUGGUCAGUGACCCAGUGCUGCCUAGGGUCACAGACAGGUGGGGCCCGGUCAACGGACACGUCAGCAUAGUCAAAACUGCACGUGGGGCCACUGCAAUUAGCUUAACCUUAAUCUAUUUUAGUUAGCCGGUUAGUUAGGCGGUGGGGCCCGGCUGUCAGUGGCUUAGAGGCUUAGUUAGCGGGGUGUUUAAUCCCCAAACAGUGGCUAUCACCGGCGGCUAAUCGCCGACGUAACCAGGACGAGGCGACGUUGCCCGCCCGGCCAACUCCGGCGACGGGAGCAAGCGGGGCUGGUCUCAUUGGAACGGCCGCGAUGCGGCGCGUCCAACGAUGGUGAUUGCAGGGGUUGGGGUGGCCGAAGACGAUGACGAGGAGCUCGGCCGCGGCGGCCGGCGUUCGGAUGUGCGCGGGAGCACGGCUGCGCUGUGUAAACGGGCGAGGCAAAGCACUAGAGAUGCUCUAUGCGGUGCAGCGAGCUCGGUGGACACGCGCCCGGGACCAAAUGGUCAUCGGAGCGUCGGUGGCGGCGAGCGCAGGCGGCAGCGGAGUUCGGUCGUCGGCGAAACGGCGACUAUGGCGUGCAACCGAGAAAACAGGGAGGGAGAGAAGGAGGAGCAGCUCAUGGCGGUUGCAGUAGGCGUCGAAGUGGGCUCGGGGAAGGCCGGAGCUGAGCGGGGCGGCGAGGCGAAUCUCCGGCGGCCGAGGAGGGGAAAAGCGGCGGGGGUGGCGCUUCGGGGCCCUUCCGGUAGCUUGGCUCAGUGAGGAGGUAGGGAACGAGGUGGCGGAGCUCGAGGAUAGCUCGGGGCGGCUCGGGGAACACGGUGGACGCGGUGACGGAAAGCGGUGGCGACGGUCUCGCUCGGCCGUGCGCGUGAGAGAGAGCAGAGGAGGGGAGGGGGUCCAGAGCAAGAGGGGAGAGACGCAGGGGGUCAAGGGCGUCUCCGUGGCACGUUCAGAAGAGCCGGGGCGUCGCGGUGGAAGCAGGAGCUGGCGCGCGCGCGACGAGCACGCGCCCUGUCUACUGGCACGGGGAGGAAGACGACAGAGGGGGCUGCGGUGGUGGGUUGGGCCGGUGAAGCUAGGCCGGCAACAGGUAGGUGGGCCGAGGUAAGUCCAGGUAACUCUCUCUCUCUGUUUCUGUUUUUUUGUUCUGUUUGUUUUUAUUUUAUCUUUGCCACUGCUUUUAAAAUUCAAAACAGUUUCAAAAACAGUGUCAAUUAUCCUCUAAUAAUUUCAUGUUGCAAAAUGGACUUUUCCAAAUGCACAUAAAAUAUAUCAGAGGUAUUUGGAGAUAUAUCAUAUAUAUAUUUGGGUAUAUUUCCAAAUUCAAAUAGGAUAGUGAUUUAAAUUCAGUGCCCAAAAUAUUCCACAAAAAUGUUCCCUAUUUUUGGUUUCGUCUCAAAGCCUUGCCAAAAAUUAACAAACAUUUAUGAAGGCAUUUUGGAAACAAUGAAUGCAAUUUAAAGGGUUCUUGCCCUUCUUUUAAAUUGAUUUCUGAGGCUUUCACUUUCCUCAUUUCAAGUUUCUUGAAAUUAACAGGAUGCAUGAUGCUCACUGAUGCAACUAUCUCCAAACAAUUCUAGGGCUGUGACAACUCACCCCCACUAAACAAGAAUCUUGUCCCGAGAUUCAAGACGGGAGGUACGAAGACAGAGGGGGUACAAACUAACAUGAUCUUCAUGAUCCAUUGCUUCAGAUCGAUCUUGGCGUCCUUCCUUUCAAGAUCUUCAUCCAACACGAUGACGACAGACAGGAACUCUACCAGAAUCGAUCUUCUCGAAGAUCGGGCAACUCAAGAUCAACUCUUAGGGUGAGAUAUAAAACUUCUCUUGAGCUGAGACACGAAACAUACAUUCGGGGGGAUGGGGUGUAACAGAUGACGAAGGUCCACUAAGUAGGCAACAAAUCCACGCUCGAUCACGACGUAGCGAGGAGUUAACUGCCAUGAUUCCACAACGGGGCACCUUGGGGAAGGUGACUCGUAGAUCUAUCACCUUAAGUGGCAAAAAGAAUUACUUUUGAUACAGAGAUCAAUGAAACUCUCUACACCAGCCUAAGACAAAUCACCAACAGACAUUUGGCAGAGUUCAAAGGAAUGGCAUACCCGGGCUCGAAUGGGUGAUGUGGACUACCUUGUUGAAGACAACACAACGAAUGAUUUUUGCUUAUCACCGGAAAUGGAUGGGACUCAUGGUAAGUACACUUCUGAAGAUGAUCCUUCUUCGGCAAUUGAGAAUGGCAGCCCAUGGGAAACUGGCACAAUGGCCAUGCAAGCUGGAAACAAAAUGCUAAUGUUGGAAAUGUUCCAACCAUCAUAUCUGCCUGAGAUUCAGAUCUGGUUGAUAACAUGAUAUUUCAGACAACAUGCCUGGAAAGAAGGGUUGCAACACAAAUUGACGAGAUGACGUUGCAAGAUUCUCAGGGAAUGAACUACGAUAGCAAGCUCCAAAACAUGAGCAGGUUUUGCUACAACAUGUGAACACGCUGUCCCAGACAAGCAUGACCACACAGUAGUCUUAUAAUAAAACACUACCGAGUUCAGGUUGGGAACCAUCAUCGAGGAUAUCGAAGUCCUUGUGCACUUAUCGAUGAACUUCUUAUCCUUGAGCAAGUCAAUCAGUGGCUUGGUGUGCUAGGAACACAUAUAGAAUGGAGGCGGCCAACCUAUCAAACCAUAGGGCAGUUAGCACGUGCAUGACUAACUUGGGAUGAUUCCAGAGGAGGCAAAAUAAACUUUCUCGAAUUCACGGCGGCAACUGAAGGAAAUAUGCCCUAGAGGCAAUAAUUAUUUAUUUCCUUAUAUCAUGAUAAAUGUUUAUUAUUCAUGCUAGAAUUGUAUUAACCGGAAACAUAAUACAUGUGUGAAUACAUAGACAAACAUAGUGUCACUAGUAUGCCUCUACUUGACUAGCUCGUUAAUCAAAGAUGGUUAUGUUUCCUAACCAUGAACAAUGAGUUAUUAUUUGAUUAACGGGAUCACAUCAUUAAGUGAAUGAUCUGAUUGACAUGACCCAUUUCAUUAGCUUAGCACCCGAUCGUUUAGUAUGUUGCUAUUGCUUUCUUCAUGACUUAUACAUGUUCCUAUGACUAUGAGAUUAUGCAACUCCCGUUUGCCGGAGGAACACUUUGUGUGCUACCAAACGUCACAACGUAACUGGGUGAUUAUAAAGGAGCUUUACAGGUGUCUCCAAAGGUACAUGUUGGGUUGGCGUAUUUCGAGAUUAGGAUUUGUCACUCCGAUUGUCGGAGAGGUAUCUCUGGGCCCUCUCGGUAAUGCACAUCACUUAAGCCUUGCAAGCAUUGCAACUAACGAGUUAGUUGCGGGAUGAUGUAUUACAGAACGAGUAAAGAGACUUGACGAUAACGAGAUUGAACUAGGUAUUGGAAUACCGACGAUCGAAUCUCGGGCAAGUAACAUACCGAUGACAAAGGGAACAACGUAUGUUGUUAUGCGGUCUGACCGAUAAAGAUCUUCGUAGAAUAUGUAGGAGCCAAUAUGAGCAUCCAGGUUCCGCUAUUGGUUAUUGACCGGAGACAUGUCUCGGUCAUGUCUACAUUGUUCUCGAACCCGUAGGGUCCGCACGCUUAAGGUUACGAUGACAGUUAUAUUAUGAGUUUAUGCAUUUUGAUGUACCAAAGUUUGUUCGGAGUCCCGGAUGUGAUCANNNNNNNNNNNNNNNNNNNNNNNNNNNNNNNNNNNNNNNNNNNNNNNNNNNNNNNNNNNNNNNNNNNNNNNNNNNNNNNNNNNNNNNNNNNNNNNNNNNNNNNNNNNNNNNNNNNNNNNNNNNNNNNNNNNNNNNNNNNNNNNNNNNNNNNNNNNNNNNNNNNNNNNNNNNNNNNNNNNNNNNNNNNNNNNNNNNNNNNNNNNNNNNNNNNNNNNNNNNNNNNNNNNNNNNNNNNNNNNNNNNNNNNNNNNNNNNNNNNNNNNNNNGAAGAAGAGGAGAGGCAGCCAGGGCUUGGGCCGCGCGCCCCUCCCCCCUAGUCCGAAUAGGACAAGGAGAGAGGCGGCCGGCGCCCUCCUCCUUCUCUCUCUCUCUUUUACACCUCAUGAAUCCUAUUCCAACUAGGAUUGGGGGAGAAGUCCUACUCCCGGAGGGAGUAGGACUCCUCCUGGCGCGCCCCUCAUGGUCGGCCGGCCUCCCCCCUUUAGUCCUUUAUAUACGGAGGCAGGGGCACCCCAGAGAAACACAAGUUGAUCCACGUGAUCAUAAUCUUAGCCGUGUGCGGUGCCCCCUUCCACCAUAGUCCUCGAUAAUAUUGUAGCGGAGUUUAGGCGAAGCCCUGCUGCAGUAGUACAUCAAGAUCGUCACCACGCUGUUGUGCUGACGGAACUCUUCCCCGACACUUUGCUGGAUCAGAGUCCGGGGAUCGUCAUCGAGCUGAACACGUGCUAAAACUCGGAGGUGCCGUAGUUUCGGUGCUUGAUCGGUCGAGCCGUGAAGACGUACGACUACAUCAACCAAACGCUUCCGUUGUCGAUCUACUAGGUAUGUAGAUCACACUCUCCCCUCUCGUUGCUAUGCAUCACCAUGAUCUUGCAUGUGCGUAGGGAAAUUUUUGAAAUUACUACGUUCCCCAACAGUGGCAUCCGAGCCAGGUUUUAUAUGUUGAUGUUAUAUGCACGAGUAGAACACAAGUGAGUUGUGGGCGAUAUAAGUCAUACUGCUUACCAGCAUGUCAUACUUUGGUUCGGCGGUAUUGUUGGAUGAAGCGGCCCGGACCGACAUUACGCGUACGCUUACGCGAGACCGGUUCUCCCGACGUGCUUUGCACAUAGGUGGCUUGCGGGUGACAGUUUCUCCAACUUUAGUUGAAUCGAGUGUGGCUACGCCUGGUCCUUGCGAAUGUUAAAACAGCACCAACUUGACAAACUAUCGUUAUGGUUUUGAUGCAUAGGUAAGAUUGGUUCUUGCUUAAGCCCGUAGCAGCCACAUAAAACUUGCAACAACAAAGUAGAGGACGUCUAACUUGUUUUUGCAGGGCAUGUUGUGAUGUGAUAUGGUCAAGACAUGAUGCUGAUUUUUAUUGUAUGAGAUGAUCAUGUUUUGUAACCGAGUUAUCGGCAACUGGCAGGAGCCAUAUGGUUGUCGCUUUAUUGUAUGCAAUGCAAUCGCUAUGUAAUGCUUUACUUUAUCACUAAGCGGUAGCGAUAGUCGUGGAAGCACAAGCUUGGCGAGACGACAAUGAUGCUACAAUAGAGAUCAAGGUGUCACGCCGGUGACGAUGGUGAUCACGACGGUGCUUCGGAGAUGGAGAUCACAAGCACUAGAUGAUGAUGGCCAUAUCAUAUCACUUUUAUUGAUUGCAUGUGAUGUUUAUCUUUUAUGCAUCUUAUCUUGCUUUGAUUGAUGGUAGCAUUAUAAGAUGAUCUCUCACUAAAUUAUCAAGAAGUGUUCUCCCUGAGUAUGCACCGUUGCGAAAGUUCUUCAUGCUGAGACACCACGUGAUGAUCGGGUGUGAUAGGCUCUACGUUCAAAUACAACGGGUGCAAAACAGUUGCACACGCGGAAUACUCAGGUUAAACUUGACGAGCCAAGCAUAUACAGAUAUGGCCUCGGAACACGGAGACCGAAAGGUCGAGCGUGAAUCAUAUAGUAGAUAUGAUCAACAUAGUAAUGUUCACCAAUGAAACUACUCCAUCUCACGUGAUGAUCGGACAUGGUUUAGUUGAUUUGGAUCACGUAAUCACUUAGAGGAUUAGAGGGAUGUCUAUCUAAGUGGGAGUUCUUUAAGUAAAUUAACUGAACUUAAAUUUAUCAUAAAACUUAGUACCUGAUAAGUAUCUUGCUUGUUUAUGCUUGUUUGUCGAUAGAUGGCUCGUGCUGUUGUUCCGUUGAAGUUUAAUGUGUUCCUUGAGAAAGCAAAGUUGAAAGAUGAUGGUAGCAAUUACACGGACUGGGUUCGUAACUUGAGGAUUAUCCUCAUUGCUGCACAGAAGAAUUACGUCCUGGAAGCACCGCUGGGUGCCAGGCCUGCUGCAGGAGCAACGCCGGAUGUUGUGAACGUCUGGCAGAGCAAAGCUGAUGACUUCUCGAUAGUUCAGUGUGCCAUGCUUUACGGCUUAGAAUCGGGACUUCAACGACGUUUUGAACUUCAUGGAGCAUAUGAGAUGUUCCAGGAGUUGAAGUUAAUAUUUCAAGCAAAUGCCCGGAUUGAGAGAUAUGAAGUCUCCAAUAAGUUCUAUAGCUGCAAGAUGGAGGAGAACAGUUCUGUCAGUGAGCAUAUACUCAAAAUGUCUGGGAAUAAUAAUCACUUGAUUCAACUGGGAGUUAAUCUUCCAGAUGAUUGCGUCAUUGACAGAAUUCUCCAAUCACUGCCACCAAGCUACAAGAGCUUCAUGUUGAACUAUAAUAUGCAAGGGAUGAAUAAGACUAUUCCCGAGCUCUUCGCAAUGCUAAAAGCUGCGGAGGUAGAAAUCAAGAAGGAGCAUCAAGUGUUGAUGGUCAACAAGACCACUAGUUUCAAGAAAAAGGGCAAAGGGAAGAAGAAGGGAAACUUCAAAAAGAACGGCAAGCAAGUUGCUGCUCAAGAGAAGAAACCCAAACCUGGACCUAAGCCUGAAACUGAGUGCUUCUAUUGCAAGCAGACUGGUCACUGGAAGCGGAACUGCCCCAAGUAUUUGGCGGAUAAGAAGGAUGGCAAGGUGAACAAAGGUAUAUGUGAUAUACAUGUUAUUGAUGUGUACCUUACUAAUGCUCGCAGUAGCACCUGGGUAUUUGAUACUGGUUCUGUUGCUAAUAUUUGCAACUCGAAACAGGGACUACGGAUUAAGCGAAGAUUGGCUAAGGACGAGGUGACGAUGCGCGUGGGAAACGGUUCCAAAGUCGAUGUGAUCGCGGUUGGCACACUACCUCUGCAUGACUAACUUGGGAUGAUUCCAGAGGAGGCAAAAUAAACUUUCUCGAAUUCACGGCGGCAACUGAAGGAAAUAUGCCCUUGAGGCAAUAAUUAUUUAUUUCCUUAUAUCAUGAUAAAUGUUUAUUAUUCAUGCUAGAAUUGUAUUAACCGGAAACAUAAUACAUGUGUGAAUACAUAGACAAACAUAGUGUCACUAGUAUGCCUCUACUUGACUAGCUCGUUAAUCAAAGAUGGUUAUGUUUCCUAACCAUGAACAAUGAGUUAUUAUUUGAUUAACGAGAUCACAUCAUUAAGUGAAUGAUCUGAUUGACAUGACCCAUUCCAUUAGCUUAGCACCCGAUCGUUUAGUAUGUUGCUAUUGCUUUCUUCAUGACUUAUACAUGUUCCUAUGACUAUGAGAUUAUGCAACUCCCGUUUGCCGGAGGAACACUUUGUGUGCUACCAAAUGUCACAACGUAACUGGGUGAUUAUAAAGGAGCUCUACAGGUGUAUCCAAAGGUACAUGUUGGGUUGGCGUAUUUCGAGAUUAGGAUUUGUCACUCCGAUUGUCGGAGAGGUAUCUCUAGGCCCUCUCGGUAAUGCACAUCACUUAAGCCUUGCAAGCAUUGCAACUAAUGAGUUAGUUGCAGGAUGAUGUAUUACAGAACGAGUAAAGAGACUUGUCGGUAAUGAGAUUGAACUAGGUAUUGGAAUACCGACGAUCGAAUCUCAGGCAAGUAACAUACCGAUGACAAAGGGAACAACAUAUGUUGUUAUGCGGUCUGACCGAUAAAGAUCUUGGUAGAAUAUGUAGGAGCCAAUAUGAGCAUCCAGGUUCCGCUAUUGGUUAUUGACCGGAGACAUGUAUCGGUCAUGUCUACAUUGUUCUCGAACCCGUAGGGUCCGCACGCUUAAGGUUACGAUGACAGUUAUAUUAUGAGUUUAUGCAUUUUGAUGUACCGAAGUUUUUUCAGAGUCCCGGAUGUGAUUACGGACAUGACGAGGAGUCUCAAAAUGGUCGAGACAUAAAGAUUGAUAUAUUGGAAGCCUAUGUUUGGAUAUCGGAAGUGUUCCGGGUGAAAUCGGAAUUUUACCGGAGUACUGGGAGGUUACCGGAACCCCCCCCCCCCGGGAGCUAUAUGGGCCUUAAUGGGCCAUAGUGGAUGAAGAGGAGAGGCAUCUAGGGCUUGGGCCACGCGCCCCUCCCCCCUAGUCCGAAUAGGACAAGGAGAGAGGGGGCCGGCGCGCUCCUCCUUCUCUCUCUCUCUUUUCCACCUCAUGAAUCCUAUUCCAACUAGGAUUGGGGGAGAAGUCCUACUCCUGGAGGGAGUAGGACUCCUCCUGGCGCGCCCCUCAUGGCCGGCUGGCCUCCCCCCUUUAGUCCUUUAUAUACGGAGGCAGGGGCACCCCAGAGAAACACAAGUUGAUCCACGUGAUCAUAAUCUUAGCCGUGUGCGGUGCCCCCUUCCACCAUAGUCCUCGAUAAUAUUGUAGUGGAGUUUAGGCAAAGCCCUGCUGCAGUAGUACAUCAAGAUCGUCACCACGCCGUCGUGCUGACGGAACUCUUCCCCGACACUUUGCUGGAUUAGAGUCCGGGGAUCGUCAUCGAGCUGAACGUGUGCUAAAACUCGGAGGUGCCAUAGUUUCGGUGCUUGAUCGGUCGGGCCGUGAAGACGUACGACUACAUCAACCAAACGCUUCCGUUGUCGAUCUACUAGGUAUGUAGAUCACACUCUCUCCUCUCGUUGCUAUGCAUCACCAUGAUCUUGCGUGUGCGUAGGAAUUUUUUUGAAAUUACUACGUUCCCCAACAGCAACUUGCAUCGAUUGCACGUGAACCAUAGGAAGUCACUUCUUUCAUCCAGACAGAUACUUCAUGAACGAGGCAUGAAAAAAAUGCUUACACAAGUUUCCAAUGCUAGCUAGAUGUUCAACACGAAUCAUGGAGGAGACAAAAUGCUGCUGAUGGACUCAAGAACAACUCAUCGGAAUUUCCAUAUCACUGAACUUCCACCAUCAUGUGAACACGGUGAUAGCAUUGGUCAGACCAAAGAUGUAAUGGUGUAUGCUCGAGGGAUCAACCACGAGUAAGACAACAUUACGAACAUCGUUGGUUCUGAUUUGACUUGACGAUAGCCCAUACUCAAGUCAAGGUUUUGACAAGGCAAUAGAUCCAACAACUGAUCACGAGGACCAAUCAAUGGAGAUAUCAUCUUUCUUCAUCACACACACACACACAAAAAAGAUAUCCCUUAACAUGAACUAAGUCAGACAGGCUUUAUCUUCCAACUCUCCAAGUUGUUGUUUAGCUCAACAAACUAGCUCAGGGAUAUCCAACAUAGAUUCUUGGAGAAGGGGUGAUUUAUAAGAAAACCCAUUUAAUCACGAACUCAACAUCCGGUCAGGUGACAACCAGGUAAUACUUUCGAGAAGAUCUUCAGAAAAUCACGAACCACCGAUAUGUUACUAAGCUCGAGAACAAUCUUGCUUUUCAGGGCAAGACGAUAUGAUCAACUAAGCAAGGAUAGACACAGUCCCAACUCUUGAUCGAAGAGUGCACCAGGAAAAUGGACUAGGUAGCACGAUCAAUCUUAGAAUGAUGAUUCAAUAACCAACACGCUAAGAAUGAGAAUAUUGUCCAUUAACUACCAAGCAACAAGGUUGCUAGGAGUACCGAUUUCACACAUCACAGUUCACUUGUCGGCAUUCCAGUUAUGGCAACACGGGACCGAGGAAUGAAUGAUGAUGGUGAGAGUAUCGCUGCAUCAAAAAUUCAUAAGAGAAGGUGCAAUUCUCAUGACGUUCCUGACAUAAAAGUGGGUAAUACUUCAGGGUAGAACAGAAUCAAAGCUUGAUUGCAUUUGAUCUGUGGAAUACAACUGCUUUGACCCAAUCCUAGAAAUGGAUGAGGUACUGAAGUUUGUUUCUCCUAGUCACUCUGAACUAGAAUGGCUUGACGUACCACAAGAAUAAUAAGCAUCGAUAACACGGAUGCACAAUUACUCUUGACUAUCAAUUGAUAGAUGAUGGUUGGAAUACAAAUGAAGAGGGACAACUCAAGGGAACAUAUAUCUUUCUGAGUUGUGGAUACAUAGGUUAGUAUGUUGAUCAAGCUCAACAUUUCUCCCGGAUAACCCAUGCAGAAAGGUAGAACUCGCAGAUUCACAAUGUAGAAUGGAGAACUCAUUAAGAGCACUCUGGUUGUGAUCUUUUGAUUCAAACAAAUUUCUGCCAAGGAUGAUUCAUGGUAUUUGGAAGAAUGAUAUACCACGGACCUCGAAGACUAUCACAAAGAUUACUAAUAUCCUAAAGGUACGAGCAACACUAUCAACACAAGGUAAGUAGAGUGGAUCUUGGGUCAAGAACCCAGGAGUAGAAUACCUACUACUAAAUGGCAUCGCGGAAUGCUUUCGAGAAUGGUGGCCAGAAUCAUCACACUGGGGAUACAAAGCAUUGCUAGAUUACUAGGUGACUCCCUAAAACACCUACGGUCAUAAUAAUAGCUCCAACAUAUAUGUCGAGACAAUAAAUUACCUCAACGCACCAGUUAGUGUGCUUAUUCUGACCAUAAAGGACAUCGGGAACGGAAAGAAAGGAUUGCAAAUGCAUCAGAUUAUCUAGAAACCUAGGAUGACUCGGCCAGCAUAACGGCUGUAAAUUCUCAAAAGAUUUGAGACAUCCUGCAAAAUGGUGGCAUAACCACUCAACAACACAAUAUCAAGGUUCCGAGAUCAACUGUCAACACACAGAAAUAGUAGGAACUGAACUAAGAAUUGAAUCCAUCAAUCCUAUAAGUCUAUGGAUUAGUAACAUGUCAUCCUGAUAGAUAGAUUAGAAGGCCUAGUUCUUAAACCCCGUAGAAGAGAAGAGGAUGACUCAGAUCAGAAGGCCAUAAGGUAAAGGAGUAAAAAGAGCCUUACGUUCCCUUCCACAAUCAAUUCCCCUACAUAACUAAAGCAUUUCUAGACACAACUUCGGCCGGUUUGGCCUGGUAAUCCUACAGGCAGUCAUGCUCUGAUACCAAAACUGUCAGGACCCCGAUUCCAAGUCACAUUGAUCUAGCCGGUAACACCUCAUAACACUUUGCGGCCUCACGCACGGUAUUCCCACGGGUGUCGCCUUAUCAUGGCCCGGGACCGUUUGCGCCUUUUGGCUCACAUAUAUGAUAGUGUCGCUAGCAUCCAUAUGACAGAGAACCCGGGCCGACAUGUCUAGUCGUGAACCCAAAGCGGCACUAACCUAUGGGAACAGGCAUACACGAAUCACAUCGAGCAUGUCGGUCAGCAGCGUGUGAAUCCGGGCUGUAGCACUGGCUAACAGGACUCCGGGAACCCGGGCUGUAGCAGGCUAGGCAGGACUUCGGAUGUCACCGCGUGACAUUUCCCCGAAGGGACAGACACAGGAACGAAGUGAAACACAUGCCGGCCAGUCAAGUAUUCUGAGCAGUAGUGUUGGGCUAGCAGGACUCCGGUGAACCGGGCUGUAGCGGACUACUAUGGCUCAUGGAAGCACUAGACUACAUUUCCCCAUAAGAGAGGCUACCAAGGAUAAACAACUAGAUUUUCGGAUCCCACACAUACCAAGCAUUUCAAUCAUACACACAAUUUGCUCGAUAUGUGUAAAUACAACAUAGCAUCACAACAUAACUCUACGACUCAAACAUUUAUUCAUUAGGCUCCGAGGAGCGAGAUAUUACAAACAUGGGUCUCAUGACCCAACAAUCAUAGCAUACAAAUCAAAGCACACGCGGAAGCUUAACAUGUCUGAGUACAGACAUCUACAAAUGAAAAAGGCUAAGAAGCCUGACUAUCUACCAGAUCAUGCCGAGGACACAAGAUCGUAGCUGAGGUAUCAAGCUAAACGUCGAAGCCCACGCGGAACUACUAGCGAGACUGAAGUCUCUCUGCAAAACAUAAAUUAAGCAAACGUGAGUACAAAAGUACUCAGCAAGACUUACAUCAGAACUAGCUACAUAUGCAUCGGCAUCAACAAAGGGAUGGUGGGGUUUAACUACAGCAAGCCAGCUUUGACUCAGUAGCUAACCUAAACUACGACUGCAAGCAACUCUUUUGAGGUGGCGCACACGAGUCCACAUAUUCACCAUAUCAAUACACCACUACAGAUCCGCUCCCGUCUCCCUACGAGAAGGCCAUCCAUAGCACUCACGCUUAUCUUGCGAGUUUUAGAGUAUCCACUUUCACUUGUCUAUGAACUAUGCAAGGGGUCCAAGGUCCCAUAUCCGAGGAAUCCGGCUAUUCGAAUAGAUAAUGAUAACCCUACAGGGGUGUACUUCUUCACACACGCUCCCACCACUUAUCACCAUAUACACGUCAUGUAUCUCGGCAACCUUCAAGCGGAAGCCUGGCGAGGGUGUCGGCCACAGCCUACCUAAACACUCAAGUCUCUAGUCCAGGUUUAUCGCCUAUCUAGGUUCCAUCCGCAGGGAGUCCGGCCGAGGUUUCCACAUACGGCCCCGAACGAUGUGAACAGGGUUCCCGAGACACCAAACGGGCGCCCGGUACACCGUGCCAUGGUGUAUCUAUCGCAUCAUAGCCCAUCCCUAGGGUCAGCGCUACGCACGGCCGCCAACACAUAACCUACAAACACCAGAAACUAGUUGCAACUCCUGGACAGAGUACUAGGGUGAUUAAGAAGCCGAGAGGGUCAAUUAAGGAUCCCAAUGAGUGGUAGUAGAUGUUCAUGGAUCACAGACACAGAACUCAGUUCUUGAGGAUGGUUUCAAUGAGACAACCCACCAUGUACUCCUGCAUGGCCUCUCACUGCUACCUUUACCAAAUCGUGUUCACACACUUAGCUCACACACAGUAGGACAUGUUCACACACCUCCGAUUCAUCCCCGAUGAAUCAGACCUGACACAACUCUAUGCAAUAGCAGGCAUGACAAACAAGCAUGAAUGAGUAGGCACAUCAGGGCUCAAACAACAACUACUCAUGCUAGUGGGUUUCAUCUAUUUACUGUGGCAAUGACAGGUCAUGCAGAGGAAAAGGGUUCAACUACCGCAGCAUGUAACAGUUGAAUCGUUAUUGUCCUAAUGCAGUAAAAGAGAGCAGGAGCGAGAGAGUGGGAUUGUAUCGGAAUGAACAAGGGGUUUUUUCUUGCCUGGCACUUCUGAAGAUAAUAUAGUUCUUCAUCGGUGUCAUCGAUCAUGUCGUCGGAAACAUCAUCGUCUGAGAGGGGACGGUUACCGGCAAACAGAGAAGGACACAAUCGAUGCAAUGCAACAAUAUGAUGCAUGAAUGUGACAUGGCAAUAUGUUGUUGAUUGGCCUAAUUGCUAGCAAUCAUAUUAAAUGAAGUUGGUUUGAACCAAGGGUUCAAAUUCAAACUCCAUAUGUGCUUAUUUAAAUGUCAAUUAUGAAAAUUGCCCUGUACAACAACCCUAGGUUGUUCAAACAUGCAUGCAAAUGCCAUAAACAGAUUCCUUGAAUUUUUCUGACAAUUUUUCAUAUAUAAUUUAUUUCAUUCUGAGUUAUAGAUAAUUUUCUAUGAAUUUUAGAAGUUUUGGCUAUUUUCUGGAAUUAAAUAAAUCAUUUAGAUUUAUUUAAAAAUACAGAAAAGCAUUUACUGCGUCAGCCUUGCAUCAUGCUGACGUCAUCUGGUCAACAAACGUAGUCCAGGUCAAACCUGACCAGUGGGACCCACUGGUCAGUGACCCAGUGCUGCCUAGGGUCACAGACAGGUGGAGCCCGGUCAACGGACACGUCAGCAUAGUCAAAAAUGCACCUGGGGCCACUGCAAUUAGCUUUACCUUAACCUAUUUUAGUUAGCCGGUUAGUUAGGUGGUGGGGCCCGGCUGUCAGUGGCUUAGAGGCUUAGUUAGCGGGGUGUUUAAUCCCCAAACAGUGGCUAUCACCGGCGGCUAAUCGCCGGCGUAACCAGGACGAGGCGGCGUUACCCGCCCGGCCAACUCCGGCGACGGGAGCAAGCGGGGCUGGUCUCGUUGGAACGGCCGCGAUGCGACGCGUCCAACGGCGGUGGUUGCAGGGGCUGGGGCGGCCGGAGACGACGACGAGGAGCUCGGCCGCGGCGGCCGGUGUUCGGGUGUGCGCGGGAGUGCGGCUGCGCUGUGUAAACAGGCGGGGCGAAGCACUGGAGAUGCUCUACGCGAUGCAGCGAGCUCGGUGGACACGCGCCCGGGACCAAAUGGUUACCGGAGCAUCGGCGGCGACGAGCGCAGGCGGCGGCGAGCGCAGGCGGCGGCGGAGUUCGGUCAUCGGCGAAACAGCGACUACGGCGUGCAACCGAGAAAACGGAGAGGGGAAGGAGGAGCAGCAGCUCACGGCGGUUGCAGUAGGCGUCGAAGCGGGCUCGGGGAAGGCCGGAGCUGAGCGGGGCGGCGAGGCGAAUCUCCGGCGGCUGAGGAGGGGAAAAGCGACGGGGGUGGCGCUUCGGGGCCCUUCCGGUAGCUUGGCUCGGUGAGGAGGUAGGGAACGAGGUGGCGGAGCUCGGGGAUAGCUCGGGGCGGCUCGAGGAACACGGUGGACGCGGUGACCGCAAGCGGCGCGACGGUCUCGCUCGGCCGUGCGCGUGAGAGAGAGCAGAGGAGGGGGAGGGGUCUAGAGCGAGAGAGGAGAGACGCAGGGGGUCGAGGGCGUCUUCAUGGCGCGUUCAGAAGAGCCGGGGCGUUGCGGUGCAAGCAGGAGCUGGCGCGCACGUGACGAGCACGCGCCCUGUCUACUAGCACGGGGAGGAAGACGACAGAGGGGGCUGCGGUGGUGGGCUGGGCCGGUGAAGCUGGGCCGGCAACAGGUAGGUGGGCCGAGGUAAGUCCAGGUAACUCUCUCUCUCUGUUUCUGUUUUUUUGUUCUGUUUGUUUUUAGUUUAUCUUUGCCACUGCUUUUAAAAUUCAAAACAGUUUCAAAAACAGUGUCAAUUAUCCUCUAAUAAUUUCAUGUUGCAAAAUGGACUUUUCCAAAUGCACAUAAAAUAUAUCAGAGGUAUUUGGAGAUAUAUCAUAUAUAUAUAUUUGGGUAUAUUUCCAAAUUCAAAUAGGAUAGUGAUUUAAAUUCAGUGCCCAAAAUAUUCCACAAAACUGUUCCCUAUUUUUGGUUUGAUCUCAAAGCCUUGCCAAAAAUUAACAAACAUUUAUGAAGGCAUUUUGGAAACAAUGAAUGCAAUUUAAAGGGUUCUUGCCCUUCUUUUAAAUUGAUUUCUGAGGCUUUCACUUUCCUCAUUUCAAGGUUCUUGAAAUUAACAGGAUGCAUGACGCUCACUGAUGCAACUAUCUCCAAACAAUUCUAGGGCUGUGACAUCCAAUUCGAAUCACUAUACCCCUCAAGUACCAUCGGGUACUCAGAAUAGUGAAUCUCGUAGUUCAUAGUACCUUGCAAAUAGCGCAUCACUCGCUCAACAGCAUGCCAAUGCACAUCUCCCGGAUUGGAAACAAACCGGCUCAGUUUGAGAUGUCAGGACAAGUAGCACAGGCUAGGUACCUCAGUGAACCAACCACUUGAGAAUAUCUCAAUUGAUCUACAGCCGUGCCUUCGAACUUUCGAAUCCGCACGCUAGGAUCAUAUGGUGUCGCAGAAGGUUUGCAGUCCGAAUAUACAAAACGACUCAAGAUCUUCUCAACAUAGCGGGGUUGCAAAAGUGUAAUUCCACCCUCAGUAUUUCUCAGUAGCUUGAUGUUCAAGAUAACAUCAGCCACACCCAGGUCUUUCAUCUCAAAGUUAUGAGAUAGAAAAGCCUUGACCUCCUCAAUGACUUUGAGGUGGGUCCCAAAUAUCAGUAUGUCAUCGACAUACAGACACAGUAUAACUCCUUCUCCCCAACCAUAGCAAUAGUAUACACAUUUGCCAGCUUCGUUAAGAACAAAGCCAGCAGAUGUCAAAGUUGUAUUAAACUUCUCAUGCCAUUGCUUAGGCGCUUGUUUCAGGCCAUACAAAGAUUUCACUAGCUUACACACCUCUCUUUCCUGACCAUUUACUACAAAGCCAUCCGGCUGUUGCAUGUAAAUUUCCUCGUCUAGCUCUCUGUUAAGGAAAGUCGUCUUAGCGUCCAUCUGAUGAACGAGAAGACCAUGCGAGGCAGCCAGCGAGUAGCACUCGAAUGGUUGUCAGUCUAGCCACAGGUGAGUAAGUAUCGAAGAAAUCCUCUUCUUCUUUCUGGGUAUAACCCUUGACCACAAGCCUAGCCUUGUACUUCUCAACAGUACCAUUGGGCCUAAGCUUCCUCUUGAACACCCACUUGCAUCCCAAUGGUUGGCAACCAUAAGGACGGUCAGUGAUCUCCCAUGUCCCGUUAGCCAUGAUGGAAUCCAUCUCGCUACGGACAGCAUCCUUCCAGUAGUCAGCAUGCGGAGAUGCAUAAGCUUCUGAAAUGGAACUGGGAGUGUCAUCAUCCACGAGGUACACGAGGAAAUCAUCACCAAAAGACUUUGCAGUCCUUUGCCUCUUGCUCCUGACAGGAGCUUCCUCGUCAUCCUCCAUGGAACUUUCCUCACUUUUGUUUUCAUAGUAUUCCAUCGGAAUGACAGGUUCAGGAGUCUCAUCAGAUUCCAGUCUAGAAGUGCUUUGCAUAUCUCUCAUGGGGAAAAUAUCCUCAAAGAAUGUAGCAUCCUUAGACUCUAUAAUUGUACCAACCUUCUGGUCAGGUACCUCGGAUUUGACAACUAGAAAUCUAUAGCCAACGCUUUCUUAGCAUAGCCCAAAUUAACGUAGUCUGCGGUCUUCGGACCAAGCUUACACUUUUUGGGGAUCGACACAUUGACUUUCGCCAAACAGCCCCAAGUGCGCAAGUAAGAGAGUGUAGUUCUUUUCUUUUCCCAUUGCUCAUAGGGAGUAGUCUCAUUAUCCUUUGAGGGAACUGUAUUUAGGACAUGACAUGAUGUCAAUAUAGCCUCCCCCACCAUGCCUUGGAUAAACCCGAUGUAUCUAACAUGGCGUUAGCCAGAUCAGUUAGAGUAUGGUUUUUCCGUUCGGCAACCCCGUUUGACUGGGGUGAAUAGGGAGGCGUCCUCUCAUGAAUAAUACCAUGUUCCACACAGAAUAAAUCAAACUCACUAGAAAAGUACUCUCCACCACGAUCAGACUGGACUUGUUUUAUUUUCUUCUCAAGUUGGUUCUCAACUUUAGCCUUAUAGAUUUUAAAGUAGUGUAGAGCCUCAUGCUUUAUAUUUAACAAAUACACAUAACAGAAUCUAGUGUAAUCAUCAAUCAAAGUCAUGAAGUAUUUCUUUCCACCUUUAGUUAACACACCAUUCAUCUCACAGAGAUCUGAAUGUAUGAGCUCUAGUGGUGCCAGGUGUCUCUCCUUCACAGGCGUGUGAGGCUUACAAAGUUGCUUUGCUUGCACACACGCAUGGCACUUAGAGCCCUUGGAUAAAGUGAAACUCGGGAUUAGAUUCAUCUUAGCUAGCCGCGUCAUACAACCGAAAUUUGUGUGACAAAGAUGUGAAUGCCAAACCUCACAUUCGUUCACAUUGGAAUGAAUUUGAUUCACGACUUUAUUACAGAAAUCCUCCAGGGAAAGGUGGAACAAACCACCACAAUCAUAUCCUUCUCCAACAAAUAUUCCAUUACGAGAUACGACUACUUUGUUAGAUUCAAAUACUAACUUAAACCCUUCUUUACAUAGAAGGGAGCCACUAACGAGAUUCUUCUUGAUGGCGGGGACAUGCUGCAUGUUCUUUAGUUGCACGAUCUUUCCUGAAGUAAACUUCAGAUCUACCGUGCCAACACCAUGAACAAAAGCAUGCGAGCCGUUCCCCAUCAGGACGGAACAAUCUUGUGUGACCUGGUAAGAAGAAAACAAAGACAGAUCAGCACACACAUGAAUAUUGGCCCAGUGUUAACCCACCAAUCGGUGGACUGACAAACUGGAAGUACGGUAAACAGAUUACCAUACCCAUAUGCCCCAUCAUUGUUGCUCAAAGUGACAUUGACAGACUUGGUGUCCUGUCCUGACUUCUUAUACUUGUUUGGGCACUUGUUGGCCCAAUGUUCAACCGAACCACAAGUAAAGCAGCCCUCAUCCUUCUUGUUCUUCUUGAAGGUCUUCUUACCCUUCUUUUUAAAGGUAGUAUUCUGCUAGACAGAGUUCUUUCCCUUGAACUUGUGGGAGUUCUUCUGCACCAUAUUAGCGCUAGAAGAACCCUCUGGCCCUUUCACGUGUGAGUCCUUUCUCUCGAGUUCUGCUCAACACUUAGAUGACCAAUGACAUCCUCAACAGACAAUUCACGUCUCAAGUGCUUGAGACAAGUAGCAAAGUUCCUCCAUCCAGGAGGGAGUUUUGCAAUAAUGCAACCUGCGACAAACUUGUCCGGUAACUCACACUUCAGGAGCUCCAGCUCCUUAGCGAUGCAUUGUAUCUCAUAGGCCUGGUCUAGUACAGAACAGUUAUCAACCAUUUUGUAAUCAUGGAACUGCUCCAUAGCAUACAACUCGCUUCCAGCAUCAGUUGCACCGAAUUUAGCUUCGAGCGCAUCCCACAAAUUCUUGGCAACACACAUAUGGAGAUAUGCGUCUAGAAGCUUGUCUCCGAUCACAGUAAGAACGGCUCCCAGAAAGAUGGUGGUUGCCUCCCUAAAUGCAUUCUCCUGUUCAGGAGCAAUCGCUACCGUGGGAGACACACCACUAACCCAGAAUAUGUUCAUUCCUGUGAGCCACAAGGUGGUCCUCGUCUGCCAACGCUUAAAAUGCGUUCUAGUAAACUUUUCCGGUUUUAGAGUAGUGGCGAACCCAUGAGUCGAAAAGUGCCUAAAAUAAGGUUUUCGGAUUGUUGGAAAUAUUAGCACUUUCUCGAUCAAUCUAAUCGUUGAGUAGACAGUAAACAUGGCAAAUACGUUAUGCAUCUCAUACCGAUACCUAAGCAUGUGAGCACGUAUAGUACAUAGAACCGAACCAUCUAUGGACAGCAUAUAUACGGCUAGCACAUGAAUGAGCAAAUAGGGGAUGAACGAGUUAAACCCUCCGGUUGGCCAGGCCAAUGCAGCGACGAUAGCAGCAGCCUCGCCAUCAGCCAAGGCCUUCUUCUUGGCGACUUCGUCGUCAGCCAUGGAGUCGAUGUAGAAGAAGUAGUGGAAGCAGAGGUGGACAAAGAAAGGGACGGAUCGGGAGCAGUCGCGUCGAGACGCUCCCCAAAAACCUUAUUACCAUUCUCCCGAGUAGGAUCUCGAUCGACAGGGUUCCGGAGGCACCUGCUCUCCUGACCAACCGUGCACAUGGUCGUCGGUAUGGGAUCGCCAGAGACAGCUCAGUGAGAGGAACAGUAGAUGACGGCUAGGGUUGUACGAUAGGGAGUGAGUGAACUGAUUUAGGGUUCACUCCACUAGCCAGUGCCUUCUUAUAUAGGCCUUCGAGUAGAUGGGCAUGGGCUCAGGCCCAUGACCGAGUCCAUGAACAGCCCACGGUCCAACGUCUCGGACAGUGGCACUUCCGUACGCGACUCGUAUUAAUACGAGAUUAAUUAACCAUUCUUGACCGGCAAAAAUAAGCUUCAGCUAGGAUCAUUCCCGCAACCCGCGGCGCGCGCACGCGCGUCGUGACGAGGCGAGGCAAGGUGAGCGGCGGAGGAGGAGGAGCGUGCAUGUACAACUCCUAUUCCCAAGCUCCCAAUAGCAAGUGAUGGAGCAACCCUUAUAAAGAGGUCUCACUCUUCUUACUGUAGCACUAUGGUACUAAGCUUUCCAUACUUCCCACCACUUGCCAUACACAUGCAUGGGCCUUAGAGAUUAACCUGUCUUAUAUGAGCCUAAGCCCAUCCAUAAUCCAACAGGUAUUGAAUAAUCGGAACUCAGAAGGAUAGCGUAGACAAAUAAAUGUGUGCUUCAAUUAACAUCUAUGUUGGGGAAUGUAGCAGAAUUUAAAAUUUUCUAUGCAUCACCAAGAUCAAUCUAUGGAGUCAUCUAGCAACGAGGGAGAGGGGAGUGCGUCUACAUACCCUUGUAGAUCGCGCGCGGAAAUGUUCAAGAGAACGGGGUUGAUGGAGUCGUACUCAUCGUGAUCCAAAUCACCGAUGACCUAGCGCCGAACGGAUGGCACCUCCGCGUUCAACACACGUACGGUUGGGAAGACGUCUCCUCCAACUUGAUCCAGCAAGGGGGAAGGAGAGGUUGAUGAAGAUCUAGCAGCACAACGGCAUGGUGCUGGAAGCAACAGUGAUCUCGGCAGGGCUUCGCCAAGCACAGGGAGAGGGAGAGGCCAAGGGCUGGGGUGCGGCUGCCCUCCCUCCCCCCCACUAUAUAUAGGGUCCCCAGGGGGGCGCCGGCCCUAGGAGAUCCAAUCUCCAAGGGGGGCGGCCGCCAAGGGGGUCGCUUUCCCCCCAAGCCAAGUGGGGCGCCCCCACCCCUAGGGUUUCCAACCCUAGGCGCAGGGGGAGGCCCAAGGGGGGCGCACCAGCCCACUAGGGGCUGGUUCCCCUCCCACUUAAGCCCAUGGGGCCCUCCGGGAUAGGUGGCCCCACCCGGUGGACCCCCGAGACCCUUUCGGUGGUCUCGGUACAAUACCGAGUACCCCUGAAACUUUCCCGAUGGCCGAAACUUGACUUCCUAUAUAUAAAUCUUCACCUCCGGACCAUUCCGGAACUCCUCGUGACGUCCGAGAUCUCAUCCGAGACUCCGAACAACUUUCAGGUUACCGUAUACUAAUAUCUCAAUGACCCUAGCGUCACCGAACCUUAAGUGUGUAGACCCUACGGGUUCGGGAGACACGCAGACAUGACCGAGACGACUCUCCGGUCAAUAACCAAUAGCUGGAUCUGGAUACCCAUGUUGGCUCCCACAUGCUCCUCGAUGAUCUCAUCAGAUGAACCACGAUGUCGAGGAUUCAAUCAAUCCGUAUACAAUUCCCUUUGUCAAUCGGUACAUUACUUGCCCGAGACUCGAUCGUCGGUAUCCCAAUACCUCGUUCAAUCUCGUUACCGGCAAGUCACUUUACUUGUACUGUAAUGCAUGAUCCCGUGAUCAACCACUUGGUCACAUUGAGCUCAUUAUGAUGAUGCAUUACCGAGUGGGCCCAGAGAUACCUCUCCAUCAUACGGAGUGACAAAUCCCAGUCUCGAUUCGUGCCAACCCAACAGACACUUUCGGAGAUACCUGUAGUGUACCUUUAUAGUCACCCAGUUACGUUGUGACGUUUGGCACACCCAAAGCACUCCUACGGUAUCCGGGAGUUGCACAAUCUCAUGGUCUAAGGAAAUGAUACUUGACAUUCGGAAAAGCUAUAGCAAACGAACUACACGAUCUUUGAGCUAUGCUUAGGAUUGGGUCUUGUCCAUCACAUCAUUCUCCUAAUGAUGUGAUCCCGUUAUCAAUGACAUCCAAUGUCCAUAGUCAGGAAACCAUGAUUAUCUUCUGAUCAACGAGCUAGUCAACUAGAGGCUCACUAGGGACGUGUUGUGGUCUAUGUAUUCACACAUGUAUUACGAUUUCCGGAUAACACAAUUAUAGCAUGAACAAUAGACAAUUAUCAUGAACAAAGAAAUAUAAUAAUAACCAUUUUAUUAUUGCCUCUAGGGCAUAUUUCCAACAGUCUCCCACUUGCACUAGAGUCAAUAGUCUAGUUACAUUGUGAUGAAUCGAGCACCCAUGCGGUUCUGGUGUUGAUCAUGUUUUGCUCUAGGGAGAGGUUUAGUCAACGGAUCUGCCACAUUCAGGUCCGUAUGUACUUUACAAAUAUCUAUGUCUCCAUUUUGAACACUUUCACGAAUGGAGUUGAAGCGACGCUUGAUAUGCCUGGUCUUCCUGUGAAACCUGGGCUCCUUGGCAAGGGCAAUAGCUCCAGUGUUGUCACAUAAGAGAGUCAUCGGGCCCGACGCAUUGGGUAUGACUCCUAGGUCGGUAAUGAACUCUUUCACCCAGAUUGCCUCUUGUGCUGCCUCCGAGGCUGCCAUGUACUCCGCUUCACAUGUAGAUCCCGCAACAACGCUUUGCUUGCAACUGCACCAGCUUACUGCCACACCAUUCAAAAUAUACACGUAUCCGGUUUAUGACUUAGAGUCAUCCAGAUCUGUGUCGAAGCUAGCAUCGACGUAACCCUUUACGACGAGCUCUUCAUCACCUCCAUAAACGAGAAACACAUCCUUAGUCCUUUUCAGGUACUUCAGGAUAUUCUUGACCGCUGUCCGGUGUUCCAUGCCGGGAUUAUUUUGGUACCUUCCUACCAAACUUACGGCAAGGUUUACAUCAGGUCUGGUACACAGCAUAGCAUACAUGAUAGACCCAAUGGCCGAGGCAUAGGGGACGACACUCAUCUUUUCUCUAUCUUCUGUUGUGGUCGGGCAUUGAGCCGUGCUCAAUUUCGUACCUUGCAAUACAGGCAAGAACCCCUUCUUUGACUGAUCCAUUUUGAACUUCUUCAAUAUCUUGUCAAGGUACGUACUCUGUGAAAGACCAAUGAGGCGUCUCGAUCUAUCUCUAUAGAUCUUGAUGCCUAAUAUAUAAGCAGCUUCUCCAAGAUCCUUCAUUGAAAAACACUUGUUCAAGUAGGCCUUUAUGCUUUCCAAGAAUUCUAUAUCAUUUCCCAUCAACAGUAUGUCAACCACAUACAAUAUGAGAAAUGCUAUAGAGCUCCCACUCACUUUCUUGUAAAAUUAGGCUUCUCCAUAAGUCUGCGUAAACCCACCAGCCUAUCCAAUACCCUACGCCAUGACCUUAGAUGUUCGUACCCCAUGAUAUUCAAUGACACCCGUCCAUGUGUUUAUUCUAUUCUAUUCUAUUCUUCAGGUAUUCCUUUGAAUAACUCAUCUUUUCAGGUAAGACAAUUUGAAGAUCUUCUUAGUCAGCCUAUACAAUGGCAUUGUACAACAAUUUAAUUUGGAAAAGGGAUGUAGCGCAGCUUGGUAGCGCGUUUGUUUUGGGUACAAAAUGUCACAGGUUCAAAUCCUGUCAUCCCUACCUAUUACUUAUUUCUUCUUUAUAGGCAGUAGCAACGAGAUCAAUUAAAGUAAAGUGGGUAUAACUUGAAUGAAGUAACGUUGCACUAUGACUCAAUCCAGUUGGAAGAAUAAGCUUAUAUAUCCCAAUCCAUCGGGUCUAAGUCCCCUUCCAAUCAGAUUCAUAAACACCUAACAUAACAACAGCCCUGAAAUGAACCAUAUCGAGCACAGGUCUCACUCUACAAGUCAAGUUCGAUGAGCUCUUAGCGGACCUGUGCCUACUAUCUACUAAGUGUGUGCUAGGGAAAGAAAGCAAGCUGAGGAUUGAGGAAUAAAAGCUCGAAGACAAAGAGAACUUCUCCGGGUACUCAAGAUAUUGUGUUUGGAGAGGUGUAGAUUGUAGAUUCCAGCCGAGAAGACCAGGAAAUUGGUUACGACGACGUCGAGUUGGCGGAGGAGGAAGACUCGGCAUGAAGGCCAGAAAAUGGUGUGGAAUGUAGUGGUAAUAGUACGCGCCCCGCUCCGAAACAAAGAAAAAGGUGCGUGCCGCACUCACGAGGGACUGCCAGUGAGAUACUGGAGGAAGGUGGGGAUGACAGGACGAUCACAAUGUCUGGCAAUCUCGUCAUAUAUUUGAUCCCGCCGAGAUAGAGGAUGCUUUGUAUGCCAGUGUGUAGGAAGGAGAGUUGGAAGAUAUACCUAGAUCCCCCAAUAGAGAAAAGAGCGAGAAGGUUACUCAAAGAAACUUUCAAAAAGUGGACCCAACAAGCAAAGCAACGGAUUGGGCUGCACUGCCUUUCGGCGUUUUAGUUAGGCGCAUCCUCUUGCGGGAUGAAAAUCUGCCAUAGCACGCUCCGCGCCUUUGAAGGAACAUUUGCUCGAUGAUGUUCCGGGUGGUCCACAGGGUUCAUAACUACCCCUCUUACUACGGGGCGAGAUUUGGGUAAUUUGUUUUGUAGAAGGACUCACUUGACCAACGCUUGGGCACAGGCUUACCUGGUUGACCGCCCACAUUCAUUCAUUGUUCGUUCUAUUGUGGAAUCGAACCACAGAGCUAGCGCAAUUGGGACUUAGAGUCCCAUGCGUGAAACUAAAGAGGAUUUUCAGUCCUCUGCUCUACCAGCCAGAACCUAGGAGGACACUUCACACCCGAUUUGACACAGCUAGACUGGAAACACUGGAGAAGAGCCUUUAGAGGAUCAAGAGUGAUUCCUCAAAAAAACAAAUGGGAUUUUGAGGGAGGGCUGAACGCGAUGUACUGAAGGGUUCGCUUUCACUGAUCGGUGCCAGUCUUUCCUGCUGUGAAUUUCCCAGGUCGGGAGGGGCCCUUUCCUUCUACCUUACUGAACCCAUUCACCAGAUGUUGCUUUCCUGGAAGGGAGAUCGGUCUCCUCGAUCGUUCCCUCAAGUGAUCGGUCACUCCUCGUCAACCUUGUUGAGACAUUUCCUCCAACUGUGAUCCGAAAUCCGGAUUGGAAAAUAGCAUAUCACGAUCAGUGGCACAGGGCACUGGUUGACUUCAGGUACCCUUUUCAUCCACUCCUUCAUCCGCUGAUUGUCGCUGUCGAUGCCCAGCUAUUUAGUUUGGAAAGUGUUACAACACAAGAUAACUCAUCCAACAAUUCUUCAACUACAGGUGUCGGUGUCAAAACCGGCGGAUCUCGGGUAGGGGGUCCGCGUCUAGGCUGGAUGGUAACAGGAGGCAAGGAACAUGAUGUUUUACCCAGGUUCGGGCCCUCUUGAUGGAGGUAAAACCAUACGUCCUGCUUGAUUAAUAUUGAUGAUAUGGGUAGUACAAGAGUAGAUCUACCACGAGAUCAAGGAGGCUAAACCCUAGAAGCUAGCCUAUGGUAUGAUUGUUGUAUGAUGAAGUUGUCCUAUGGACUAAAACCCUCCAGUUUAUAUAGACACCGGAGGGGGUUAGGGUUACACAAUGUCGGUUACAAUGGUAGGAGAUCUUGAAUAUCCGCAUCGCCAAGCUUGCCUUCCACGCCAAGGAAAGUCCCAUCCGGACACGGGACGAAGUCUUCAAUCUCAUAUCUUCACAGUCCUGGAGUCCGGCUGAAGGUAUAGUCCGGCUACCCGAACACCCCCUAAUCCAGGACUCCCUCAGUAGCCCCUGAACCAGGCUUCAACGACGACGAGUCUGGCGCGUAGAUUGUCUUCGGCAUUGCAAGGCGGGUUCCUCCUCCAAAUUCUUCAUAAAAGUUUGUAAACACCAAGAGUAGUGUCCGGCUCUGCAAAAUAAGUUUCCACGUAUUGCCACAGAGAGAAUAAUAUUAACACAAAUCUAAUCCGCUGAUGUAUUCCGUAGCAUGACAUCACACUACGGCCAAGCCUUUAUUCGAAUCGUUUUCACUUCUCCACCUCAGCGUGUUUUGCGAGGCGGUUUCCUUGGCACGUCUUGUCAAAGCAGAGAUCGUGUCCCCUUUAUUUACGGGAUUCUCGUCAAUAGGAUGUGGGUAACCCAACCGCGCCAUUUAUCACGGUGCUUGGGACGCAAGCGAGUUUUACUAGGCUAGUGAGGACGCAUAGUCGCAUCCGCCCAUAUAAGGGGAUAAGGAUCCACUUUUUACCUACGCCUUCUUCCUCCUUUGCCUAUCCAUCUUCUGCGCACCCGAGCUCCAGCGCCCAAGCCCGCACUUCCUACCUCAACCUUCUCCAACAAUGUCCGGAGCGGGAGGCAAGUGGAUGGUCUCCUCCGUCACGGAGGGCCAUGUCAAAAAGCUAAGGAAGGCCGGAUACUUGUCCAAAGACAUCACGCACCGGCUUCCUGAGGAGGGGCAGCUUCUCCCCACCCCAAGGCCCCAUGAGAGGGUAGUAUUUCUUCCCCACUUCCUCCGCGGACUGGGUUUUCCUCUCCACCCAUUUGUCCGCGGGCUCAUGUUCUACUAUGGCAUAGAUUUCCAUGAUCUGGCCCCGAACUUCAUCCUCAAUAUCUCGGCGUUUAUCGUCGUGUGCGAGGCUUUCCUCUGCAUCCGCCCCCAUUUAGGCCUCUGGCUCAAGACCUUCAACGUCAAGCCAAAGGUGGUGCGCGGCAACCAGGCGGAGUGUGGAGGUGCCAUGGUGGGAAAAAUAGCCAACAUCCUAUGGCUCGAGGGCUCCUUUGUGGAGACCUUGAAGGGAUGGCAGUCAGGGUGGUUUUACAUCACCGAGCCACGCAAUCCGAAGUGGAUCGUAGCCCCUGAAUUCCAAUCCGGACCCCCUAUGCGGCUCACGUCCUGGAAGGAGACAGGCUUGUCGCGGGGCGACAAAGAAGAGGUGACCGGAUUGCAAAAAUGCAUCCAGUCCCUGGUGAACAAGCAGCUCAAGCUUGUCAACAUAGUCCAGGUCAUGCUCGUCCGCCGGAUCCUUCCGUGUCAAGAACGGGACUUCAAUUUGCGGGAGUUUAACCUGGCGCAGCACCGAACUCUGAGCAGGCUCUUCGACACGAUGUACGAAGAUGUCUGGAAGGGGCUAACCAAAGGCGCCGAGGCUCCCGCAUCCGCCUCCGAAGACCGCGGAUUCAGCUCGCAGCGUCCUGCUUUGACAGGAUUGGCAGGCGAAGUCCGGACUGAUUAACUGUCCGGCUCCCUUGCCCGAAGACCCAGCCCCUGCUCUCCUAGUGAAGCUGCUGGUUCCGGCACCUUAUGUGGUGCCGGAGAAGAAGGCCAAGAAGAAGAAGGCCACGGGGACUCGAAAGAGUUCCCGGCAUAUGGUGGUGUCGGACUCGUCGUCCGACGAGUCCAAGACGCACUCCUCCCGUGAAGACAAGGAGGAGGAAGAAUAAACCUCUUCCCCUCCAGCGGGGGGACGAAAGAAGAGGAAGGCCGCCCCAGUAGGGGAGGCCGAAGGGUCCACGAAGAGGAAAACCCCUCGCCGGACUACGCCCCCGACGCCGACGAGGACGAAGAGGAGUGGCCGGACAGGGCCAAGCAUCCGGCGAAAUCGUAAGUGUUCGGAUACCAGAGUCACUCAUGAUAUUCCUUUUGUUGCACAGCUUUCCCUAAUGUCGAAUAUAAUCAUGCAGCCCGCCCAAGGACGGGCUCGACGAGUCGUCGAGCGGCUCCCUGGAUUCAUCGGACGUGAAUUAAGUUCCGCCCGCUGCCUCCCCCUGUGCUGCGGAUUACGCCAAAGUGGCGUCGCAACAAGCUCCGGGGCAAGAGGAGGUGGUCCAGGAGGAGCCGCGAGGCGACCUCCCAGACUCCAGGAGUAAAGGGGACAAGACCCCCCAGGGCUCCAAGUCCGGCUUUAAGCCGGACACCGCGCUGGAAGCAUCAACGGUUCCGGACCGCGGCAGGCGAACUCCUGCCAAGAGGAGCAAGCCUAUUGAGCUGGCAUCCUCCAUCCAACCGGAGGUGCCGUACAAUCUGCUGGAGGUGCUUAAGGGCGCCUCCAUCGACGAGGAGCACCGUACCAUCAUGAGUACGGUGGUCCAGAAGGUUCGGUCCGCCAAAAGCGGACUGACUGAAGUUUGUGCUAGCCUUCUAACAGGCUUCGAGGUAAGUAAAAAUAUGUAAAAAUAUUACCGCAUAGACAGUAGCCCCUGAUGCUCUGUUUGGCGUUUGGAAAGAAAAGCCGAAUAGAGGAUCUAUUAAAUAUCGCAGGAGUCUAACUAAAAAGGAGUCAAUAUACGUAUGCAGGCUUCGCCGCUGGCCACCGCCGCACUGACUGCGGAGGUGGGUGCCCUGAAGCAGGGCCUCGAGCGGACCGAGCAAGAGCUCGGCCUUGCCAAACGGCAGCUCGAGGAGAAAGAAGGUAAGAGAUACCUUAUAGAAAAAAUGCCUAUAAGAAGACGCAAUUGCAAAAAAUGACAGGAGUAUACUGCUUAUUGUAGGGGCCACAACUGAGGUGGCGACCCUCAAGCAGGCGCUGUCCGAGGCCGAGAACAAAGCGGCCAUGGAGCGCACCGAGCGGGAGAAGUUUGAGGCACAGGUCGGCGAGGUGCAGUGAGAGCUUCAGGCUCUCACGAAAAAACAUGAGAGUUUGGAGCUAGACUCGAAGACACAAGCGUCCGAGCUUGCUGCGGCCCUUAAAACUGCCAAAUCUGCCAAGGCCGAAGCCCAGAAGGCCCUCCAGGAAUUGGAUGCGGUGAAAAAGAUAGUGGCGGGUAAGGAAUUCUCUAUGCAAAGCAGACAUAUAAAAGUAAACUACUUGUUACUUACCCGAAUCCGGAGCUCUCCAGGGGCAUUCGCAGAUCUUCCUCGCAGCGUAUCUGAUGCCGCCGCAUUCUACCGAGCCGAGGAAGGCAGCUCGACGAAGAAGGUGUUCUGGUCUCAGUAUGCUGAGGCCGGACACCCUGUGCCCUUGAGCGACCAGCUGAAGCAGCUGGUCGAGCUCCACAAGGCGGACGAACAGGCCCUGAAGGGCUACAUAGUUCGGCUGUGGCCUGAAGAGGCCCUGCCUGGGAGCUACUUCGGACUGGUGCGGCGGCUGGUGGAGGCUUAUCCAAGGCUCGAGGUCAUCAAGCGCUCCGUCUGCAUCGAAGGUGCCCGUAGGGCCGUUGCCCGUGCAAAGGUGCACUGGGGUAAGCUGGACGGUGAGAAGCUUGUGAGGGACGGGCCGCCGCCGGGGAAGGAGCAUCGCAAGCCCGAGAACUAUUACAAGGAUGUUCUGGCUGGUGCCCGCCUUAUGGCGGAUGAAUGUACCAAGGAUGUAAUUUUUGAAUGAACUUGCUCGUGUUAUCCUGUGCGCUGAAAACUUGUUCAUAUGUGCUAAGCAAUGCUUGUUCAAUUUAAAAUAUUACUUUCUGUGUAGCCGUUUAUCAAAAAAUUGAGAGAUGGCCAGUCGUCGGCUUCUGCCCCCAUGCCACUAGUGCUGGGGUGUUCGGGAUAAACCUAAGCGCUCUUUUUCCCAUGAUUGGGUCCCUCGAGGGAGGCGAUCAGCACAACGAACAAGGCAAUCGGACUAUAAUGCUUGAACACUCUCACUUAGCCAUAGAACUCUAUAAUUUUAAAUUUCGGCGAAGCCCCUAGUAUUCGGAAGACCGAGUUCGGGGCGCUAUCCACGCCUUGGCCGGACAAAGCCGGUUCCUCGCUCGAAGCGGCAUAAGUCUUUAAGGACUCGAAAAACCUCUCGAACAGCGACCGGUCUCUCGCUUCAUCAUGACAGUCAGUUUUAGCUUUCUCUACUGAGGUGCUCAGCCCAGCUCAACUGGGGCACAAUCGCAGUAGUUCUCCUAGUGCUACCUUAGCCGAUAUAGCGGAACGUAAGGCACCAAAACAUAGGAGCCGGGCAAACCCAACCAUUGACCCGAAUCAUGAUUCAGAGCCGAUGCAUAUAGUGCUAUAAGUUCGGGGUGCCGCACUUGUGAAAGUGUACGGACUUCUCACGCCAUAUAGAUGGGUACUGAAGCCCCUGGCGUAUUUUGCUGUACCACAGUGUACGGAUGCGACAUGUUAUUAAUAAACAUAUAUAAAAAGAGGAUAAUGCAAAAAAUAGACAAAAAGCUAUGCAUUGUUUAUAGAAAGGCUGCUACGAAAGCGGAACGAUACAAAUAGUGCGAUAAGCAAAAGAAAUUGGACUAUUUAACAUGUCCCGGCCAGGGGCAGGCCACAGAAUUAUAUUAAAAAACAGGUAUACUGCUCGCAAUAGAGACCACCUGGGAGUUCCAUAAUGCGGCGUGGCUUGUCUGCUUUCCUGGAUCUUGCAUCGUUUGUGCGGCAGUUGAAUUGCCGAACGGGUCGUCCGAAGUAUGGAGUCCUGAGAGUAAGAGAAAAAAGGGAAUCCGGCAGCCCCUGGUGCGGUUUAAGCCGUUUUUCAGGCGUGCCGUGAUAGUGCCCCUUCCCCUGUGCCCAUGGUAUUUCAAGAGCGUAGUUAUGUACGCGAAGCGCUGGUUUCGCUAUAUAGCGAGGGCUAGGAUUGGGGCCGCAUUGCUACGCUAGCUCAGAACGUGCUAGGCGGUCUUGUUGUAGGGUACUCCGGGCACGCUUGACAGUGUCCGGCUUUUUGAAGGCCGAACUGGAGAACUGCCUAGAGAGGCUGCUUUGUACUUCUGCUACGAGCGCUGCCAUGUGCUCCUCCGUUCGGAGGGAGCGUUCAGUGUUCCCAUUGACCAUGAUUACUCCUCUAGGGCCUGGCAUCUUGAGCUUGAGGUAUGCAUAGUGCGGUACCGCGUUGAAUUUUGCGAAUGCGGUUCGCCCGAGCAGUGCGUGAUAGCCACUACGGAACGGGACUAUGUCGAAGAUUAACUCCUCGCUUCGGAAGUUAUCCGGAGAUCCGAAGACCACUUCCAGUGUAACUGAGCCUGUACAGUUGGCUUCUACACCUGGUAUGACGCCUUUAAAGGUUGUUUUGGUGAGCUUGAUCCUCGAGGGAUCUAUGCCCAUUUUUCGCACUGUAUCCUGGUAAAGCAGGUUCAGGCUGCUGCCCUGUCCAUGAGGACUCUUGUGAGAUGAAAUCCGUCAAUGAUUGGGUCUAGAACCAGUGCGGCAAAGCCGCCGUGAUGGAUGCUAGUGGGGUGGUCCCUUCGAUCAAAGGUGAUCGGGCAGGAGGACCAUGGGUUGAACUUUGGGGCGACUGGCUCCAUCGCAUAUACGUCCCGUAACGCACGCUUCCGCUCCCUCUUGGGGAUGUGGGUUGCGUAUAUCAUGUUCACCGUCCGCACUUGCGGGGGAAAUCCCUUCUGUCCACUGUUGUUCGGCGGCUUGGGCUCCUCCUCGUCGUCGCUAUGCAGCCCCUUGUCUUUGUUUUCGGCUCUUAACUUGCAUGCCUGCUUGAACACCCAACAAUCCCUGUUGGUGUCAUUGGUUGCCUUUUCAGGGGUACCAUGUAUCUGGCACAAGCGGUCGAGUAUUCGGUCCAAACUGGACGGGCCCUGAGUAUUUCUUUUGAAUGGCUUUUUCCGUUGACUGGAUUUGUAGCCUCGGAAUCCGGCAUUAACUGCCGUAUCCUCGUUGCUGUCGUUGUUAACGCGGCGCUUUUGUUUGUUCCGACGCGACCUGUCACUUUUGUCCUUGGUAUUCGAAUUACCACGGUUCUUGGUUAAGUUGUUGCUGCGAGCUAGCCAGCUGUCUUCUCCCGCGCAAAAGCGGGUCAUGAGUGUCGUGAGGGCUGCCAUAGAUUUCGGCUUUUCCUGUCCCAGGUGCCGGGCAAGCCACUCAUCACGGAUAUUAUGCUUGAAGGCCGCUAAGGCCUCUGCGUCCGGAAAGUGGACUAUCUGGUUUUUCUUUGUUAGGAACCGUGUCCAGAAUUGCCUGGCCGAUUCCUCUGGCUGUGAAUUAUGUGGCUUAGGUCAUCGGCGUCCAGUGGUCGCACAUAAGUGCCCUGGAAGUUAUCAAGGAAUGCGGCUUCCAGGUCCUCCCAAGAACCGAUUGAGUCUGCUGGCAAGCUGUUGAGCUAAUGCCGGGCCGGUCCCUUAAGUUUGAGUGGGAGGUAUUUGAUGGCAUGUAGAUCAUCACCGCGGGCCAUGUGGAUAUGAAGGAGAUAAUCCUCGAUCCAUACCGCAAGAUCUGUUUUUCCUCAAGAUGGCAACGGGGCCCCGAAACCCGCGUCCCCGCGGGUUUUUACCCUAUUAGGGGACGGGGAUGGGCGUCUUUUCAUCCCCACGGGGCUGUUGUUGGGCACAUUAUACAACCCGACACGUUUCAUGGGUUUGCACCCGUUUCGGUAGUCCCCGAACCCGAAACCCGGCAAAAUACAUUUUUUACCAACCAGUGCUCCUGCGCAGCCCAACCCAAAACUACCGAGCCCCCCCCCCACCCCACAGCGUCGAAGGCCAAACAGCCAGUAUCGCCCGUUCCUUUCCCCCUCGCUUGAGCCCUCAUCUCUCUCUCCCACAUAAUACCUAACCCUAAACCUAGGACCCCAGCCGCCACCUGGCUCGAUCCCCUCUCGCAAGAUCCGCCGACCAUGAUCUGCGCCGGCGACCCUCCUCCCUCCACGUCUUCUCCCCUGCCGCCGGUCUGAUCUGGAGAAAGGGCGUUUCCACCGGUGACGAACUCAAAGGUGGCCUCUUCACGUCCCAAGUCGGGUUGUUUUUUGUUGAAAUUUGCUCUAGUUAUGCUGCUGAAAUAUGCUUAUUUUGCUGUUGAAAUGUUAUUCUUUGUCGCCACUAUGUUUGUUUAAAUAUUUUGAUUUUCUCGUGGGUUCCCCCCGCGUUCCCCGAAACCCGAUGGGUUUAGGGGACGGGCGGAAAACUAGCCCCGCGCACGGUGAUGGGGACGGGGACGGGUUUGCGAUUUUCUCGUGGGGAUGGGUUUGGGAAGGCAAAACCCGAUGGGUUUCGUCCCCGUUGCCAUCUGGAGUUGUGCCAUCGUACGAUUCGAUGUUUAAGGGUUUGAAGCCCUCAGGGAUUUUAUGAUCCAUUACUUCAUCUGUGAAGCAUAGUGGGUGUGCGGCGCCUUUGUAUUGGGCUAUAUCAUGACGCAGCUCGAAGGAGCUUUGUCUGUUGAGUUCGGCCCGGCCGGAUUUAUUGCAUCCGGAGUGACGAUCACCGUCACGUGCCAUGGGGCGCCUGCGCGAUCCAUAGAUCGAUCUUGUUUUCCUUGCCUUGUCCUCCAGUAUGUCGCGCAGGUCGGGCGCAUUUUCCCAUGCCUUAGUAUGCUUGACGCAGCAUCGGGGCAUGGCUUGAGUGGAGGGCCAAGAGGCCUCUCUGUCGCGGCCACGAGUUGGCCGGUCGGCCGUGUCAUGCGCUAGUGAUGUAGGUGCUUCCUCCUCUAGUCGGGGUAGCAGCCUGCGCUUUGGAUAACUCUUGGAGGGGCGUUCGAGUUCAUACUCUUUGGCUGCAAGGACUUCAGUCCAUCUGUCAGCUAGCAAAUCCUGAUCAGCUCUAAGCUGUUGCUGCUUUUUCUUGAGGCUGCUUGCCAUGGCCAUAAGCCUCCGUUUAAAACGCUCUUGUUCGGCGGGAUCCUCUGGCACGACGAACUCGUCGUCUUCGAGGCUUGCCUCGUCUUCGGACGGAGGCGUAUAAUUAUCGUCCUCAACCUCUUGGUCCGCCACCCUCUCAUGAGGGCUGGCUUCUCUGUCCUCCUGUGCUGAAUCUUGCUGGAGGGGGUGUUCUUCGGUGCUAUCUGGAGUAGUAUUAUUUCCCGUGCCGGAAUCACCGUUUUUGCUUUGGCGGGAUUUAGAGCGUCACCGCUGACGCCGACACUUGGGCUGUUUCUUAGAGGUAUCGUCCCCCGUUGUUUCAUCGCCAUCUCCAUCCUUUGGGGUGUCCACCAUAUAUAUGUCAUAUGAUGAGGUGGCCUUCCAGCGCCCUACAGGUGCUGGUUCUUGUUCGUCUCCUGCAUCGUCGUCCAUGCCGUCGAUGUCUUCGGAGUCGAAGUCAAGCAUGUCAGUUAAGUCGUCGACAGUGGCUACGAAGUGGGUGGUGGGUGGGUUUUGAAUUUCUUCAUCGUCCGUAUCCCAACCUUGCUGACCGUAGUCCGGCCAGGGCUCUCCUGAUAAAGAGAGACUUUAGGGAAUUCAGGAUGUCGCCGAAGGGCGAGUGCUGAAAGAUGUCCGCAGCAGUGAACUCCAUUAUCGGCGCCCAAUCAGAUUCGAUCGGCAGGGGCGCGGGGGGCUCGGAGUUCGGAGAGGAAUCUGGCUCCUCAGAGUCACGGGCCAUGCGGGGUGCAGGGCUGGAGUUCGGCUCGAUCACCUCUGAGAUUGCAGCCCCUGAGGCAGCGUCCAACCGCUGAUCCUCGAUCAGUGUAGUAGGCUCCGAAUCAAUGGUCGGAACCGGUGCGUGUGCGGCCUCCAAAGCGUUGUUCGGCGGCAGAGCUAUAUCAUGCCCAUCGAGACAGUGCGGUGCGCUUGGCUGUGGCUCGAAUCCGUCGAAGAUCAAGUCCCCGCGGAUGUCAGCCAUGUAGUUUAGGCUUCCAAACCUGACCUGAUGGCCAGCGGCGUAGCUUUCGAUCUGCUCAAGGUGGCCAAGCGAAUUGGCCCGUAGUGCGAAGCCGCCGAAGACGAAGAUCUGUCCGGGGAGAAAAGUCUCACCCUGGACUGCAUUGUUGUUGAUGAUCGAAGGAGCCAUCGGGCCUAAAAGCGACGACACAUAGGAACUCUCAAUGAAAGCACCAAUGUCGGUGUCAAAACCGGCGGAUCUCGGGUAGGGGGUCCCGAACUGUGCGUCUAGGCUGGAUGGUAACAGGAGGCAAGGAACACGAUGUUUUACCCAGGUUCGGGCCCUCUUGAUGGAGGUAAAACUCUACGUCCUGCUUGAUUAAUAUUGAUGAUAUGGGUAGUACAAGAGUAGAUCUACCACGAGAUCAAGGAGGCUAAACCCUAGAAGCUAGCCUAUGGUAUGAUUGUUGUAUGAUGAAGUUGUCCUAUGGACUAAAACCCUCCGGUUUAUAUAGACACCGGAGGGGGUUAGGGUUACACAAAGUCGGUUACAAUGGUAGGAGAUCUUGAAUAUCCGCAUCACCAAGCUUGCCUUCCACGCCAAGGAAAGUCCCAUCCGGACAUGGGACGAAGUCUUCAAUCUCGUAUCUUCACAGUCCUGGAGUCCAGCUGAGGGUAUAGUCCGGCUACCCGAACACCCCCUAAUCCAGGACUCCCUCAACAGGCAUUGGGUAUUUUAUUAGACGAAUCCAUCUUAUUUCCUUAUUUCUCUGUUUUGGUAGCAGGAGAAGUAGUUUGUUCAUCCCGGACUUCAAAGUAGUCUCCCCCGUUGACCUUCUUUUUUAGAUAGAAUCCUCAAUGAGUGAGCUUCUGGUCCAAAGAUGAAAUCCUUAGUAAUAGUUGGUUGUAUUCGCCCUUUUUUGGAAUAAUAGCCUCCUUUCGUACAUGCUAUUCAAGGUCUAUUGGCUUUAUUUCUUAUGUGGUACUUCGACCGCGAAGCCUCGCUUAUGCGCCGAGAAAGAUCGUAGAUAGGAAAGAUCUGUUAUGCACCAACGACGGCCCGACUUAAAUCGAAAUGAAUGGAAGAUGCCUCUGGAACUUUUUGGUUCUUUUUUGGGGGCGAUAUGGGCAGCUUCAACUCAAGUGAGGAGCAAGCUUACCUCGGGCAGGUAGAUUGAUCGGCUUACACACAUUUGCUCACUUAGGCUGUCCCCCCUCAGCUCACCCUAACCCCGGGUACGUCGUCUCCAAGGCUUCACACAAAAUCUUCACUGACAACAUAUGCAUGCUUUCGUAGGGUCAGGCAGAACCGUUGUUACCCGCCAAUGCGGAAGGAUGCCGCCGAAAAGAAUGGAACGCCGCUUUGCUCUGCUGGAUGCGUCGGAUCCCAUAUAAGAAGCUUGCUCUUUACCCGAUCAUUCAAACAUUUUGUGGGCGGCGCGCCUGCUCUAUUGUUGCAUAGCGCGAUACAAAGUUCCUGGUAGAGAACUUCUUUGAGUCAUCCUAUUUUUCUGUUCAUAUGAAGGAAAUUAAUAUGCGAUUUUUAAAAUAGGGGAAUCCAAAUGAAACCCUUUUUUUGCUCAGUCUAUCUGGAAUGCUUUUGUAUAAUUAGGAAUUAAUUAUAAAUAGGUAUUCCAUUUCUGAGGGUGUGCACUUACCGGCAGGAGUCAAUCUCCAAGAAGUAAGCACACAUCUAUUUUUUGUAGACGAGAGAGUGAGCCUUCUAAACAGUAUCUACUGUGAUCCUAGUCCUGAGUGAAAAAGAUACCGCGAGCACGAUCUUUUUCAAUAAAAUCAUCGCGCAAUAAAUCAACAAAACCUAAAGUCAUUUCGCCGCUGACAAGAGCUGUUUUGGCCAUGGUGAUCCUCCUCUCAAUACCCAUUCCUGCGAAUUCCCAAUCCAAUCCUUCCCACAAGAGGUUUUUCUUAACACCAAUGAAUUCUAUUAAUGCUAGAGGAAAACGCCUGCUAUUCCAGGCUCUAGUGCUCAGUCAUAAACCUAUUGCCCGCUCCGCUUUCCCAUUCCUAUUGCUUUCGGUAUCUGAAUCUUCCUGAAUUCAAGUAGAGAAUACCAGGGCUUUCUUCUUCUUUUCAUUCCUGCUAUUCCAGGCUCUAGUGCUCAGUCAUAAACCUAUUGCCCGCUCCGCUUUCCCAUUCCUAUUGCUCCUUGCUCUUGAGAAUUUUUUUUCCGUUGAACAUAGACCCAAUUUUUCCUUUUUUGAUUUCUUAGAAUCUUUUUUUUGUCUUUCUGGCGGUAUCAAACAGCCACCUAAUAUCUUAUCCGCCUCUUCAGGUCGUACCGAACCGCUUGCAGAAUCAAAUCCAGUUCCACAAGAUCCUAUAUCAGCUAUACAUCCUCCUUGCAUUUAUGUGCUGGUAGUGUGGAAGAGGAGAUUCGAGCCUCAUAAGUGAAUACGGAAAUCCAUCUGAACUGGUAUCCAUCCCCAAGAAUCUAAUAAACUAGAAUUGAGUCAGUGGAAAAAAGGAGAGAGAGGAAAGUGUUAAAUGGAGAGAGUCGACUAAUCAGAGACUUUUAGGAUCUCAUACUUGCCAAUUCCAAGGCUGAUCAGCAAGGGAAUUGGCAGGAACCAACCUUAGUUGCCCCUCGUGGAAAUGAAAAACACUAGAUACUUUUUCUAGAAAUAUGGACUAAUGGAAGUUUAACCCCUAAGGAAGCACUUUAUAAGGCUUCUCGUAAUUUGAUUGAUUUAUUUCUUCCUUUUCUACACGCGGAGGAAGAGGGUGGAAAGCUCCUACUAAGAUUAGAAAUUCCCCGAUAAAGCUACUAGUGUCGGGUAAACUCAUAUUGGCUAAAGUGAAACGUUUUGAUCAUCUCAUCAAAACGAAUGUUCCAACUCCGAGAUGCUUGCACCAGCCCAUAAAUCGAGCGUUAGAGCUUGCACACCUUGUCAGCAUUCUUAGGAUCGACAAAACCUUCCGGCUGCAUCAUAUACAAUUCUUCCUUAAGGAAACCAUUAAGUAAUGCCGUUUUGACGUCCAUUUGCCAUAUCUCAUAAUCAUAGAAUGCGGCAAUUGCUAACAUGAUUCAGACGGACUUCAGCUUCGCUACGGGUGAGAAAGUCUCAUCGUAGUCAACCCCUUGAACUUGUCGAUAACCCCUAGCGACAAGCCGAGCUUUAUAGAUGGUUACAUUACCAUCCGUGUCUAUCUUCUUCUUAAAGAUCCAUUUAUUUUCUAUGGCUCGCCGAUCAUCGGGCAAGUCAGUCAAAGUCCACACUUCGUUUUCAUACAUGGAUCCUAUCUCGGAUUUCAUGGCUUCCAGCCAUUUGUCGGAAUCUGGGCCCGCCAUCGCUUCUUCAUAGUUCGAAGGUUCACUGUUGUCUAACAACAUGAUUUCCAAGACAUGGUUGUCGUACCACUCUGGUGUGGAACGUGUCCUCGUGGACCUAUGAAGUUCAGUAGCAACUUGAUCUGAAGUUUCAUGAUCAUCAUCAUUAACUUCCUCUCUAGUCGGUGCAGGCACCUCAGGAACAUUUUCUUGAGCUGCGCCACUUACCGGUUCAAGAGGUAAUACCUCAUCAAGUUUUACUUUCCUCCCACUUAUUUCUUUAGAGAGAAACUCUUUCUCUAGAAAGGACCCAUUCUUGGCAACAAAGAUCUUGCCUUCGGAUCUGAGGUAGAGGGUAUACCCAAUAGUUUCUUUAGGAUAUCCUAUGAAGACGCAUUUUUCCGAUUUGGGUUCGAGCUUUUUAGGUUGAAGUUUCUUGACAUAAGCAUCGCAUCCCCAAACUUUUAGAAAUGACAGCUUAGGUUUCUUCACAAACCAUAAUUCAUACGGUGUCGUCUCAACGGAUUUCGAUGGAGCCCUAUUUAAAGUGAAUGCGGCAGUCUCUAAAGCAUAGCCCCAAAAUGAUAGUGGUAGAUCGGUAAGAGACAUCAUAGAUCGCACCAUAUCCAAUAGAGUGCGAAUACGACAUUCGGACACACCAUUACGCUGAGGUGUUCCAGGCGGCGUGAGUUGUGAAACUAUUCCACAUUUUCUUAAGUGUGUGCCAAAUUCGUGACUCAAGUAUUCUCCCCCAUGAUCUGAUCGCAAGAACUUGAUUUUCCUGUCACGUUGAUUCUCAACCUCACUCUAAAAUUCCUUGAACUUUUCAAAGGUCUCAGACUUGUGUUUCAUUAAGUAGACAUACCCAUAUCUACUCAAGUCAUCAGUGAGGGUGAGAACAUAACGAUAGCCACCGCGAGCCUCAACACUCAUUGGACCGCACACAUCAGUAUGUAUGAUUUCCAAUAAGUUGGUUGCUCGCUCCAUUGUUCCUGAGAACGGAGUCUUGGUCAUUUUACCCAUGAGGCAUGGUUCGCACGUGUCAAAUGAUUCGUAAUCAAGAGACUCCAAAAGUCCAUCGGCAUGGAGCUUCUUCAUGCGUUUGACACCUAUGUGACCAAGGCGGCAGUGCCACAAGUAUGUGGGACUAUCAUUAUCAACAUUACAUCUUUUGGUAUUCACACAAUGAAUAUGUGUAACACUACGCUCGAGAUUCAUUAAGAAUAAACCAUUCACCAGCGAACCAUGACCAUCAAACAUAUCUCUCAUAUAAAUAGAACAACCAUUAUUCUCGGAUUUAAAUGAGUAACCAUCUCGAAUUAAACGAGAUCCUGAUACAAUGUUCAUGCUCAAAGCUGGCACUAAAUAACAAUUAUUGAGGUUUAAAACUUAUUCCGUAGGUAAAUGUAGAGGCAGUGUGCCGACGGCGAUCACAUCAACCUUGGAACCAUUCCCGACGCGCAUCGUCACCUCGUCCUUCACCAGUCUCCGCUUAUUCCGCAGCUCCUGCUUUGAGUUACAAAUGUGAGCAACGGCACCGGUAUCAAAUACCCAGGAGCUACUACGAGUACUGGUAAGGUAAACAUCAAUUACAUGUAUAUCACAUAUACCUUUAGUGUUGUCGGCCUUCUUGUCCGCUAAGUAUUUGGGGCAGUUCCGCUUCCAGUGACCACUUCCCUUGCAAUAAAUACACUCAGUCUCGGGCUUGGGUCCAUUCUUUGGCUUCUUCCCGGCAGCUUGCUUACCGGGCGCGGCAACUCCCUUGCCGUCCUUCUUGAAGUUCUUCUUACCCUUGCCUUUCUUGAACUUAGUGGUUUUAUUCACCAUCAACACUUGAUGUUCCUUUUUGAUUUCCACCUCCGCUGAUUUCAGCAUUGAAUAUACCUCAGGAAUGGUCUUUUCCAUCCCCUGCAUAUUGAAGUUCAUCACAAAGCUCUUGUAGCUCGGUGGAAGCGACUAAAGGAUUCUGUCAAUGACCGCGUCAUCCGGGAGAUUAACUCCUAGCUGAGUCAAGCGGUUAUGCAACCCAGACAUUUUGAGUAUGUGCUCACUAGCAGAACUAUUUUCCUCCAUCUUACAGCUGAAGAACUUGUCAGAGACUUCAUAUCUCUCGACUCGGGCAUGAGCUUGGAAAACCAUUUUCAGCUCUUCGAACAUCUCAUAUGCUCCGUGUCUCUCAAAACGCUUUUGUAGCCCCAGUUCUAAGUUGUAAAGCAUGCCAAACUGAACGAGGGAGUAAUCAUCAGCAUGUGACUACCAAGCGUUCAUAACGUCUUGGUUCUCUGGGAUGGGUGCGUCACCUAGCGGUGCUUCUAGGACAUAAUCUUUCUUGGCAGCUAUGAGGAUGAUCCUCAGGUUCUGGACCCAGUCUGUAUAGUUGCUGCCAUCGUCUUUCAGCUUGGUUUUCUCUAGGAACGCGUUGAAGUUGAGGGCAAUAUUAGCGUGGGCCAUUUGAUCUACAAGAUAUAGUGUAAAGAUUUUAGACUAAGUUCAUGAUAAUUAAGUUCAUCUAAUCAAAUUAUUCAAUGAACUCCCACUUAGAUAGACAUCCCUCUAGUCAUCUAAGUGAAACAUGAUCCGAGUCAACUAGGCCGUGUCCGAUCAUCACAUGAGACGGACUAGCCAACAUCGGUGAACAUCUUCAUGUUGAUCGUAUCUUCUAUAUGACUCAUGCUCGACCUUUUGGUCUUCUGUGUUCCGAGGCCAUGUCUGUACAUGCUAGGCUCGUCAAGUUAACCUAAGUGUAUUGUGUGUGUAAAUCUGGCUUACACCCGUUGUAUUCCAACGUUAGAAUCUAUCACACCCGAUCAUCACGUGGUGCUUCGAAACAACGAACCUUCGCAACAGUGCACAGUUAGGGGGAACACUUUCUUGAAAUUAUUACGAGGGAUCAUCUUAUUUAAGCUAUCGUCGUUCUAAGCAAAUAAGAUGUAAAACAUGAUAAACAUCACAUGCAAUCAAAUAGUAACAUGAUAUGGCCAAUAUCAUUUGCUCCUUUUGAUCUCCAUCUUUGGGGCUUCAUGAUCAUCAUUAUCACCGGCAUGACACCAUGAUCUCCAUCAUUGUGUCUUCUUGAAGUUGUCUCGUCAUCUAUUACUUCUACUACUACGGCUACCGCUUUAGCAAUAAAGUAAAGUAAUUACAUGACAUUUAUGUUGACACGCAAGUCAUAAAUAAAUUAAGACAACUCCUAUGGCUCCUGCCGGUUGUCAUACUCAUCGACAUGCAAGUUGUGAUUCCUAUUACAAGAACAUGAUCAAUCUCAUACAUCACAUAUAUCAUUCAUCACAUCCUUUUGGCCAUAUCACAUCACACGGCACAUGCUGCAAAAACAAGUUAGACGUCCUAUAAUUGUUGUUGCAAGUUUUUACGUGGCUGCUAUAGGUUUCUAGCAAGAACAUUUCUUACCUACGCCAAAACCACAACGUGAUAUGCCAAUUUCUAUUUACCCUUCAUAAGGACCCUUUUCAUCGAAUCCUAUCGGAUUAAAGUGGGAGAGACAGACACCCGCCAGCCACCUUAUGCAACUAGUGCAUGUCAAUCGGUGGAACCAGUCUCACGUAAGCGUACGUGUAAGGUCGGUUCGGGCUGCUUCAUCCCAUGAUGCCGCCGAAUCAAGAUAAGACUAGUAACGGCAAGCAAAAUUACAAUAGCGACGCCCACAACUACUUUGUGUUCUACUCGUGCAUAGAAACUAAGCAUAGACCUAGCUCAUGAUGCCACUGUUGGGGAACGUAGCAGAAUUUUAAAAUUUUCUACGCAUCACCAAGAUCACUCUAUGGAGUCAUCUAGCAACGAGGGAUAGGGGAGUGCAUCUACAUACCCUUUUAGAUCACAUGCGGAAACAUUCAAGAGAACGGGGUUGAUGGAGUCGUACUCGUCGUGAUCCAAAUCACCGAUGACCUAGCGCCGAGCGGACGGCACCUCCGCGUUCAACACACGUACGGUUGGGAAGACGUCUCCUCCAACUUGAUCCAGCAAGGGGGAGGAGAGGUUGAUGAAGAUCCAGCAGCACGACGGCGUGGUGGUGGAAGCAACGGUGAUCUCGGCAGGGCUUCGCCAAGCACAGGGAGAGGAAGGAGUGUCACGGGAGGUAGAGGGAGAGGCCAGGGGCUAGGUGCGGCUGCCCUCCCUCCCCCCCCCCCACUAUAUAGGGUCCCUAGGGGCGCGCCGGCCCUAGCAGAUCCAAUCUCCAAGGGGGGGCGGCCAAGGGGGUGGCUUGCCCGCCAAGCCAAGUGGGGCACCCCCCACCCCUAGGGUUUCCAACCCUAGGCGCAGGGGGAGGCCCAAGGGGGGCUCACCAGCCCACUAGGGGCUGGUUCCCCUCCCACUUCAGCCCAUGGGGCCCUCUAGGAUAGGUGGCCCCACCCGGUGGGCCCCCGAGACCCUUCCGGUGGUCCCGGUACAAUACCGAGUACCCCCGAAACUUUCUCGAUGGCCGAAACUUGACUUCCUAUAUAUAAAUCUUCACCUCCGGACCAUUCCGGAACUCCUCGUGACGUACGGGAUCUCAUCCGGGACUCCGAACAACUUUCAGGUUACCAUAUACUAAUAUCUCAACAACCCUAGCGUCACCGAACCUUAAGUGUGUAGACCUUACGGGUUCGGGAGACACGCAGACAUGACCGAGACGACUCUCCGGUCAAUAACCAACAGCGGGAUCUGGAUACCCAUGUUGGCUCCCACAUGCUCCUCGAUGAUCUCAUCGGAUGAACCACAAUGUCGAGGAUUCAAUCAAUCCGUAUACAAUUCCCUUUGUCAAUUGGUACGUUACUUGCCCGAGACUCGAUCGUCGGUAUCCCAAUACCUCGUUCAAUCUCGUUACCGGCAAGUCACUUUACUCAUACCGUAAUGCAUGAUCCCGUGAUCAACCACUUGGUCACAUUGAGCUCAUUAUGAUGAUGCAUUACCGAGUGGGCCCAGAGAUACCUCUCCAUCAUACGGAGUGACAAAUCCCAGUCUCGAUUCGUGCCAACCCAACAGACACUUUCGGAGAUACCUGUAGUGUACCUUUAUAGUCACCCAGUUACGUUGUGACGUUUGGCACACCCAAAGCACUCCUACGGUAUCCGGGAGUUGCACAAUCUCAUGGUCUAAGGAAAUGAUACUUGACAUUCAGAAAAGCUAUAGCAAACGAACUACACGAUCUUUGAGUUAUGCUUAGGAUUGGGUCUUGUCCAUCACAUCAUUCUCCUAAUGUUGUGAUCCCGUUAUCAAUGACAUCCAAUGUCCAUAGUUAGGAAACCAUGACUAUCUUUUGAUCAACGAGCUAGUCAACUAGAGGCUCACUAGGGACGUGUUGUGGUCUAUGUAUUCACACAUGUAUUACAAUUUCCGGAUAACACAAUUAUAGCAUGAACAAUAGACAAUUAUCAUGAACAAAGAAAUAUAAUAAUAACUAUUUUAUUAUUGCCUCUAGGGCAUAUUUCCAACAAUCUAAAAUUCAUAGGGAAAAUGAUUGAGACUUCAAGACCUAUAUUUAGAUAUCAUAUUGAAACAUGUGCUCGGACAUGAUAAGAGAAUUGUCAGAGAGUGUAAAAACAUGAACAGAAAAGUGCCCAAAGAAAAAAAUGACAGUAUGUUCUACCAGUCUGUCGUUUACGACAGAUAACUAUAAACAAGAUAUUUCACUUCCAUGAUGGUCCUCAUUAUGAAACUCUUAUAAAAAUAUUAACAAUAGUUAUUAAUUAUGCCCUACGAAAACAAGCUAGCCAUCAAAUGCAAGGAUUCCAGUGCCAGGAGAGGGGAAGAUAGAGUUCCCUUGAAAUGGGCAACACCAUGAAAAUACCAAUCUACCUUUUUCUUCCUAUGAACUUACAUUUCUAAAUACCUAAAUCUUAAACUUUGAAGAUACAAUACCAAGAUCAGGCAAAAAUAUAGACCUCAUUUGUAAAAAAGCGAGAUAUCCGACGAAUAAGUUCCUCCCAAGCUUCUUCAGGUGUAUUAGGGAUAUUUGAUGUGGGCUGAAUACCAAGCUACAAUAGAAAAAACAAAUGAUUAUCGUAACUUGCCCAUAGCAUGAAGAACAUUGCACAUCAUGGAACUAUGUUAUAAAAAUGCCAAACAGCUAGCUAUGUUAUAAUUGCACACCUUCUUACUGAAGUUCCUGAUCAUUGCUUAUGAGAAUUAUCAGUAGAAAAGGACAACGAGACAUGGGCUAUAGUACACAACUUAUUCACCAAGGAUGGAUUCUUCAAACUGGGUUACUGACCUCAUAAGCCAAAUGUUGGUAUCUAAGACUAAGAUACAAGAUAAUAUUGCUGCCUCAACAUAAUGGGGCAUUAAUUCAUGCCAGAAAGAAACAUCUGAAUCUAGAGAAUUGCAACUAGUCCUUGUCCCCCUUUUCAGGUAAGACAGCAAGAGGGAGAGACACAGUACCGGCCCGAAUCAUGCACUACAGGUAAGACAGCCUAAUAAUGUUACAAACACACCCUAAAGCCCCAGCAGUAGAAAACUUGGCAACCUACAUGCAUAGGGAGGAAGCAGGACCCCAUGCCGCCACCAGCCCUAACCAGUUUACCUUUUUGAUGGCGAUUUGUGCGGCGGCCUGCUCGGCCUCCUUCUUCCUGGCGAAGGUCCCCGGGGUGGAGAUGCUGAGCACCCCGGGGAUGUCGAGCUGGCAGCGGUAGACGCACCUGGUGCUCUGUGGCAGCGCGAGGCCGGGCAGAUGCCGUCAACGGCCUCCCGCACCUCAUCCACCCUGUAGAUGGCCUUGGCGUCGUACUGCUGGUGGAUCACCGCCUUGGGCGUCAUUAUCGCCGUCGGCAUUGCGACGAGUCGUCUCGGCUUCGAUUGACCCCCACCACGGACUCACCGCCGCCACAGGCAGCCGUGCCCAAAUCCUCCACAGGCGGAAUCGGCCGAUCGAUGAGGGUGGAGAAGAAUGAAUUUGCGACCGAGGGGUGGGAAUGGAAUCAGAAGGGGAAGGACAUGUCACGAAUUAGUGGAGUUAAACCCCAACCGUGAAGAGGGGUCAAGGCCUGGAGGGGUUGGGUGAAAGGAGGCGCUUCCGUGCAGUGGGGUUUAUGGCAGAGAAGAUCAGUACUGCUCCUUCGUUUAUAGGUUAAGGGACUAAUGCGUUUGUGAGUGUACACAUGUCUAUAAGUCUAUGAGGAGUUUGAUAUUUACAGUGAAAGUCGACCCCUAAAAAUGAAUGUCUUCAACUGAAAACUUUGGCUUUCUGAAGACUUUGAAAGGGAAGAAUUUGGUGUGAUCCCAAGGACUUGAUAUUCAUGCGAGGAAUAUGAAGCAUGAAGGCUUUUGUUUUCGUAGUUUCAUUUUCUCUUUCUUGAGUCAUAGGAAACACCGUACUGUUAAAGGGGGUCGAGGUAAAACUAAGGAAAAGUUUCCAAGUGAUGCUCAUCUCAAAAUCCUACACCUACCAAUCCUUUUGAGUGAAGCCAUUGGAAAUCUCGUACAGUUUAGUCAAUUUCUCCAGUGACAGAGAUUAAGAUCUUCUGGUCUUUGAGGAAUUUGUUCCCACUGAGGAGUUAGGAAUUCACCAGUGCGGAUUGCCAACAAGUGAGGAACAUGAUAGCCCUGAGGAAUUUGGUAUUCAAAUAUCCGACCGUUGUUGUGCUACGCGCCAGCUGUCCCAAAAUAUAUACCCACCUAAUGGUCAUAUCAUUGAAGGGCAUUUAUGUCUUAUCUUGUCGGGCGGCUCCGUAGGCUAUAAAUAGCCGCCCCCACAACCACUAGUUGGUUGUCUGCUCCGAGAAACUGACACUUGUCAUUGGGAGCAUCCCAUCCUCUGAGGACUUUGAGCGAAAAUCAUCAAGUGAGGAAAAACCCAAACCCAAACACCUACAAACCCAAACUGAUUGAGUAUCACUGAAGAGAUUGUUCCUGUGUGGAACCGAUGCUUGUUACCUUUGAGGACUGUGCAUCCUCCAGACGGUUAGGCAUCAUGGUCUAGAGCAUCCAAGAGGAAAUUGUGGAUCACCGAGUGACCAAGUCUGUGAAGGUUUGGAAGUCACCUGAAGACUUACCACGAGUGAUUGGGCAAGGUCUGUGUGACCUUAGCUUAAGGAAUACGGUGAGGAUUGUGUGUCCUCGGGUUUAAAUACCUAGCCUCUCCAACCAGACGUACAACUGUCACAGCAGUUGGAACUGGUCUACCAAAUCACUGUCUUCACCAAGCUACUGGUUCUACUUCCUCAACCCUUUCAUUUCCUCAUUCUUGUGUUGAAGUACUUGAUCGUUACUAUUUGAAGACUUUGACUAAAUACUUUCACAAUUUCCUCAAUCCUAUUUGUUUAGACAAUUUUUCUUCAGCCUGCUUAUCCUGUGUUUACGCUACUUGUACUUUGUGCUUGUUUUUAUUUCAUCAUGAUGACUGUGCUACUGCUCUGCUAUGCUUGCAUCUGAGUACUUAUUCCGCUGCUAAGUAGUUUGUUGCUUAGGAAUUUCCUCACCCUGAAAUUCCUCAGUGACAAAUUUGUAAAAAAUGCCUAUUCACCCCCUCUAGUCGAUAUAACGCACUUUCAAUUGGUAUCAGAGCAAGGUACUCCCUUGUUAUGUGUGAUUUUGGUUUAACCACCUAGAGUUUUAGUUAUGUCGAUCGUAGGAAUGAAGAAAUUGACAUGCCCCAUAUUUAACAGUCAUGAUUAUCCCAAGUGGAAGGCCAUGAUGAAGAAGCACCUCAUGGCAAUGAAUAGUGAACUGUGGACCAUCACUGAGAUUGGUCUUACCAAUCUAUGCAAGAUGGCGGAGGCUGAUGAUAUUCGCAAGUACACUCUACUUAACCUCACGGCGAAGGACAUCAUCUGCUCCUGUUUGUCCCAAAAUCAGUUCAGGAAUAUUAUGCAUCUCAGCCAUGCAAAGCUUAUCUGGGACCGACUCUCUGAGGUCUAUGAAGGUCAUCGAACUCGUCAUGAUCCCUGGUUUGAGGAUUUCAAGGACUCGCUCAAGACGAUGACUUUCGAUCCAGAAUCACCAUCCUCUGCACCAUGCCUUAUGGCAAAAGGUGCCAAGGUAACUGAAUGCUACCUAUCUGAGUCUAGUGAUGAUGAAUCUGGUGAUGAAUUUGGACCCAGCUAUACCAAACUUGCUUCCCUUGCCACUAAACAACAAAGAGCUUUGGAAAAAGUUCAAAACAUGCUAGAUGAAAGCGAUGAUAUGUUGGGUGAAGAAAUGGAUCGCACUCAAACCUUGACUGGUAAUCUUUAGAGACUUCAGUCCAAGUUUGACAACCUUCAAAGUCAUCAUAACACUCUCUUAUCUGAUCAUGAGAAGCUUUCUUAUGAAUUUAUUCAAAGAAAGCAAGAUCUUGAAAAGCUAAGGGUGAGUUAUGAAGAUCUUUAGAAGGAACGUGAUUCAUUGCUUGUUCGACAGAUCAGUGCCGCUCAGGAUGAAUUCAUUCCACCAUGUUUGAAAUGCAUUGAACGUGAACCUGCUAAUUCUUCACCUGAAAGUUCAAAUGCUUCUAUUGCUGCAAAUUCUACAAUUGUCUCUGCUAUUACAAAUUCCUCAUCUGAGGAUGCUACUAGUAUCACUGACAAUGCAGGGCUGAAGGAAUUGUAUGUGGCAGGCAUGUACAAAAGCCUCAAAGGGCAUCAGGCUCUUUGUGAUGUGCUUAAAAAGCAGAUCCUCAACACGAAUCCUAGGAAGGAGGGUAUUGCCUUUGAGAGGAAACUCAAUGCUGAUGGGACCUAUUGGAAACCUGAGCAGUAUCCCAAAACCUCAUGGGUUGCGGCAAAGGGACCUCCCGUAGAUCCAUCCACUUUAUCUGGCUUUACAUAUGAAUCUUCAUAUUCUUCUGAUGAGUCAUUUGACUCCAACUAUAAACUAUUCAAAAAUCAGAAUGGUGAAGUAUUUGCUAGAUAUGUUGGCACUAACUACAGGAAUGGCCCCCCUAUGAAGAAAAUCUGGGUUCCCAAAAGGUGCCUUGAAACUCUUCAGGUGAAUGUCAUCAUGACACCACCUGUCAAGAAUAGGAACCCCAGAUCAAAUUCUUCAUAUGGACCAAAGUCUUCAUAUGGAUCCAAGUCCUCACACAGACCAACUUCCUCACGUGGAUCAAAAUCCUCAUAUGAACAUCAUCGUGCUAACACUUCUGUUUCGCAGGGAAAGACUAAGGGCUAUGAAUAUGUGCAUUAUUCUUCAAACCAUUAUGUUAAUAAGUCCUCAAAGAAUUUCUAUGCUUAUUCAUAUGCUUACUCUAACCCCUCUCCUGUGAAACGAAAUGGACUGGCUUCUAUGCCACCUUUCUCUUAUGGAGCUCGCAGAAUGAUGAACUCUUUGCCACCCCUCCAGAUGUGGGUGGUGAAGAAAAAGAACUAAUCUCUUAUCCAGGGUCAGGUCUCCAGACGAACUUAAACGUCUGAAGAAUUUGUUGGAGACCUGAAUAUGCUUGAAAGGACACAAGCUAAUCAUGAAGAAAUGAACUUUCAUUUCUCACAUCCUCAUACUGCUAUACCUAUUCUAUUGCUUGAUGAAAUUGAUCUGAUGAAUUUGAUGUCAUAUUCUUCACUGAUGAAGUAUAUGAGUUCGUAAGAUGCACUAAUUCAUCUGUAGGAUGAUCAACCAAACGCUACUGAGUGGGUCCUCGACAGUGGAUAUACAAAUCACAUGACUGGUGACAGGAACUUAUUGAUGGACACUGCCUUAUCUCCAUCGCAUCUGAAGCAUACACUACAAAAAAAGACACAUCCGUGACAUUUUGGGACGAACGAAAAAAAAUUCUGUUAUACAUAUGACACUUCUAUGAUGAUAAUUGUGACAAAACCCGGUAUCAUCAUAGAUGUGGUGGGCACCUACUUCUAUGACAAAAAAUCAUGACAGAAAAUGGGCUUUUCGUCCUGGGCGGGCCGGAGACGUAGCUGCAUGACAUUCUUUGGGCCGUCCAUGAUGGAAAAACCUGUGGUAGAAGCGAGGGGGAGGAAAAUUUCGGGGAGUUCCCAGUUACGGUGGGAGGUCGGGGGCCGAGCGAUGCGCGUUUCUCUCGUACAUGUACGCGCGUGUGUGCGAGGCGUUGGCUCUAACUGAACCCGAGCGAGGCGUUGGGCUCUAACUGAACCCGAGUGAUUGCACUACAGGCUACGCGUUACUGAACCCGAGCGAUCGAUCGAUGGCUGUUAACUGAACCCGAUCGAGCGAUUCCUUGGCUACUGCUGCUAACUGAAGCCGAUCUAUGGGAUGAGCGGUGAGCGUUGCGGGGGGGUUUGGAUGAACAGUGAGCGGUGGCGUUGCCUCUGGAUGAACAGGACCCCGUGGUGUGGUGGAGGGCUGGAUGAACAGUAAGCGGUGGCGUUGCCUCUGGAUGAACAGGACCCCUCCCGAUCAACAAGACCCCCGUUUCGACCGUAGGAGGUCCGUUUCCUCCGUUUUGCGGUAUGCCACACCCCUCCCGUUCAACAGGACCCCCGUUUCGACCGUAGGAGGCCUGUUUCCUUCGUUGUGCGGUACGCCAGGCCUCGUUUCCAUUGCCUCUUCCGUCCAAGCCCUCCCGAUGAACACGACCACGCAUUCUGUUCCCACCCAGCCGCGUUGCCUCCCUAUGAACACUACGCAUUCCGUUGCCUCCCCAUGAACAUGACGACGAUGUUGUUUCUCCGUUCUGACCCAGCCAUGUACACAAGCCCUCGCCGUACGUAUGCGCGAGUAGGCGUUCGAGACCCCGCCCUUAUGUACACAUACGUGGCCGUAUUUUCUUUCUUGCACCCUGGCCGCCUCUACUACGACACGUGCGCGCCUCUACAUCCACCAGUAUAUAUGUACGUACACGUUCGCAACCAGAAUGACAACGCCACGUACGCUUCGACCAGGUGGGUCCCGACUGUCACGCACUUCCUUGCCUGCGAAGAUGUAGCUGGUGGGUCCCAGCAGUCAGGGGCAAAUCGUUUUUUUUUGCCCGGACGCACUUCCUUGCGUGCGAAGAUGUAGCCGGUGGGUCCCAGCAGUCGGGGGGCUGGUGGGUCCCAGCAGUCAGGGGGGCGAAUCGUUUUGGUUUUUUUUGCNNNNNNNNNNNNNNNNNNNNNNNNNNNNNNNNNNNNNNNNNNNNNNNNNNNNNNNNNNNNNNNNNNNNNNNNNNNNNNNNNNNNNNNNNNNNNNNNNNNNNNNNNNNNNNNNNNNNNNNNNNNNNNNNNNNNNNNNNNNNNNNNNNNNNNNNNNNNNNNNNNNNNNNNNNNNNNNNNNNNNNNNNNNNNNNNNNNNNNNNNNNNNNNNNNNNNNNNNNNNNNNNNNNNNNNNNNNNNNNNNNNNNNNNNNNNNNNNNNNNNNNNNNNNNNNNNNNNNNNNNNNNNNNNNNNNNNNNNNNNNNNNNNNNNNNNNNNNNNNNNNNNNNNNNNNNNNUUUUUUUUGCUCGGACACACUUCCUUGCGUGCGAAGAUGUAGCUGGUGGGUCCCAGCAGUCAGGGGGGCGAAUCAUUUUUUUUUUUGCCCGGACGCACUUCCUUGCUUGCGAAGGUGUAGUUGGUGGGUCCCAGCAGUCAGGGGGGAAACGUUUUUUUCGCGAAAUACGGUGGCCCGUCCGGUGGGUCCCUGCUGUCAGGUGGAGGAAUCAUUAUUUUCCGCGUAAUAAGGAGGCACUUCCUUGCUGCCGGCGUGGACCCAGCUGUCAGCCUCUCCACGUACAGUCCACGUCCGAUGGAAGUCAUUCCUUGACCACGUUGACCACGCCACGCCGAGAGCACCAGGGCAGUGGACGACGGCAAGGCCUAGGAAGGGGACGACACGAAGGCAGGGAAGACUCAGCAGUUGUUUCCCACGCGGAGGGGAGUACGACUGUACGAGGGUUUACUGGUUCUUCUGCCGUCACCGGAGAAUAACAGCAGGUGUGGGUGAGUAGAGGGAUGGCUAGGCCAGCGAUGGGAGUACGGUCGGGCGGUGAGGCCUGCGCGGCAGCACAGCCGGCCGCGAGGAGGAAGGAGCAGGCAGUCCCAUCGGCGCUUGUUUGAGCGGCUAGAGCAAGAAGAGCAGAGAUUGAAGAAGCACGAUGGCCGUUGGAUGGACAUCCAACAGUCAGUGCUUGUGCGUCAACCCUUUUUUUAGGAAAGCUCAAAUCCGUGGAAAACAGCACACAGCCCAUCUGCCAUUAUUUCUAAUAAUUUACAGCCCAUUUGCUAAUUCUUAAGGUUUCUUUUGGAGCCCAUAUUCUUUUUGUUAGCAUUGGAGCCCAUAUUGUGGCAACGGUUAAAAUAUUAUAGGAAAUUUUGCAUAUUUCGGUGCGGUCCGAACUGUUUUAAUCCCGAAAUUUCGACUCACAUUCAAACUGAUUUUAAAAAUAAAUGUAUAUCAAUAUAAAAUCCAACAAAUUCUCCAUGCAUAAAAAUUAAUGUAAUUUAAAAUCUUGAAAUGAAAAAAAGGAUAUUUGAAACUAAUUGUCGAUUUGAUGUGUUUUAAAAAUGUACAACCCAUUUCUCAUUACUGAUGGACCAUUUUCUCGACCAGCCGAAUGAAAGCUCUCCUCGUCUUGAAAGAUUUGCAACCCAACAGGCCUGACAAAGCGACUUGGCAAAUCACAAAAAAACUGGGUUGUGGCCGUGGACCCAGCUGUCAGCCUCUCCACGUACAGUACUCUUCCGAUGGAAGUCGUUCCUUGACCAUGUUGACCACGCCGCGCGGGGAGCACCAUGGUGGUGGACGACGAUGAGGCCUAGGAAGGGGACGACGCGGCAGUGGAAGCCCGCGCGGAGAGGACUACGAGGGUUCACUGGUUCGGCUGCGGUGUGAGGCUGCCAUUGCCGCAGGGCCUGGCCAGUGGUGGGAAUAGUAGGGGACGGUGAGGCCUCUGCGGCAGCACAGCCGGCCAGGGGAGGCAGGAGCAUGCGGCAUGACCAGCGCUGCUUUGGGCGGCUAGAGCAAGAAGACCAGAGGUUGAAGAAGCACUACGGCCGUUGGAUGGACAUCAUACGGUCACUGGAGCUAGAAUCAUUCAUAUUGACUAAGUUGACAAAGCCCUCCAUCCCCGUCAACUUAGUAGUCCCACAAGUCAGCCUCCCAGCAAGGUGGGUCCCAACUAGCCGGGGGAGUAUUCAUUUUUUUGUGCGUAAUAAGGAGGCACUUCCGGUGGGUCCGAGCUGACAGCGGGGGGAACGUUUUUUUCGCGAAAUACGGUGGCCCAUCCGGUGGGUCCUAGCAGUCAGGGGGAAACGAUUUUUUUCGCAAGAUACUGGUGGCCCGUCCGGUGGGUCCCUGCUGUCAGGUGGUGGAAUAAUUAUUUUCCGCGUAAUAAGGAGGCACUUCCUUAUGGCUGCCGUGGACCCAGCUGUCAGCCUCUGCACGUACAAUACUCUUCCGAUGGAAGUCGGUCGUUGACCACGUUGACCACGCCACGUCAAGAGCACCAGGGCGGUGGACGACGGCGAGGACUAGGAAGGGGACGACUCGGAGCCGGGGAAGACGCAGAAGUGGAUGCCCACGCGAAGAGGAGUACGAGGGUUCACUAGUUCGGCUGCGGUGUGAGGCUGUUGUCGCCGCAGAUUAACAGGGAGUGUGGGUGAGUAGAGGGAUGGCCUGGCCAGCGGUGGAAGUAGUAGGGGCGAUGAGGCCUCCGCGGCAUCACAGCCGGCCACGGGAGGCAGGAGCACGCGGCACGCCGGCGCUGGUUUGGGAGGCUGGAGCAAGAAGACCAGAGGUUGAAGAAGCACUACGGCCGUUGGAUGAACAUCGUACUGUAACAGGAGCUAGAAUCGUUCAUAUUGACUAAGUUGACAAAGCCCUCCGUCCCCGUCAACUUGGUAGGCCCACAAGUCAGCCUCCCACUAUGCUGGGUUCCAGCUGGCAGGGGGAAUAUUCAUUUUUUUGUGCGUAAUAAGGAGGCACUUCCUUGCAUGCGAAGAUAGCUGGUGGGUCCGACAUGUCAGCGGGGGGCACUUUAUUUCGCAAAAUACAGAGGCCCUUCCGGUGGGUCCCAGAUGUCAGGUGGAGGAAUCAUUAUUUUGCACGUAAUAAGGAGGCAUUUCCUUGUGUGCGGCCGUGGACCCAGCUGUUAGCCUCUCCACGCACAGUCUACUUUCGAUGGUGUCGUUCGUUGACCACGUUGACCACGCUGCGCCGAGCGCAUCCAAGGUGGUGGACGACAGCGAGGCCCCGGACAGCAACGAGCCAGAGAUGGGAAGACGCAGGAGUAGAGUCGCAGACGGAGAGGUGUAUGAGGGUUAACUGGUUCUAGUGCGAUGUGGUUCGGCAGUCGGUGGAGAAGAACAGGAGAUGUGGAGGGGUGGAGGGAUGGCCUGGCCAACGGUGGAGUAUCGCUUCAUAGCGAAGCGUGCUAAGCAGAGCUGCUAGCAGCAGGAGGUGGGAGGUGGUCCCAGCGGCGCUGGAGGAAGAAGACGAGAGAUUGAAGAUGGAUGCCUGUCGUUGGAUGUAAAUCCAACGGCUAACAUGUCAGAAUCAUUUGUUGACUAAAUUGACAACGACUUGCAUUGGCUUCGACCUAUUGGCCCACAUUUCAGCCUCCAAAAAUGUGGCACGUAUUCAACCCAUUUUUUCAGAAUUUACAGUCUUUUUUUUGCGCGGUAGAAUUUACAGUCAAUUUGAUCUUUUUUUGAAUUACAGCCAUUAGCUGGGCUGGGUGAACAAAUAAUGUAGCGUCCAUGCGGCCCGUUUAUUUUAUUUCCUAAAAAAUUACAUGCCAUUUGCACAUUCUUGAAAUACACAAUUUUGUUGGGCUGAUUCUAAUUAUAAUGUUGGGUUGGGCCAGCAAUGUUAUCAAAAAAUAAAAAGGGGUUGAGCAUUUUGUUAUAAAUAUAUUUAAAUAAUAAGUGAUAUUAUUACAUUCAUCCUUAAAUCUUAUCAAGCUUUGUACACAAUCACUAGGAUUUUUGUGCCAAAACAAUCCAGGAUUUUAUUUGUUAAGAAAUUAUUUUUAUAAGUUAAUAAGAUGUGGGAUAUUGUUUUCUUACAUAUGUAAGUAUCUGUUAAAUAUAUGAUGACAAUAAAAAUAAUAUAUAAUAACAUAUGAAAUAUUUUUUUUAGAAAAACAGGGAGCAUCUCCCCGGUUCCAUUGCUGAGAACGAAACCACAACAUAUUCUGAUACAGCAGCUCAAAGAGCAGUUCGAAAGCAAAGGCAGAAAAGCUACAAACUAAGGGGGUGGAUGAACAAGUUCUCUGAAUAACACAAACCACCCGAGCGGUGCCAAAGGCAGAGCGGAUAGAGCAUUCAAAUGACACAAGGAGGGUCCAGCGAAGCCUUCAUGGUCUUCAGCCGAGGGGCCGUGUCAGCCUGCGGCGACCAGUAAGCAAGUGGAGAGACCGGGUUGGAAGGCGUAGCAUGGUGGAUGUCCCUCUUUUUCGGCAUCAGGUGCCCAUCAUCUUCAUCAGAGAUCUUGAGACGAGCCCACGGGUUCAGCCCCAGAGCAGGUCGAGCCUUGUUCAGCCACAAGUGAUCGCCAACGGUUUCUGGAGGGAUCUUGUUAGGGUUUCCACGAAGCUCAUCAACUUGUCCUUGUCCGAUCCAGAGGAGAGAAUCGCCCAGUUUCUCAUCAUGUUCCUGAUCAACCUCAAGACCUGUGGAAUGGAAAUCCAGGAGGUGUUACUGAAAAUCAUAGCAUUUCUAUAUUUCCAGAGGUACCAAAGGACAGCUGAGCUAACAGUGUUUAAAACUGAGCACUUUUUGGUAGCAAUCCAGAAUCUGGCGACAGAUUCGGAGGAUGAGCCAAUCUGACUAGAGAAAUAUUCCUCAAUGUGGGCCCGGAGAUGUUUAGCAACUAUAUAUUUAAAAAAUAGGUGAGAACAAGACUCUUGUUCCAAGCAGUAAACAUAAUCAAGGGGUUUGAUGAUGUGUCUCUUCCUAAGGUUAUCCCUAGUCAUCAAUUUGUUUUUGGAGAGAAGCCAGAGAAAUACAUGAAUUUUAGGGGAACUCUCAAUUUCCAGACAGCAGGGAUAAACACGGGUUGAACCCCUCUAAAGUUGAUAACAUGAUAGAGGGAGCUGGAGGAAUACUUCCCCUUAUUGUCCAGCUGCCAAAUUAGGGCAUCCGGCUCGGCAGUAAAGGUAAUGCUUUUGUUAAAGAGAGUUUUAGGCAUUGACCGUCCCAAACUUCAUUGACCCUUUUGUUAAGCUCAUUGCGGACAGAGUAAAUAGGCCAAAAUUAGACUGCUAGGGGGAUGUGCCAAACCAACUAUCUUCCCAGAACCUGGUUCUGCUCCCAUCCCCUAUGUUCCAUCUGUAGCCAAAUUUCACAGCAUGCAUAAUAGAUUUCAAUCCUUUCCAGAAUCUAGAGGUCUUAGGGUUGGAGGAAGGGACAAAAAUAUUAGGUUUAUUUCCUAGGUAUUUAUGGGCAAUAAGAAGCUUCCAGGGUUUCAGGUCUUCCUCAUAGAAUCUUUUAAUCCAAGACCCUAGAAGACAGAUGUUAAUUUCUUGGAGGUUAGGUAUGCCUAGGCCUCCAAAAUCUUUUUUCAUAGAGACUAGGGCCCAAUUAGCAAGGUGUAGCUUCCCAUUUCCCUCAAAAUCAUUCCACAAGCAAUGAGACAUCUGAAAAUUAAUGAGGUUCACUGCCCAUUUAGGGAACUUGGAGAAGGAGAGGAGAUACACUGGAAUGCUAGCCAAACAAACUUGUAUGAGGAUCAAUCUACCUCUGUAAGAAAGAAGUUUGCCCCUCCACCCAGCAAUCCUUUUAAUGAUUUUAUCCAGAAGGGGUUGGAUAUCAUCUCUCCUCAGUUUAUCAUAGUGGAGAGGAAUACCUAGGUACUUAAUGGGAAAGUUACAUUUAUAACAGACUAGAAUAGAGAGGAAGUCAGCUAACUCCUGAUCAUCCAUGUUGAUAGGGAUGAGAUCACUUUUAGAGUAGUUGAUUCUCAUGCGUGAGACUUGUUCAAAUCAGGUUAGAACUGUUUUCAGAUUGCUAGCAUGUGUGAGUGAUUGUCUAAGAAAAGGAUGGUAUCAUCUGCAUAUUGAAGGCAGAUGAUGCCACCAGGGCAGACCUCAGAACACAAGCACUACUGGCCGUUGGAUAUCAUCUAGAUUCCACCAGAUUUCGCCACAUGUAUAAUCUAGAAGACUCCAUGGUUGAACUUAAGCAUAAUGCACAAACAUCAAAACACAAGCACUUCUUAUUUGUUCUAGAAUCUUCCGUAUCAGAAUUGCCCAAAUGUUUUUCUACAUAAUUUUCCAUUAUUUGUUUUUACUUUAUGUCUUACGACGCACAAUUCCAUGAAUCUUAAAAUAGAUUAGCUUUCUUAUAAAAACUAGAUGAUUUUGAAUGAAAUGAACUAUAAGAAUUAAAUGAACAUCUACAUCAUGCAUACAUGACUCAAAGCUUGCAUGCUAUAAUGUGGUAUUUAUUCAUAAUUUGGUUGCCAAAUCUCAUGCGUGCAAUGCACGUGUACCUUACUCUAGUCUAAAUGGUGUUUGUGUGUGUGUUGUGCGUGUUGAGGUGCAAAUUGUCUUUUUUUGAGGUACACGUUAAGCUUUUUCUUCCUAAAUUUCAAGCCGCGCCUUGUUAUGCCAAAAAAUCAAGCUAGCGUCUCUGUCUAUCAUGCUGCGAAACUCCCGCCUCUUCAACCCGCGCCUUGUUAGCCCAAAAUAUUUAAGAUAUAUCUUUGUCUCGUUGUGCUCCGACAACUACCUCCAUGUCAACCCGCGCCUUACUAUUCCGAAAUUACAACGCGCGCGAAAACUCCCACCUCCUGUGAAAUCCAGACACGCGAAAUGCCCGUGGUACCCCUGAACCGAAAGAACCGCCUCAAAUCGGUGGGGGUACUUUCGUAACUUACCCCACAUUUUGGACAAGCACGUCUCUAAGCCAUGGUUCCCCACUGCCAUCCCAUCUGCCCACCCAUUCGUAUACCGAGGCCGCGAAAACCCGCGACGAAAUCCCACACCGUGCUUCGUCCGCCACCCAGCUGGAGCCUCUUCCCCGACGACGUCGUCCACAGCAACACCUCGACGUCCCUCAUCCACCGUACCGGAUGAGGAUCCAUCAUCGAUCUCAUCGUCCCGCUGGUUCAGCCACCUCGUCCUCCACCUCCAAGGAGCUGCCCCGACGUUCCCCUCGUCUUUUGCGCCACCUCCAUUCCCACACCGCCGUCUUCUCCUGCACCACCGGAAGAGCAUCAUCAUCACCGUUUCCUCGGAUGAAGUUGCGGCCUAAUCGGCACCACCAAAGAGGCUGUACACUAAUCACCGCAUUUUCUUCUUGAUUCGAUCUCACGGUGCUGUCGGCGCUCGGUCCCGAGCCGACACGGCACGGCUCCAUCCACGGCGGCGUCGCCGGCCACUUCCUCCACGGUCUCGCUCCCUCGGCGGCGACGUCCACAUCAGUAGGACCUGUUGCUGCUUUAGCUCUCGCUCGCGCUGCUGCUCUGCUCUUGCUCUCGGUCCCCUGCCUGGUCUGCUUUUGCUAUUGCUCUUGCUCGCAUUGCUGCUCUCGCUCUUGCUCUUGCUUGCGAUGCUGCUCCGAUUUAGCUACACUUCAGUCGACUGAAUCGACUUUUGGGUCAGUCGAUUUUCAGGUGGUGGGGGGGCUCGCCGGGGUGAAGGAAGAACCAGCCGCAGCGGGAAGGGGGGCUCGCCGGAGAGAUACCCCACUAUCUAUCAUAGGGUUCAGGAUGGGGGAGGUGGUCGCCGGCGGUGGCUGGGCGUUGGCAGGGCGGUGGCGUGGGGAUCGCCGGAGAAAAAGCUCGACACGGGGUGGCCUAGAGGGAUGGCCGGGGCGGCGGCGGACUGGCGGUGGGGAGUGUUUUCGGGGCGGGCGGGGCAGUGCACCAACGGCCACGGGCGGUGGGGGCUGCUGUUUGGCCGGCUCAGGGGGAUGGAGGUUGAAAAUGAACCGCAUGCCCUUGAUUUGGUAUCCAAUGGCUGCAAAAUCGAUUGACCAGAGAUGAAAAAGUUAGUCGACCGACGUGUAGCCUCACCUUGCUACUGUGUUCAGUUUCGACAGCAAAAUUCAGUUUUGAUAGCAAAAUUGAGUUUUGAUAGUUAAGUUCAGUUUCGACAGUUAAGUUCAGUUUCGACAGUUAAGUUUAGAGAUGAGCGGCUGAUGUAUUUUACAUCUAGCACUUUGUGGUUAUGUAUUUUACGUCAUGUAUUGGAGAUGCUAUUAGAAUUCCACUCAGGUUAACGUUGUUCGUUGUCUCUCUUGUCCUGCUUCAGCCUCGGCGUCGUACAACUCACCGAAGCUACUCCAAUGACGAAACCCUCCAUCACAGUGGAGCAGUACCUCGGGCCCCAUCUCCAGACGCCUAAGAUCUUCUUCCCCUCCUCCGACAGCCAAGUCAGCCGAAGCAUCCUCACCGGCCAACCCAAUCAUGCUGAGAUCGACAUGGCUUCGCCAAAGAGGUUCUACACUUGUUGCAUCUCUUUUUUUACUCUACAUGUUAUAUAUAUUGUCCACUGAGCACACGGAUUUGUUCCUUUAGUGUCUCCUUGAAAGAAAAAACGUAGGAAUUUUAAUUUUCACUUGUCCUCCUUUUCAAAUUCCUAUUCAUGAAGCACAAGACUAAGAGAUAGUAGCAUAAUAGCAUUAUAACCAUAUAUUUUCUUGUGGUUUGACUUAAUGUCACCAUGCUUCUUUGCAUCAUGUGAUCUUCCAAUUGUUGUGAACCAAACACCCAGAUUGGCAGAAAUCCUAUGUUUUUAAAUUCUCUGUUUUGCACGUGCAUUCCUAUCCUAUUCCUGUCUAUUUUCUAUCCCUGCAUUGUUGGAAUCCUCCAAUUCAAACUAGCCCUUACAGAAUUACUUCUCUUACAGAUAGUUGUCAAAGAAAACCUUGCGUGGUUUGUCUCGCUCCUGCUGCACCGUCAUCCACCCCAGCUCAGCUGCUCCAACGACAGAAGGGUCCAGCACAUCAGGGAUCCAACCUCCAGACUGUCUUUUGCCGCCUCAGAUCUUCUUCCCCGCCGCUGGCAGCCAUGAAAACUGCACUACCAUCAUCAACCGAGCAUAUGACCUCGAGGACUACAUGGGUCCGCAAGAGAGGUCUCACUCUUUCGUGUCUGCUUACGUUAUGCAUCGCUUAAUAUUACAUGCUACUUUAUCGUCCUGUUCACCGAUUAGACUCUGAGUCAGCUCCAAACUAAUGGUCAAACUUGAGUUUUUAAAUGGUUGUGGGGUACAUAUCGGGGCCGCUAUCAAUAGUAUCUAUCUACUAUCUGGUUAAUCUACGGUGUCUACUAUGAGUUUCAUGUUGGGUGGGAAACAAAUAGUAAAUAAGCCAUUAUCUGUAUUUUUUAACUGAAGCCAUUAUCUGCCUGCUAUUAUUGGUUUUGGAUCUAUCCACGGGUUGCUACCAUCACUCUGGAUUUCUGCAUGCACUCCUUACAUAAUCUCACUAUGUUUUAUUCCUAUGCAUGACAGUUAUUGUAAACAAUGGAACUGAACAUGUAGAGCAAAAGAGACGAGCCUUGCGUGGCAAUAAAAUUUCAUGCAGAUGUCGCUCCAUGGUAGGCGCAAAGGCAGCCCCCCCCCCUCCACGCAUUUCAGAUUGUAAUUGAGAGGAAGAUAUCUGUUCUGAGGGGGAUUCAGAAGGAGAAGACAACUCCUAUUUACCCCCUGAGGUCUUCGCUCUAACUUGGCAUGCUGAUGUUGGUUAUAUCAUGCAUAUGGUGUCUUGCAUUGCUUACUUUAUACAUCAAAUAUGCAUCUGCUUAGUUUAGACAUCCUUUGUGUGAAUGCCAUCUGUUUAGUUUAUUCAUUGUUUAUGUGAAUUAUGCAGCGCCAUCUUGUUUAGCCAGGCAUCAUAUAUGUGAAUUUUGCAAUGCCAUCCUGCUUAGCCAGUCAUCUUAUAUGUAAAUUAUAUCAGGCCAUCCUUUUUUUGGUUACAUAUUACAUUUGUUAAAAAUGUUAUUAUAUUCAACUGCUCUUCGUGUGCAUCAGCCAUUUGACACGGUGAUGGCAAAUUCUGGAGUGAAAACUAGGUCUUCAGAGCAGACUAUGCUAUCUGACGAAGCGCAUAUCUCGCUGGUUACGGAUAGCUCCUCAGAGGAGGAUUCAGAGAUAGAUGACCAGUCCUAUCCCCCCCCGAGGUGUAUGCUCUAACUUGGCAGGGUUAUGUUGCUCAUAUCGUGCGUAUGGUGUCUCGCAUUGCUAUGUCAUUUGAUUAGUUUAGACAUGCUUUGUGUGAAUGCCACCUGUUCAGUGUCUAAUUACCAUAUAUGUGAAUUAUGCAUUGCCAUCUUGUUGCAAGACAUUAUAUAUGUGAAUUAUACAAUGCUAUCUUGUUGCAAAGGCAUUAUAUAUGUGAAUUAUGCAAUGUCAUGCUGUUUAGCCAAUCAUCAUGUAUGUGAAUUAUAUCAUGCUAUCAUUUUUUUGUAUUACGUGUUCCAUUUGUCGACAACGUUUGUAUAUUCAACUACUCUUCCUGUGCAUCAGCCAUUUGAAGCGGUGAUGGAAGUAUCUGGAGUGAAAACAAGGUAUUCAGAGCAGACAAUGCUACCUGCUGAAGCAGACAUCUUGCUGGUUACAAAGAGCUCCUCAGAGGAGGAUUCAGAGACUGAUGACCAGUCCUAUUUUCCCCCUGAGGUCUAUGCUCAAACUUGGCAGGGUUAUAUUACCCAUGUCAUGCAUGUUGUCUUGCAUUGCUUAGUUUUUACAUCAUAUAUGGAUUGCCAUCUGCUUACUUGCUUACUAUAUAAAUCAUAUAUUUGAAUUAUAUCAUGCCAUCAUGUUUACAUAGUACAUACACAUCAUCUAUCUGAAUUAUGGCAUGGCAACCAAUUUAAUAAAGACAUCAUAUAGUUAUAUCAUCUCAUCCUGUUUAGUGUUUACAGUCAUCAUAUUUUGAAUUAUGGCAUUCUAUCCGUGAAUGUAUGUGAAUUAUGGCAUGCCAACCUAUUUAAUAAACGCAUUAUAUAGUUAUGUCAUGUCAUCCUAUUUACAUAGUCUCAUAUUUUGAACUAUGUCUUUCCAUCUUUUUUAGUUAGCCAUCAUAAUGUGAAAUUGUGUCAUGCUAUCCUGUUUAGUUAGCCAUCAUAUAUAUGAAAUUGUGUCAUGCUAUCCUGUUUGGUUAGACAACAUAAAUAUGAAUUAUUUCAUGCCCUCUUUUAUUCCCCACUAUCCAUUGCACCUGUCUAUCAUACAAUGUCUAUACUUUCAAUUACUUUUCUUGUUUAUCAGCCAUUUGAAUUGGAGAGCGUGAUGGCAGUAUCUAAGGGAGUAACAACACGGUCUUCAGAAAAGAUAGUGCUACCAGUUGAUGCAGCUAGAACCACGGUUGUACUUGCCCAAGGACCAGAUCCACCGCACAUAACCCAGACUCUCGCAGAUUGUACCCCUACCCAGUUGGACAGAGAACCAGCUACACCCCUUCUAACCCCAACCCCGGCAGAUAGUAACCCAGUUCCAGUUGACACAGCACCGUCUCCACCACAAAGCACUCAAACACGAGCAGUUAGUAAGGGAACUGCAGUGCCCAAAGCACGAGGACCACCACUCCGAAUCCCAACUCAACGCUUAAAGGAGAAGAAGAUUUGUUCUCAGGUCAGGUUCUGUAGCUAUGGUUCAUACUCCUUUGCUCUUGCAUGACUGUAUUUACUCAUACCAACUAUUUUCAAAUUUGAAGGAUGGAAUUGAAACUCCAAUGGCACAACAGGUAUGUUUUAAACUUGUUUCUUUAACUGGUUUACUGUUGUAACCUGCUCUAUGUUGAUUUCAGUUUCAAUUGAAUAAACAGUUAUGUUCUCAUGUCAUGCACAUUACAAGUGUUGUUAUUGAUCUAUAGUUACCCACACUUAUAUUCUGUCUAUUCUGCUUUGUCUUGAACAAAUAUUAUUUGAACUGUGUCUCUAUCUUGAUUUGGCAACAAAAACUAGAAUGAUAUAGACCAUAAAGUGACCAUGGUACAUAGAUAUAUGUUUGUUUCAUGCUGUUAUCAUGUCCACUUUACUACUGAACUCAUUUACCAAAAUGAGUUUCAUAUACAACAUGGUAAACAUGUGAUGUGUCUGCUUGUUUCUCUUUUAGAAUGCGGACAAAAUAUUGGAGAACAGUACCGCGUUAUCCAAUGGUAAAGGAACUAAUGCAGAUAAGGUUCAAGAUAGUGAGACAUCCCUGUUGGUCUCCAAGAAAGCUGAUAAAAACUAUCUUGACGACAGUGAGGGAACCCAAAAGUCCUGUCUUGAUGUAGUGUUCGAGUUACUGGCCACUACUGCUGGCACAAGCUCUUCGAACUCGCUGCCUGAAUCAGUUCGUCUUCUUGAGUCUCAACUUCAAGUUGAAAGACAUCGAUCAGAUGUGCUGCGAUAGGAAGCUGAAGGACUGAGGAAGUCCCUGCAGAAUUCAGAUGCAUAUUUUCUGGUGCAACAGCAAGCGCUGGAGGAUUUAAGCGCCAAACAAGAGAAAGUUAAUAAGCUUGCUAAGCAUCUUGCCAGCAUUAUGGGUACCCAGGAUAUUGUUUCUUGAGAUCUUCUGAAGUGGUUUCAGUUCUGGAUUUGUUUUGCUGCGGCGUUUAUUUGCACUGGUCGCCAACUUUGACAACCAGUGUAUAUGAUAUGCUGCUUUGUUCCCUAUAUUUGCACUUGUGGCGAACUUUGAUACCCAAUGGAUGUAAUAUGUGUAAUAGCCAUGAUAGCCUAGCGUUAGUUGCUUGCGUAUUUAUUUCCUUGUUGUCUUGUUUAUUUGUUUGCUUGUAGUCAUUGCAGUUCUUUUUCCGAGAUUAGCUAGUGGCUGCAAUAACCUAUUUUUUAAAACUAGGCCACAAUAACCAUAGGCUAAUACUUACUGUAGUGACACUGGGCCUCCUACUGGCCGUAGAAACAGUGGGCCUUCUACGGGCCGUAGAAACAAUGGGCCUUCUACGGACCGUAGAAACAAUGGGCCUUCUGCGGGCCGUAUUAUCAAUGGGCCUUAUACGGGUCGUAUAAUCGAUUGGCCAAACAUGGGCCAAACAGACCGCAUUAUGGCCAUAAACAGGCUAGAGUUGGAAUCGUCCGUUCAUGGGCCAACCAUAACGAGCCAUCGUUAAUAGAUCGUAUUUGAUGAUGCUAUGAAAUCGGCCCAACGUAUUAACGGACCACAAACGGACCGACUGUAACCACGGGCUGAAUUUGGCCCACAAGCAGAAAAUGACAAUAACGGGCCGUAAGUAAAAAAAUGCUGGAAAUGAGCCCAAGAAUAAAUGGGCUCUGAGAAGGCCGAAAGAUAACAUGGGCUAGAAACGGCCCAAUGGAAUAACGGGCCGUUAAUGGGUAUAAAGUGAUACGUUGUUCAUUACGGGCUAGUUUCACCAUGGGCCGUUAAUGGGUGUAAAGUGAUACACUGUUCAUUACGGGCCAGUUUCACCACGGGUCGUUAGUAGGCCAAGAGUUACAUAGGGCCUCAUAUGGGCCGAAAGAUGUCAUGGGCCAGAAGUGAAAACGGGCUGGAAUCAUAUUGGAUGGCCCAGAUGACGCUACUGGGCCUAAUUCGGAUAGGGCGUAACGGGCCUUGGGUUAGCAGGCUGUAAAUGGGCUAUAUUCGAACAGGCCGUUAACAGGCUUUCCAUGGGCCGGCCCGCCAGCUUUUGACCAGGUCAAACGGGCCGGCCUUUUCACAGGAAUGGGCCUCUGUUGGGCCGUGCCAUGUGUCGACGUAUCAUAGGCGCCUAUCUGACCCACUGAUGAGCUGACACGUGUUUCAUCCGGCCAAUAAGAAUUUUACACGUGUAAAUUUCCCAUUGGUCGGGGCUGUUAACGGGUUAUCGGAUCCAAAACCCGACCCGAUAGCUUAACGGCGUUCCGUUACGGUGGAUGCCACGUGUCGGUCACCCUUGAUGAAAGCACUUCUGUGAUGCGUGAUUUAUCGUCAUGAAAAUGGACACUUCCGUGAUGAUAAUUUUGGUAAUGUCAUGGAACACUUCUACGACAGCACAGGUAUGACUAUCUUGAUUCUGUCAUAAAUUUGUCAUGGAUGUAUAUGCAUGACAAAAAAAAGCGACCUACUGUGACAAACAUGUAUCCUCACGGAAGUGUAUUUUUUUUGUAGUGGGCGCCAACUGUCGUGGACUUAACAUGGCAGAUGCCCUAGCAAAAGGACUUAAGUGUGGAGCCAUUACAGCUAGGUUAGCUUGAAGGGGUUAAAUGGGACAAAUAACACGGAGAGUUUACCCAGGUUCGGCCCCUCUCAACAUGGUAAAAGUCUACUCCUACUUUAGGUUGUACUAGCACAUAUGCCCGUGCGUUGCAACGGGAAAAAUUGAUAUUUUGUGCAAGCAUAAUGUCUCGUAGCACCGGAUUCACUAUGAAGAACAUGCUGCAAUGCAGUAACCUUUUAUAAAAUGAACAUAAAAAAUAGGAUGCAAUUUAUCCGCGUCCAUAUUUUCUUUACGGGCAUAAUCUCCCACUAAUUUUGUUGAAGUAUAAUUCUUUCUUUAAUUACCAUUACGUCAUCACCUGUUUUAGUCGAAUCGAAUCUCUUCUUUUCUAAUUUAGUAGCCCCACCACAAUGAAGCCUAUGGAUCCUUCCUUUUAGUUAUCCUACUUUUUACCUUAGAUCCUUCCUUUAAUUAGCCCAUCUAUUUGAAAGCCCACAAUCGUUCUUUAAUUAUUCCACCGAUUUACUCACAAUCCUUUCUUUAAUUAGCCACAUCCAUUUAAACAUCCUAUUUAAGCUCAUAAUCCUUCCUAAGGCCGCUUCUUUAACGGUCUCUUGGUUGAUUCCUAAGGCCGCUUGUAUAUUUACUGGUGGGAACCAUUGUAAAAGAGCGAUGCGAGAUUAGUAAACGUGAAAGACGGAUAACUCGUUGGUUGUUACUCAAAGAGCCAGACAUGAGGUACUGCGUUCAAUUUCCAUGAUGUUGAUUUAUUUUGACCCAAUUAUUUGUCGCAGUCUCUAUGAAAGCCCGUAGAAGGCCCAUCAACAUACGAGUACCUGGCCCAAAUGGCUUACCAUGUGUACGAGUGAACCGUACGAAACUUUAGCUUGCGCUCAUACCAAACGAAAAUCAAUGAAAAGGACCAAACCAAGAAUACAUAUUCCCUUUAAUAAAUCAAUGAAAAUGACCAAACCAAAUUAAGAAUACCUAUUCCCUUUAAUAGUAGGUAUAGAUUGCUUGGGUUUCGAUUACCAUGGAGCGAAUACGCUUGACCUAGUUCUCAAUGAGUUAUUUCUUGAGUUAACUCGUCGCCGGGUCACCUCUUUAUAUACAGGUUGAUGCUUGGCGGCUUAAAGAGUCCCGGCUGGCUCAUACACAAUGUGUCCGGCUUGAUAACUAACUAAACUUGCCUUACAAUACAAGUUAAACAUAUGGCGGCUCACACCCGUGGGCCUCAAGUCGUCCCCGGGUCUUGGGCCUUCAAUAAGCUUGCUCUAUGAACCGCCGUCUUCAUAUCUUCUUGGGCCUCUUCAUCUUAAGCCGCCAGUGGCAUGACCCGGCCCCUCCUGGGCGGGUCAUACCCAGUAGUUAUAUCCCCAACAAGGCCCAUAGGCCCACAGGCCCGGCCGGGUUCGCAAAUUCUCGUAAAACUCCCGUCGUCACGCUGCAGAAGGCACGCCAUUGGCGCCACCACCACGAAUCCGAGCUGCUCUUCCUCCAUGCCGCGCAGAGGACGUCGAAGCCACGCCAAUGGUCGUCCCUCUAGGACCCAAAUGGGCCUGGAAGGGGCCGGGGGCACGCUGCUGGCCACCGCACGUCACCUCUCCCCCCCCCCCUCCCCACCACCAAGGGGCAGCAUCACCACCUCGCCCGCCGCCAGCGACCGCCGCCUAGCCGAACAGCACCGCCGCCGUCCCCUGCCCCGGGAAGGGGAGCCGUGCGCGGGGGGACAGGAGGUCCUGCCGCCGCCGACACCACCUGAACCAGCGCCGGGGGCGCCCGCCUACAGCGGCGGGGAGGAGCUGGAGGGCAGGUACGGCCGAGAGGGAGAGCAGGGGGUGCGCCGCCCCGACCACCUCCCGGGAAGGCGAUGCAGGGGCGGGACCAGAAGGGGGGAGGAGGAGGGGGCGCGGGAGGGGCCGGCAAGGAAACCCUAGCGGAGAGCCUCCGUCCUUGUAAAAAAAAGCUCUUAUAUUAUGAUAUGGAGGGAGUAGUAUCCUCAACGAUUGGCAGUCCGCGUCGGGACUGUUGAGAAAUAAAAACAUGUGAUAAAUUGUAUGGGAGGGAUGCCUCCCAGGAGGUGUCUGUUGGGAAAGAGGUGUCUCCCCAACACACUCCUUCACCAUGUAUAUAAGUGUGUCUCCCACAUUGCAAUGGAAUGAGUGGAUCAUUUGGACUCUUCAUGUGUCUCUUUUACUUUCACUCUAUAACACGUUAUCAGCACUUCGCUCUCCUUUGAGAGAAAAAGGCCAUCCAAGACGGCAGAACAUCAGCAGCGCUUGCCUAUAGGAUCCAGCGCAUCGUCAUCACUAUGGAUGGAUACAAAUCGAUCCACGUCUUCUCGCCGGUCUUGCGGCUGGCGCACGACGCGGCUGCUCGGUGCGGCCCGCUACUGGCGCAAAGCGGCGGUCACGGCCUCAGCAUCGCUCCUUCCAGCGUGAACACAGACCUUCAAAAUUGAUCGCUGAUGGACGCCAUACGUGCUCGGCAAAGACAGCCAUGCAUCCGCAUGCAUGCAUCCAUAAAGGGCAAUCGAUCAGGAAACGCUAAUUUUGUCUUCUUAUGUUUAAGAUCAGCAAUCUAAUGAUGGUGUUUUCAUGAAUAGCCUGCGCGAACUCUUCACUGAAUCGGCAGACACAGGAAGGAGGGAUCAACCUCGAGUGCAUGGCGCGGUGAUGCCCCCGUCAGCGGCGCUCGGCCCAGGCCGGCAUCCACACAAGAAACCGAUUCAGGACCAUGUGUCUAGAAACCGAUCGGUCUUGAUGGCAGUUUCCCCACGGGCGUUCGCGGAGGCAGCGUGACGCCUGAGGCCCGACGAUGUUGUCCCUGGCGCGCGCGGCCAUCGGAUCCGGCGAGUUGCUUGACGAGGAGCACGGCGCACGAAGUGAGCGGGGCCUCGUCCAUGCACAGGCCCUUUGCGGCCAGCGGCGGUUACCAAUGGCUAACACUCAUGCACGCACGGGAUUAGGAAUUGCACAUUCUCUCCGUGGCCAUCAUGCAAGCACCAAAAGAAUUGAACUAAUUGCUACAGGAUAAGGCCCUUCCUAGGAUCGAUCCUGGCGUGGUGGCAUUCGGCCACGGCUACUUGCGGAUCGGCGGCGGCCUUGCGGAAAGGAGGCGCAAGGCGAGACGACGGCUCCCCAUCGACCAGGCGAAUCUUGACGCGCACUUCUGCGUGAGACGAAGCAGCGGCCUAGCGCGACUCUCCAUGUGGCAUCGGCGAUGACAGGCCAGUGCGAGGCGACGCUAAACAGCAACCACGCUAUCAGGAGCGAUUGGUUGCAUGGUAGCCAAACUUUUCUCUAAGAAAGAUCAGGGGAAACAUGUCUCGUUCAUUUGUUCUCGUUUUGAUUAAACAAAUAUGCUAAUCAAUUCUGUUUGAGAAAAAAAAAGCAACAUAUGGACCGAAGCCAACAACCAAGGCCACUAUGGCGCUCCGGCGCUCGGCGACAUCAAACUGGCGAUAGCCUCGUCGAGGACGCAUGAACAGCCGUGGCAUAGUUCUUCCUCAGCGGCGCUCGAUGCCGUCCACAGUGGUACCAUGGCUUCAGAGUAAAUAUACAUGGUACACUUGCUGGAUUGCAUAAUAAUUGAUUAUGCAUUAUUUUACAUCAUGCAAAAUCAUCGUUACUAUUCAUCACCCAGGGUGCAUAAUAAGUUAUUCUUCACCCGAGUUAAUCUUACGACCGCUUCAUAAACAAAUUACGUUUGGAAUACAAAUAGUUACAUUCAUAUUGAUUCACUACAUAAAAUUUGGUAUAAGAAAAUAAAAAAAUAGGUUAUAAGACCAAAAAUACCACAUUUUUAUGUAUGUUUUUACGUUCGUAACUUUACAUAACAUAAAAUAUUUUUUACGGCGAGUAUAUGUUUUUUUACGUUCUCUUUUUACGUAUGAAAUAUGAUAAAAUUUAUGAAACCUAAAAAUACGAUGCAUUGACGUCAAAGUAGAGAGGGGGUGAAGAAUAACUAUUCCUCACCCAGGGUGACGAAUAGCGCGNNNNNNNNNNNNNNNNNNNNNNNNNNNNNNNNNNNNNNNNNNNNNNNNNNNNNNNNNNNNNNNNNNNNNNNNNNNNNNNNNNNNNNNNNNNNNNNNNNNNNNNNNNNNNNNNNNNNNNNNNNNNNNNNNNNNNNNNNNNNNNNNNNNNNNNNNNNNUAUUACAUGAGUAAUAUGGUUGCAAAGCAAUAAGUUAAUUUCAUUAUUCACAUAGAAUAUGAAACUUGCUUGCAAAUUUUAGGAAACAUAAGGUAGUGAAGUGUAUGACACUGCCUAACUAUGUCAAAUUAACAUUUGUCACAAGGAAUCGACAAAUGGUAUCUACUGCUUAAUUGUAGAUUAUAUAAUGUUAUUGUAAGGUCUAUAUUAUGCCAUUCGCACAUAAUGACCACCUUCAGUUUUGCACACAAUUUAUGGAUUGCAUUAUGGCGACGAAUUAAUUUCGUUCACAACUGCGAGAUCUACACUACCAUGUGGUGAUUACCUUCAAUGUGUUUUUAAUUAACACAAGGUUGUGAGAAGUUCCAUAAAAGUGAGAUCUACACUACUUAGUGAUUAUCUAUGUGUUUUUAAAAGAAAAAUGAAGGCAGAAAACUUAUGACAUAGCCAUUAUGAGGCCUACAUCGUGGUGACUACCUUCAUGAUGUUUUUCCAAAUACUUGGAAACUUCAUAGCAUUUGUCAUUGGUUGUGACUAUAGUGUCACAUACUCCAUCAGGAGAUGAAUCCAAGGCAUUGGUGACUAUGCUGCAUAUUAUGCUAAGAAGAGAAUUAUGCAAAACACUUGCAUAUUUUGGUGAUUACCUUUCAUGCAUACACAACUUAUGAGACAUCAUCAUAGCUAUGAAUUAAGUUUAUGCACAGUUGAGAGGUUUACGCCAUUUUAUGGUGAUUACCUUCAUGUGUUAUAAAUAACAUAAGGUUGUGGAGGCUAUGAUCAAUGGGAACUGUCCAUAAGAGUGAGGCACCACUAGGUGGUCGACUACCUCUAUAUGUUUUAAGAAAAUUAAAUGGUUGUUCCUUUUGAGGUGACUACCUUUACUUGGAAGAUCCACACCACACUAUGGUGUUCUUCUGGAAGGCUUGCCCUAUGGGUCACUAAGAAUCACCAUCACCAUGAUUAUUCUUAGCCAUAACACUUUCAUCCUACUUAAUUUACUGAAGGUAAAUUAAUGCAUGAGAAUUUCAUGCAACAUAUGGCUGACUUUUUUGGAAAGGGAAUGCGAUGGGAUUACAUUUGGUGGGAGUAACUAUUUAAGAUGGGUCAUGGACAUUAAAGAUUUUGUCAACCUGGAGCCUUGUUGCCACAGAAACUCCACUUGCAGAAAAUGUCAUGGCUAUUUAUAAAUAGCUAAAAUGUGCAUAUUUGCAUUUAUGUGACAUCGCAAUGACUCGGUUUUUAAACUGAGUAUGUAAUGGAUAAUGAAUAUCCAUUUUCCCUCUAAGGCUUAGGCGAGAUAUAUUGUUAUAAGCAUCACACGAAUGAUUAUUCAUUCGUAUUAAGGACUUCAAGUCUGUUGAGGCUUAUUAUUCUGUUGUCUAUAAAUCAACACUAAGUUGAGAUUAUGUGAUAAGGCGGCUUCAGAUACAUAUCUGACUAUAAGUCCUUAUUGCACUUUACGUUCUCCUAGGAUGGUAAACAGAAAUAUCAUCUUUGUUUCAGGUUGCAAUGCCUGAAAUUCAUGCUAGUACUGUUAGUACUAAGCAAUAGUGGUUAGAGAACAACGAGGAGUUGAAUGUAAAGUGAAGAGAAAAAAUGACAAGCAGACAUUGAGUGUAUAUCUCAAAAGGGAAUGGAUCAUUUAAUUUAAAUGAUCAUAAUGGCAACUUUCAAGUUUGUCAAAAUGGUGGUUGUAUGAAAUGUUGUACUAAUGAUAACCAAUUGCUCAUGUAUUGGAUUCAUACCACCGGCUCACUGGAGGCAAAUGAUUUUAAUGGGAUAAGUUUAAAGUUCUACUUCAAAAGGAAAAUAACCAGAAAAUAUCCCGGCAUGGUAAAGGAGAAUCGACUCCUCUACAUUGAUGAUAUGCUUGUGGAAUGAUAUUCCCAAGAUAUUUUGGAGAUCUCGUGUAGUCUCCUAGUUAUCCCUAAAUAUCAUUAGUCUAUAAUUGUACUACUACAUAUAGUAUAAAUUGCAACAUCUUGUCCCUCGGACAUGAUAGUUUAGAUAAUUGAGUGUAUGAAUCAGUUUAUACUCAAUCUUGUUGUAUACACAAUAAUUUCUCCUCCUUUAUCAUCAUGGUAUUGACGAUUAGAGAAAUUAUUGACAAUUCUGUUGGCCACAACUUAACAAGUUGCAAUAUUCCCAACAAUCAUGAGAUUGUUUUGUGGGACUGCAUGUGACAUUGGGGAAUUAAUUUUAAGGCACUCUCACCUUAAAAUUUGAAAUGAGCCAGCCAAUAUUCUUGAUUGCAUUCAAGAAUAUGUUCGGAUUAUUCAAUCACUAUCUGGGUUAUGUUGGUACUUCAUGGUGUUAAUAGACGCAGCUAAAAGAUGGUCUUAGAUGUGUAUCAUUCACACAAACCAUGUGUUUACUGAAUUAAUUGCUCAAAUUGACGAAUUUAGAGCAAAUUAUCCUAACGAGGGAUAAUUCCACUGGAAUGCAAAUGUCGUUGAAAUUGAUUCACAAGCAUUCAAUGGUUAUAUUCAGUAUAUAGUACAUAACCAGAAUGGUUUGGCUUGAUCUCUUAUGAAAGAGAUUCAAUAUUGCUUGGCCAAUGUUGCAGAAUUGUGAUUUACCAACAUUUUGUUGAUGGUAACAUGCGGUCUCACACUCCGCAUAUUUGGUCUAAAUAAAAUCAACUGAUAUUGCACCCCCUUGCAGUUUGUACGUGGAAAUAAGUGAAGUAUUUCCCAUCUGCGGUAAUUCGGUUGUAUACCGAUAUCAUCACCCCAGCGUAUAUCAUGGGCCUUCACAUAUGUUUGGGAUCUAUGUGAGAAAUAACUUUGGUAUGAUUGUUAAUCCAUCGAAUACCUUAACCCGUACAAGGGAGUUAUUUGCAGCCCAUACGCUGAUUGCUUUUGCAAUAAGAACAUUUUCUGGCAUUAGGGAGAGAUGAGUACCACAAAGAAUGCCAGGAAAUGGAUAACAAAUGUCAUAGACAUUUUGUCCACGUACUUAAGAAUCUGAACUGCAGAUUCAAGUUAUGAGAAAUUUGCAGCAUAUUGCAAAUAAUCUGCCAAGUAUAUUUACUGAUGACAAAGGUGUCACUAUGGUCAAGUACCAGAACAAGUGAAGGUACCUAAUAAACCACUCGUCUCCCUAGAUGAGACCAAGAGGGGGAGAAUUGUGGUCACAUGAGAUUAAGUUCUCAUAAGUUUUAGCGGAAACAAAGGAGAUUGACCCCUUGAUCAGUAAAUAUGAUUCAACCUCGGGUUGAAUGACACUUAAGGGAUGCGCGGCAUCCAAAGUCCAACACAUAUGUGCACACAUUUUUAGGUGUUGGGAAAUCGAAACACCUUGACUUCGUUAUUGUGGGAAAUCACAAGGAGUUAAGAGGCAUAGUAAGAAUUCCACAAUGAUAUUGAUUCAUGAGAAUCGUAUAUGAGAAAGUCUACAUAUGUCGACAUAAAAUUCUUCUUGAGAAUUGCUAGAAUCCUUUUGGGCCCUGAACCAAAAUCCAUGAAAAGUGUUGUCUGCACUUAUAUUGGUUCAAAUGAAAGGAAGCAAUUAAGGAAGAGUGGCACUCGCUCAUCAAAAGAGCGGUAUUUACCGUUGUAAAACCUGCUCCUCAUAAGUAUCUUCCAGAGGGAAGAGAAGUAAAUUUUCGUUUGGAAACGAAAAUAAAUGAGGUGGUGAGAAAGCGAGGCUUGUAGCACAAGGGUUUUUCGCAGAGACCCGACAUCAGUUACGAUGUAGCAUACCUUUUUGGUAUAAGUGGAAUUAUGUUUCAAUACUGAAUGUUAAUGGCAGUACAGAUCCAUACGGUUGAUGUAUGUAAUGUCUACAUACUACCAUGGGUCAAUUAGUUUGGAUGUAUAUAUUGAAGUCAUUGAAUGACUUAAUAUUCUGAAUCCAGAGGUAAAUCGCAACAUGCAUGUGUGGAACUUCUGAAGUCAUUCUAUGACUUGAAGUAGUCGGAGAAUUGUGUGGUGCAACCGACUAAGUGAGUUAUUCCUUGACAAGGAUUACUCUCAUACUAAUGAUUGUUGACGUGUAUUCAUGAAGAAAUCCUUAAUCGGAUUUUACAUCACCUUAAUUUGUGGUGUUGAUGAUCUUAUAAUCAAAGUCUAUAUAAGACAUGAAAUACACACAAUCAUGUCAAGACGGAUAUUUGGGUUAAACCAAAUUAUGCUAAGUUUACGACUUGAGCAUAUCCCCCUAAGAUACCAGUCUUCAUAUAUCCGAAAGUAUUAGAGAAGUUCAAUAUGGAUAUAUUAUAUCAAAAACACAUAUGGUCAUAUUAUACCUAAUAUGGGAUACAGAUCCUUGAGACAUAGGGGAGAUGGUGAAGUGAUAGUUGGACACAAAGUGCCAUAUCUAAAUACCAUCAAAAUACUCAUAUAUCUUGCGAAAUAUGUCAGACCUGACACUACAGUUUUUGGCAAUUUAUUGAGAGUGUAAUUCCCCGAAAGAUAUAAGGUUUGUGUAAGGAAUAUACUCAGAUAUAUCCAGGGCACACAUGGUCUUGAUCAAUUUCAUCCGGAAAAUCAAGAUGAGACCAUGGUAUGAUAUAUUGAUAGUGGCAAAUUAUUUGAUCCCACAAUGCCAUAUCAUAGACUAGGUUUGCUGGAAGAGGAUUUUGAGGGAAGUCUUCAGAAUAGACUCUAAACGAGUCCUUCGAGUAAUCAUUCUACUUUAUUUGAAGCAUCACAAAAUGUGGAUGACUUACAUAGAAUGAUUAGCCACAUGUGAACAUGUGGAGAUUAUCAUUAUCUACCAAGAUAAUGUCACUUGUAUUGCUUAUGGGUUAUAUUUAUCCUUGUGAAUUACAGGAAUGUAAGAGGAUAAUAUGCAAACAGAUUAUUGUGAUAUACACAAUAUCUUUAUCAAUGUUUACAUUCCAGAACUAGGUUCGUGAAAUUGGUAUGAGAUAUUCUUGAGGUUUGCAAAAUUCAGGGGGAGUAAAAUCCCAAGUUAUAACCCAUUGGUGAUCCUCCCAUUGAUGAUCCUCAAAUCACUCAUAUUGUACUCUUUUUUCCUUUAUGAGUUUUCCAUGGUUUCUCAUAUAAGGGUUUUAACGAGACAAUAUAUAAAUGCAAGUGCGGAUAUAUGCCAUAUUGGUUUCUCUUUAUAUUUUUUUCACUGGGUUUUAAAGGAGUUUUCGAUGACAUAUUAUUAUAAGAUUUCUUCUCAAUUUUUCCCACAGGGUUUUUGAAGGAGUUUUCAAUUUGCAAUAUACAUAUGACGAAUUGAUCAAGGAGGAGUGUUGAGAAAUAAAAACAUGUGAUAAAUUAUAUGGGAGGGAUGCCUCCCAGGAAGUGUCUGUUGGGGAAGAAGUGUCUCCCCAACACACCCCUUCACCAUGUAUAUAAGUGUGUCUCCUACAUUGCAAUGGAAUGAGUGGAUCAUUUAGACUCUUCAUGUGUCUCUUUUACGUGUCUCUUUUACUUUCACUCUGUAACAGGGACGAUUCCACAAUCAAGGCUUCGCCCCUGUCGGUACAACGGCCACGGCCGGCCGUCGUCGCCCGGUGUUUUGUCCUAGGCUGCCCCUCACCAUCAUCACUCACUCGGGUGUACCUCGGCAGACCGAAGCGUUGACGCCGGCCUGCCGGCCUUGUACACAGUACGUGCGGCGAUGCAUGCCCUGUUUGUUGCUUUGCCGUGCCGUCGCCGUCGCCGCUGUCCACGUACGAUGAAAUCCUGACGCACGCCGUGUACAUCGGUGAUCGGUCGCGAAGAGGCGAUAAUUGGCGCUGGCGUGUGUGUCCCGUUGCUCUGCCGUGGAAGCCAGGGAGACCGGAGGAGAGAGCAGCAGGGCCGUUCCGUCCGCCGGCGCACGCGUCGAGCAUCGAAAACGUGGUCGCGUGGAGGCUGCGAUCUGUGAAGCCCGCUUCAUAUGGGCUUCACAGAUCGCGCGCGUGGGAGUAAUGCAGAGACGGUUUGGUAACUUCGGUCGGGUUCGGGGCGGGCCUGGGGACCGUGCGAGUGCGCCGGAAGAGGAGAGCAGCGCGGGACGGAUGGUGCGCAACUUCAACUCGAAACCAUCCGUCCGUCCAUCGCAGGAAAACGACGCAGCAGCUCGGCGGCCAGACGAGGCAAGCGGAUUGAAGGGGACGGCAGCGAGCACAAGGACUUGAUCGCAAAUCGCGGAUGGUUUCGCCGGAACCUGUCGACGACGACGACAAGCGCUUUCGACACCACCCGCCCACAGACCCCGGAGCAUAAACAAGGGAAGAAAAGGAAAACGACGCACCAAAACCAAAACAGUGCUUAACUAGGGAAAAGAAUUCUAUGAGACACGUAAGACCCAUCCUGAUGGAUGACAUGUGGCAUUCACAAAUCUCAAAACAUCCCCCCACCCCACACCUAAAUCAAGGGCGAGAUUAGAUGCUUUGUGAUUUGUGAAUGCCACGUAUCAUCCAUCAAGACGGGUUUCACCUGCUAACCGUGAGAUCUGGUCUCAUAUAAUUUUUUUUCCCUUACCUUAACUAGUGGCCACAGUCCACAGAGACGAGCGAACCCAUAAAAGGACGAAGCCAAUUGCAUUGGAUCAAGUCGACGAAGGCGACAUCAAGCAACUUUUUGUACAAAAGCACGGAGAACAUUAGAGACGCGCACCACACAAAAGCAUAGUAGCUAGUACAACAUCAUUAUCAUUAGCAUCACCCGUGAGCACGUAUCUAGGACGGUAAACCCAGGAUGCCAGUAUCUUCUUAGCCCUGGGUCCACAUUAUCUUAUUCAGUUCCGGCCAAGGGCGACAUACCUCGUCCACCAGGGCAUGAUAGCGGCACGGCGGCACACCUAGGCCUGGGCCCCAAGAUCCAUAGGCUUGGCCGCCUCCGGCUGGCUCUCCCCGGCGGUCUGGGCGUCAGAUUCCACAGGCUUGGCAUCCGGCGAGCUCUCCUCCCCGGUCUGCGCAUCAGGUCCCACAGCCUUGGCAUCGGGCGAACGCUCCUCGGAGGAGGUCUGGGCAUCCAGUCCCAUAGGCUUGGCAUCGGACGAGCGCUCCUCGGAGGAGGUCUGGGCAUCCAGUCCCAUAGGCUUGGCAUCGGACGAGCGCUCCUCGGAGGUCUGGGCAUCAAGUCCCGUCGGCUUGGCAUCCGGCGAGCGCUCCCCGGCCGAGUUCGUCCCGAACGCCUU